This 130290-nucleotide long non-coding RNA is filed under the name Vitis vinifera (wine grape). RNAcentral describes it as "long non-coding RNA (VVIN_LNC001392)". The stretch from base 9008 to 9079 matches the Rfam family "tRNA". Lineage: Eukaryota; Viridiplantae; Streptophyta; Magnoliopsida; Vitales; Vitaceae. The record is from RNAcentral.
UUUUUUUUUUUUUUUUUUUUUUUUAUCAAGGGGAAGACCCCUUUCUCUUUACUACUUAUCCCUUUUAAUAAAAAUUCUUCCACAUUUUUCCACUUUAUUUUGCCAACAUUCUUUCAACCCCUUUUGCACAAAAAUGCCAAAGAUAGUAUUAGGAUAACCUUUUACAACCAUUGCUAACUUUUGACACAAGUUGCUAAAAAUUGUUGAAGAUUUGCUUUUAAUGUCAGGUAGGAUAGCAGAUUGGUUCUAAUUGAAGGUCAUUUCUUGUGGAGGACCUUACUUAUAAGUGAGAUGAUUGUUCCUAUCUUCAUGGUUUUAUGUUGUAUAGUUAUAGAGACUUUUUAGAGGCUAUCAGCUUUAGAGCAAAUUUAUGUUGUUUGUUAGGGAUUAAGUAUUUUAUUCAAAUUGGGUGAAUGGUACUACCUCUUUACUUGAGAUGGCUUUGAGAUUGGGUGGUUGAAUAGUAGUACUUUGGAAUGGUCUAGUUUUUGUUCGCUUUAGCUAUCAUUUUCUUAUGCUGUGUCUAUAGACGAGUGGAGACGUCAUUUGGAAAUUGGUCAAAUUGCCCGUGAAAUUGAUCAAAUUGUCAAGUUGUCAUCCUAAAAUUGACUAAACCUAGUUUGUAAAAAUGAGAAACGACCGUCACUAGCGACUAACAUCUUCUCAAGCUAAGUAUUAAUAGAUCCAAUCUGAGCAUAAAGGGCAUCUUAAUGUUGCAGGUUCAAUGCUCAUGAAGCAUAAUAUUUUGGAUACUUGGUGUGAGACACCUCAGCAUAAGUCUAAUCCAUAAGGAUAGUCUCCUCAGGAGGUUGAGAUGUGGGCAAUUGAAUGGUGGCAUCCAUGCCCUUGGUUUGCAUCUCCUGUUGAACAUCCUCACCCCCUAAUCCUUUAUGGUCACCCUCAGUCUCUAUCUAUAGAAUCUCUGCCUCUUACUCAACCCGGUCUUCAUUCAUAGCAGGACCCUUUCUUUUUCUUUCCAAUGAUCCAUUAGGCAAUUUCUCAAACAGCAUUCGGUCUGGAUUUUACGUUAUAGGUAUCAUAGGAUGAGGCCUGAAUGUUUUUUUCUCUUCUUAUGUCCACAUUGAAUGCUUUCAGGAUUUUUGUGAUCAGUCUUCUUCCGUUGGCCACUACUUUAGAAUUGCUUUUACAACAGUUUUUCAUGUGUUGAAAGAUGAUAAGGAAACCUUAGAAUGGAUCGGAGUCAAUAGAAAAUGCUACAUAAUAGGACACCUUGUCUCUAUGUCCACCCUUAGGUAGAAAAAUAUGUUUGAUCAUGUGGUGGUGCACCCUAGAGAUAAUGCUCAAGGCAUGGGCAUGGAGCUUUGAAGUCACUGUGUCGAUGGGUAAGUUACAUAUCCUCUAGAAAGCCCUACCUAGGUUAAAACUAGACACUAUAGGCCAUCCCUUCGUCUCAAAUAAACAAAGUCCCCCACAAAGGAUCUCCAAAAUAUCACAAAGCAUAUCAAUAUUUAGUUUAAUUCAACUCCUCUAACAAAUGUGCUAAUUGGCCUUCAUAUAUUUUAGGUUCAAGUAAAAUACCUGAACAAGGUUGGGGUAUGUAGGCUCUCUUGAUGAGAUGGUAUUGGUGAGUAUUUUUUUUUCUUCAAUACAAAACUAUUACAACACUUGGUUUUUUUUUUUUCUAAAAAAAAAAGAAAAAUAAAAAUAGUUUUAUAUUAUACUUAGUUUCAAGAAAAAUAAUAAUCAAAGCAAAAUGAAAAAAAAAUUCUCAUAUUGGUUUCUCGUGAAAAAUAUAAAAGCAAAUAAAAUACAAUUAAAAUUAAUUAAAAUCUUAUGUAUUUUUAAAUUAUUAAUUUUUAUAUAAAAAAUGAAAAAUAGUAUAAUGAAUUUAGAAGAAUAUAUAAAAAUAAUGUAUUAACUUUAAAUCUUUUUUUCUUUAUAUAUAUAUUUUCCCUUCAAUUUUCUAAUACCAACACAUAAUAAGGUUAAUGUCUUCUAGCCAACCAAUUGUAAGUCAAUUUUCAUAGAGCUUUUUUUUUUUUUUUUUUUUACAUGCCACCAAGUAGUUAUAUAAGCAUUUUUGCAUGUUAUUGUUAUCCAACAUACAAUAACUAUAACAUCCAAUUAUUAUGAACAUGAACAAUAAAAUUAGAUGCAACUAACUAUUUAGUGUAUAACAAGAAGUUGGUGAAGUAAUUCAUCCUAACAUGAUUCAACAAUUUUUGUUUAUUUUUCAAGAUUAAUUAUAACAUACCCAUUCUAUUAAAGUUGUUGAGAUAUUUGAGCAAAACUAAAAAUCAACAUUAAUUCAUUUUAUACCCACAAGAGAAAUAAGAUUUGUUUUUUUGUUUGAUAAUAAAGUAGUUGUAGUUAUUAAUGAUAAUUUUGAUCCUAAUUUAAUAGGUAUCCAAAAAAAAAGGAAAAAUGCAAGUAAACCAAUUCUUAUCUAACACAAUUAUUACCACCUUAAAAUCCUGAGGGGUAGCUCAGUUGAUCAGUUCGAGUCCCUUUAGGACCAUGAAAAGCUUACCCGAUGGUUCACCUUAAGAAAAGCAAAGCAUUUAUAUAAUUCAACUGGUAGUUGAUAAGUCUUAGAAAGGGUUUUGCCAUCAUUGGCUUCUCAGUAAAGGGCAAAUUUGGGUUGUGGCUGACAAUUAUUGAAUUUGUGAAGAAAUAUGUGAAGAAAGGAAACAAAAAGAGUUGAGGACAGAAUUCUUCAAUUAAAAAAUGGUUAGCCCAUGAACCCAUUCUUCAAACAGUAAGCCAAUGAGCCAAUGAGCCAAAAAGAAAGAAGAACAGCUGGUUUCAUCUUUUUAUCUUAAUGACUUUGACAACCCAUCUUUCUUUUAAAUACUUGUGACUUUGGAAUAUAAUUAAAAUGAAACUUUGGAAUGCCCACAUCUGAUUCACGGCCUUUUUACCUGUUUUCUUGUUUAACAUUUUUUUAAAUAUUAUAACAGAUGGAAAAACAUGAUUCUAACAGGCUGGAAAAUAGUGGAAGUUGGAACACCAACCAUAACCAAACUAUACCUUCCAUCUUUCUCCAACACUCGGAAUUAUUGAUACAAGUUGGUGGUUUUAUGAUUGUUUCUAUUGAGGGGACCCCUCUCCAUUUCCAAUUUCAAUGGAAAGGUUCUUCUUUCCCUACUUUUUUUUUUUGUUUUUCAAAUUCUUGUAGUUUUGUCUGUCUCUCUCAACAAAGCAAACUGCAAUCACUAAUUCAAAGAAAAGGAAUCCUAAAUGAAAAGAAAAGAAAGGAAAGGAAUGGUAAUUUAGGCUAUGAUGAUGCUCCUAUAUAAUGGCUGUAAGUCAAUAACAACACACUGGACCCGCCUCCUAUCUCAAAAGAUCACAAACCCAAAUAUCAUAUACUUCCAAAUUUCAAUUUGGUUCCCUGUUUAUAUCACAAUCUGUCCUAUAUCCUCUUAAUACAUCUAAAAUCUCUCUAUAUCAUAAAAAUAAUGAUGGAAAAAAAAAUUAAAAAGAAAGAAGGAAAAAAUGACAAAAAAAAAAAAACCUUGGUGCUGCUAUGGGUCCAUAGGAAUUGGCAGGACUGCACUUCUGGAUCCCCUUCCAUGGCCAAAAGAAAAGAAUGAUCUUCGGAAUCUGCUGCUGCAACCUUCACUAGGGCUGAAGUCACUGACAGGCCUGUUCUGUUGCAAAAUCUCUUGAAUUGCUAAAUACAGCUGCCUGUCGUUGGAUGAGUCCAUUGAAAAAGACCUCCUGAUGGGUUGGAUUGAGAACUGAUCAUCUUUGCCUCUAGUGUCAAUGCACUCAUCACCCAUGCUUGCAACAUGAUGAAACUUCCUUGCCUUUUUAGGCACAAUUCUCUGCUCUAGCUUCCUAGGUGAUGGACUAAUUGAUGGCGCAGAUAACUCUCUGGAAUUCAGUCUUUCUGGUGGCCUAAGCAGUGAUGAAUCAGCAGAACUAUCAUUUCCCAAUUCAAUUACUACAAAAUCUUCAUCCCCUCCUAUGUAAUUAUUGGCGUAGGGGCUUGGAUCUUGGGGGGAAGAGCUAGGAGCAAUGAUUUGGUGAACAGGAAACCGGGGUGUGGUUGAAAUGCUUGUUCUGCAAAGUGGGCAAUUAGCAUUGCUUUGAAGCCACACGUCUAUGCAAUCUAUAUGAAAUAUGUGACUGCAGUUUGGUAUGAUUCUUAGCUUCUCUUCUUCUUGAAACUCAUUCAAGCAAACCGCACACUCGCAAUGGCUUCUUUCUCCAAACUCUCUGCCACCUCCUUUCCUGAACUGGAAUAUUGGGAUUGAUCUGAUGACUGACUCGUCCAGGCCUCGACUCUCGAUUGCUGGGGAGUACACCAUUAAAGGGUCUUCCGGGUGCCGACUCCUUGAGAAAGAAAAUCGUCUCAGCAGAUCAAUCCGGUGCCAAUUGAGGCAGCAUUUGAUUACAAAGAUGUAGUAGCUCACCAGCAAGAAAGCAGUGGCCAGGAUUCCUAUUACGGCAAUGGCUAUAAUGGGGAAACUGGUGUCCGAGGAAUGAGAGGGAGAAGGAAGCACUGAGCUCGCCUGGCUUUUGAUGGGAGAAAAGGCUUGUGAUCCAUGGAUGGAGGAGUCUGUGCUCACAAGAUCCAUGAGAGAGGCUAUGAAAAACAUUUAGAAAUGAGUCUAUUCGGAUCUUCAAUUCACAGAAACAUGCAAAUGCUAGAAUAAAAUCGACAGACACUCAGAUAUAGACCCUACAGUUGUAAUGCAGCAUACCAUAAAUGUGAUUGAGUGAGUGAGGCUGAAACAGCAAAUGGGUCACUUCAAGAUCUCAACAAGACAGAAAACCCAUGUUGAAUUCACCAGGAGAGUAUUGAAAAGGGAAAAAUUAAGGACAUAUAGCUGUAUUGAAAGUUGAAACAAAUGCAGAAACAUAGAGAAGAGAGAGAGAGGGAGAAAACCCAGGAGGGUUGAAUGAGAGCGCUGCUGGGGAAGACAUCAAAACGCUUCAAAUUCAAUGAGAAUCUGUUGGGGACCUCUUUAAGAGGACUGCACAAAGCCUGAGCGUAGGGUACGUGGUUGGUUGGUGAAUUUCUCGGCUUCCAAAAGAGAAAUUUGGUGAGAAAAUUUUCAAGUCUCUUGAUUAUAGUAACGUAGCGUUUAUUUUAAUUUUAUGUAACCGAAACUAAUGGGCUGGUUCAAAAAAAUAAAAAAUAAAAAAAGGAACUUUCUAGGAUAGGCCAGCAGUCCACCGUUGGUCAUGUGGUUUCUUUUGCAUGUCCACAUCUUCCAACUAGUGGAGGUCCCUGUCACAACAGUAAGAAAACACCCAAUUGAAUAAAAGUAUGAACUUUUGGCUCCCAAUAUUACUUAUGCCCUCAUUCAAUACCUCAAAUAAAGCAGAGAUUUUGUGUCCCAACUUUUAUGAUUUCAUUUCAUCUUACUUCAAAUGCUAAUGACAAAAGUCCAAGUAUAUUCUGUAAUCACCCACACCCCAAUAGUUUUGAAUCACACUUGAAAUAGUUCCCAUGCUUUCUUAAUAAUUUAGAUAAUUAUUUACAGAAAAAAAAAUUCAGAACAGGAUGAUAAUCAUUUUGUGAUAGCAUGGAAGAAACUUUACUAGCCACUUUGGCCCCAUGAAGUUGAGUACUUGAUGCCAAUUAAUGGCAGGGUGGAAAAUAGAGAAAAGGGAUCAUAGUCAAAUCUAGAGUACAAGGCAUUGAAUCUUUGUUAAUAAUUAACAAAUGGGUAAAGCAUGGGUCACAGGGUCUACAGUUUGGAUUGCAAAAACCUCAGGCUUCUAUAAAAAGCUCAUCCAUUAUCAAUCAUCAAUCUGAAAGCCAGAAAGUCCAAGGCACAUGCAACCCACGACAGGGGUAAGAUUUCUGCAUCAUGUCCCUGAGUUGCAUUCACAUCAUAUGUUUCCCUCCGGGCCGUUCCAAUUUGAAAUCUCAUGGAAAUCUUCAAGAGCAAGGCUACAGAGUUUAAGAUAAUACUAGGGGUGGGUCCUGAUGGGAAAAGAGGUAGUGUAGGAUAGUCAAUAAAGGGCAUGUGUCUCUGGUGUGAAGUCAAAUCCAGUGUACCAUCCUCAAUGGAAAAUUUAGAAAUAGAACCGACACUCUACAGACUGCCGUGUUGACAGAUUAGAGAAAGACAAACCCACUUACACUUGCCUCAAAACCCAGUCCUGCCAUUUCAAAGGCAAAAAAAAAGGGUUUCUUUUUAUAGUCAAAGGUUGAGGCCUGGCCUGGCCUAGCAAAGAAACUUCACCUACUCUUUUCUUAUUUUUCAAAUUAAGGCCAUUCAACUUUUCCUGUUUGCAGGCUUGCUGCCAUAUCUUACUCCAAAAAAGGUGAAAACCCAAAAGAAAAAGAGUGUUUGCUUCAAUGGAAAACUCAUGUUUAAUAAAUUCACCGCACGAGUUUUGUUCCAGCUUUUCCUAUGAAAGCUGUGAUGCGUUUGGUAUGAAGUUGAUUUUGUUCCUAAAAAUUUUGAUCUUGGCGUGGAAGGCAACUUUUUCCUUUUCCCCCUUUUUCUUUUUGAAAAGUUCGGCAUUAGUUACCAAAUGUCCUUUUACUUGCAUGUAGGACAGCGGAAGCAUUACACAUCGCAGCAAAAUCCCAUUUACCCGAAUUUUCCACUAACUCUUUUUAUUUUUUACCAUCAUUUUUUAAUAGAAGUGAUGCACUCUUCAAAUUACAUGAAGCUUUUAAGAAGGUAAUAACCCGUUUCAAAGCGAACUUAACCUACAGAGUAUGUUUUAAAAAUAUUUAGGUAUUUGAUAAAAUUUAAAAAAUAUUUUUUAAAAUCUUUAAAAUGAUUUGUAAUAUUGAAAAUUUAUUUAUACUUUUUUUAAUAAAAAAACAUUUUAUAGGUAAUUUUUCUAAAAUACUUUUAGAGAAAAUGUCUUCCCUUCACUAUAAAUAUUAUAUACUAUCAAAUACACUUUAAAAAUCUGUUUAACAAUAAUUUUAUAAAGUGUUUUUAAUUUUAAAAAUAUUUUUAAAAACAAAUUAAAUUUUUGAUAAAAUUUAAAAAAUCUUUUUAAAAAUUUUGAAAAAUAUCUCGUAAUAUUAAAAAAUAUAUAUAUUUAUAAUGUUUUUUAUAUAAAUACUCAAAAUUCAUUUAAUAGUGAUUUUAGGAAAUGUUUUUAAUAUUUCUAAUACUUGAAAAUUUUUUAUCAUUUAAGUAUUAAAAAUAUUAAAAACACUUUAUAAAAUCACUUUCAAAUGGACUCUUAAUGAUUUUACUAAAAACACUUUUCAUAGAAAACAUUUAUAAAAAAUAAUUAUGAAAUACACUCUAAAUUAAGUAAAAGUUGUUUUUAACAUUACCACUAUUUAUUAAUAGUGCAUUUGUUUAAAAUAUUUAUAUGAAAAAUUCAUUAGGGUGGGAUAUAAAUAUAGAAGUGUUUUUCUUUAUAUAUUUUUUAUAAUAAAAAAUGAUUUUUGAAAUUAUAAAAUUUGAAUUUAAGAAUCAUUUGAUAAUAAUUUUUGUUAAAGCACCUUUAAUACGUGGUGCUUCUAUUGAUAGCGCUUUCAUUUCUAUGAAUGGCUAUAAAUUAUAUUUGAAUAAAUUUUUUAUAAUGUAUUAUAUAAUAAAAAAAAAGUCAUUUUUAAAAAAAUUAUACAUUAAAUGAUUAUUCAAAUAGUAUUUCCUAAAUUUUAUUAAACAUUUUUUUCAAAAAAAAAAAAAAAGUUUUCAAAUACUAGAAAACGUUUUUAAUCUCUCACACGAUCACAUCCAAACAAGUCCUAAUGCUACUCCUAGAAACACUCCAAAACAAAAGUCUUCCUCUAUUAAUGUUCAUAAAAUCCACAUAUAUUCUUCCAUCGUUUUUUCAAAAUUCAAAAUCAUUUCUAAAACAUCAAAUCAUGUUCUUUGGAUUGGCUGACUUGUUUUUUGAAAAUAGAAGGCUCAUUAUUGACGUCCGUUGACUUCAUAACCCAGUCUUGAUCUCUUGAUGGAGGGCAUAAAUGUAAAUUGGACGAAACCCUAGGGUGCGCUAGAGUGUAGAGGAUGAAAGGUUGGAAAAAGGAUGAGGUGGGGGUGUAAUAAAGAGGAGGGUUGGGAGAAUGGGACAUGUGUAGGUGAAGCAUUAAAUUCAAGACUAUGCUUACCAACAACAUAUAAAUAAAUAAAUAAAUAAAUAUAGGAACAGCACAUGGGGUGAGUAGGAGACAUCAGAAGAUGUGAACAACCCCUUGUCAGUCCAAUUUGCGUCUUUUAUCUACUCUAUUAUCUAUAUCGAUUUUCGUAUUUAUUUAUUUAUUUAUUUAUUUUUACCAUUUGAUUUUGCAUGGAUGUCGAAGGGUUUAUUGGCUGCCACGUGUAGGGUUAUGGUCAAGAUCACGUGGGGUGCCUACAUGGGAGUCACGUGAGUGCAUGAGGCAGGCUUGAAUUGCAGGAGGAGCAGGAGCAGAGCAGUGGCUGUUGUCUUAAGACUUUGCUCUCUUGGUGGAACUGCAGCUUAAGCAGCAUCCACGUGUUGUCACGUGCAAUGCGAGCCAUCCACACCACCAGUUUCUUUUUAGUGAUUUUCUAAAGUCAGUUAAGGUUGCAGUCAAUACCUUCAAAUGUUGACAGAGUUAGGGAUCUUUGUUAAAUGGAUUUUAUUAAGAUAUUAGUAAGUUAAUUAAUUGAGGGUCAACAUAACAGAUGGGUCGGGUUGGGUUGAAUCUGAAUUUAAAACGAUUUAAUUUAUGUUUAAUCAAAUUUAACAUUUAACUCGAAGCACUCAACUUAAGUUUAAUUGAAUCUUAGUUUUCAAAACAUUAUUUAAAUUUGGGUCAUUUGGAUUAAAGUCAAAUGGGUUAGAUUAAUCGGGUUAUAUGGUUCAAAAUCCACUUACCUUAUUUUUUAUACAUUAAUAUUAAAAUUUAAAUAAAAAAUAUUAGAAGAAAUUUCAAACUUGGGAUUAGUUGAUUGUAGCCAUGCAUUUGGAUGUUGGUAUUCUUGUUUCUUGUCUUGUUUCCAAAUACCCUUUCAAAUCGCUUUGUUAUUCAAUAGCAUCCUCCCGAUCAUUUAAAAAUUUAAAGAGCAUUGGUAUGAUGGAGGAAUUCAGAAAUUUUAGUUGAAUAAGUAAAAUUUUUCUCUCAUAAAACCAAAUAGCCUCUAUAGCUCAGUGGUAGAGCGUCAGUCUUGUAAACUGAAGGUCUGUAGUUCGAUCCUGCAUGGAGGCAACUUUUUAUAUUUCAUGAUCCAUUAUGCUCUAGUGAUUUAGUUUUCAUUAUAAUUUUAGAUUAAAAAAUUACAUCAACAUUUGAUAAGUUGGUUAUGACUUUGAUAUAAGGAUGAAACUAUCAAUAAUAUAUAUAAAUAUUUUGACACAAAAUAUCUAAUAUAUUAAAAAAUUAAAAAAAAACUCUAAAAAACAUUAUAAAAUUAUAUAUAUAAUUUAUCAUAUUUAAUAAUAAUAUCUUCUACCCUAAUAAAAAAUAUAAAUUUUAUAAGCAUACAUUUAUUAUUACAUUGUAUUAUAUAUUAUUUUACAAGAAUAUUAUGAUAACAUGUCUAAUUUUAAAAUAUAUUUAAUAUUAAAAUUAUCAUCAAUUUUAAUUUAAAUGUAUUUAAUGAUAUCAAAUAAUAUAUAUAUAUAUAAUUUUUUAAUAUUUAUAUAUUUUUAUAUUUAAUAAAUAUAUAAAUUAUGUAAAAAAAAAAGACCUAUUAAGAAGAUUAUGUUUUUAUAUUUGGAUCAAAAUUAAGUUUUUCCGAUAAAAUAUAUGAAACUAUUGAUAAAUUAUUGAUUGAAACGUGAAAAAAAAAAUUCAAAAAAUAGAUGAGAUAUUAGUAAAAUAUCCGAAAAUAUUGAUUGAUGAAUAUAUCAUUUCAAAUUUUGCAUCAACAUCCACAUAUGUUGGAUAUAUUGGCCAAAUAUAUUUAAACCUUGUUUCCAUGAGAAGUCUUUCCUUCAACAAUUUCAAAAGGUUAAUGAGGUGGUUUCCAAGAGAUGUGUGUAGGGGUCUCCAACGGGCGGGCCGGGCCAGCGGGCUUUUUGAAAUAAGCCAAAAUGGCUUUCAAAAAAGGGAAGGGAGAGGAUUUAAACCCCUUCCUUCAUGCUUAAAUUUCAAGGUUCUAACCAAUUGAACUACAUUCCUUUAAUGUUUAUUAAUUGAGUUAGUUAUAUAUAUAUAUAAAAAUAAAGUAUAUUAUUUUUUAAAGGGGCGGGCCUACGGGCUGGGCCGGGCCGAAAGCGGGCCACGGGCCACGGGCUUUUUGGAGACCCUUGGAUGUGUGCAAUCACAUUUGGUAUUAUAGGUGACAAAGUUUGAUAAAUGAGUAAUUAUUAGGUUAACUUAUAAAAUCCGAAUUUGAUUUAAAUUGAUUCAUUUAAUAAUCCCAUUUAUUUACCCAAUUAAAACUUUAAAUUAUUUAACUUAUAUUUAAUUUAAUUAAAAUUUGUUUUUAAAUAAAUAGAUCAAUUAAAACAUAAACAUAUUUGAUUGAAACAUUAAUAAUAUAGAUUUAAAUAAGACCUAAUUCAACCUAACGAUCAAAUAGAAAUAUCUAAUUAUUAAAUAAAUUAAACAUGUUACUUGCUUAAUAAUUAUGUGACAUUUGAAUUUAUGCUUUUGAUAUAAUUAUUAUUUAUAUCAGGUUUAUAUAAUGAAAUAUCUAGACUUUGACACCAGUCAACAUUGUCCACCAAUACAGAUUGCAACUCUUAUAUGCUACAUCACAUCAUGUUGAAGGAAGAGGAUGACGUUCAUUGGCAGCAGAGCCUCCAAUCAUAAGGAGCUUGAGCAAAUUCAAUCUCAACACUGAAAUUCACUAGAAAAAAAGUUUAUUAUUGAUACUUCAUUUGUGUAAAAGCAUUAUAUUUCUUGCAUCAAUCGUAAAGCAUGACAUUCCAGUAGGUACGGAAGAGAAAAUUUGUUAUGAAUUGAAAAAUCUGUCAAGCUUAAUUUGGAGGGCCCAAAAUUGACACGUUUAAGAGCUCUAUCAUUAGCCCAAUGAUAAGAGUCCAUUUCUUGAGUUUCAAGGAAGGCCCAAGUUUAACUUAGAGGGCCCAAUCUUGGUACCUUCUAAAAGGUGCAAACUUUGGCCCAAUUAUAAAAGCUUAUCCUUGCUUCCUAAGCAUCAAUGAUAUAUUUGAUCGAAGUAUUCACAUAACUAUCACGAAAUGAAAUGAAAUGAAAAUGUAUAAGUAAAUGAUGAUUUUGAGUUAUUUACUGACAAUAAAGAAUUAGGUGGUGUUUGUUUUUUUUUUUUUGGCUUUUUACUAAAAGCAAUUUGUUUUCAGAAUUUAGGUUAUUUAUUUUUCUAUUUUUUCAUGACUUAUUAUAAACUUUUUACUAAAUAAGAAAAUCCAAAAUAUAUAGUUUUUUCUAAAUAGAAAAAAUAACAUAUUGGUUUUCUUUUUUUUUUACUUUUUAAUAUUUAAUAGAAAUAAAAUAUUAUAAAAACAAACAACCUAAUAUUUAACACUAUUAAGUAUUAAGGUUUUAUUUAGAAUUAAGUAAAAAAACAAACACUACCUUAAAAUGAAAAGUAUGUAUAAUGACCUUAUACAAAAAAAGUCUCAUUAUUUUCUUCCAAAGAACUCAUACUUUUGUUUUUCAACUAUUACUUUGUUUUUAUUUUUUAAAUAAUAUUUCAAGUUUUUUUUAAUAAUACCUUUCUCUUUAUUAGAUAAUUUUAAUGACUUUAAAAGUAUUUUAAUAUAUUAAUUUAUUAUAUAAUUUUAAUGAUUUAAAAAUAUUUAAAUGUUGAAAUAUUUAUUUUCAAGUCUAAUUUUAAUUAUUUAUUUUUUGAAGUAUUUAAAUAUAUAAUAAAUGUGGGAUUAUGUAAAUCUAGUUGUAAUUAUUUAUUUCAUUCUAUUCAUGUUUUUAGUUGAAUUUGCUCAAAAUUUACACCUCUUUAUUUAAAGAUCAUGGAUUAGUUAGGUGUCUUGAGAUUUUUUUUCUCUCAAGACACUACUUGUUACACUAGAAAAUAAUUUGUGGCUAUAUUUUUUAGGCAAAAAGAAUUAUAUGUUAAAACUUCCUUUAUUGACUAGUUUAUCAUAGGGUGUAGAGGAAAGUUUGUGAUGUCUUUUUAUGUCAACUUUGGGAGAAAAAUAUCACUUUAGCAUUUUCCUUAGAAAAUUUUCAUACAUAAUUGAUUUUGGAACUAUGGAGGAGCAUAAGUAGGGAUAGAUAAUUCGAUUUUGGAAAAAUUAUAAUAGCUUUUCAACUUGGUGUUAAUGAUAUAUUGUUUAUUUCUUAUUUUUUUUCCAUUUUAAUAUAUAAUUGGGGAUUUUAAACUUGUAGAACAAGGCUUUUUCAAUUGAAUUGACACGUACAUAUGAAAGUUCUCUUUGGUUGCUAAUCACAUUUUUUUUUCUUUUGCUUUUUGUUUUUAUCAUAAUGAAUAUUGAACUCGAAAUUCAGUUUUUAAAAUCUUAUGAUGUUUUAAAGUUUAUAAAUAUUAUUGAUUUUUAUAAAUGAUGUUAUUCAUAUCUUGGUAAAGACAAUAUUUUCAUAUCGGUCAAGAUGAUUAAUAACAUAUAAGUUCAUAAAGAAAAACCUAUUGAUUAAUGGAUAUUUAAUGAUUUUUAUUAGGAAUGUUUUUUAAUUAGUUUCAAUACUCAUCUUUUAGAGCAUACAUAUAGGGUUUUAGAUGCUACAUUGGUUUUCAGCUUGUGAUUUAAAUUAUUGAAGCAAAAAAUGAGGGUUUUGCUUUAUGGAACUAUCUAAAGGGAGGUGAAUUAGGCGGUCUUCCUUUUUAAAAUCCAAAAAUUAGAUUUUUAAUACUUAUAUUAGUUAUACAUGUGUUCAAUAAUUAAAACAAAGAACAAGUCCAUAAUUUACAUGUGAUGUGCAUGGAAAAACACCUACAAAUUCUCUCAAAUACUUUACAAAUGAAAAAAAAAUCAAGGAUCGAUCAAUCACAGAGCAACUUCACUAAAUAUGAAAACAUGACUAUACAAUUUUACUUGGAUGAGGUGCUACCUUCUCUUAAGGGUUUUUACACUAGCCAACAAUUACACUCACCUUCACUCUCACCAUGCACCUCUAUUGUGCUCCAUAGUAAACACUUUAAUGACUGUAGCAAGAUUGCGAUAAAUUACUGCGAUUAAUUUGAGAGUGUUGAUAAUGAACAAAAAAUAAUGAUAAUUAACUAGAGAGCAUAUGAUUUUGUAAAAACACCAAAAAGAGGCAUAGUUAUAAGUGAAAACUUUAAUGGAUUGGAUUGAAUAUAUAAUUGAAGUAUGAAUGAAAAAUUACCAAAACAAUGUUCAAAACCGUGCUAAUCAAAGCACAAUCACUUGAGUACUCUCAUGGGGCACUUGAAUGCUCCUUUUAAUCACCGUAAUGCUGAAAUUAAUAAUUUGUCUCAAAUUGUUUUUCCAAAACAUAAAGCAAAAUAUUAUAAAUUUAUAUAAUCAAACCCAAUUUCAUCUUAAAGCUAGCCUACUUAGUCUUAAUUCAUGUCCAAAAAUACUCAUACUUGUCAAAGAAUGAAUAUGGUAUAAACAAAUUCUUUAUUUUCAAUUAUAUUCAAUUAUUGAAAGAAUAAAUCGGUUUACAUACAUUUUGAACAAAGGUAUAUACACAUAGACUAAAUCAAGGAAAUGAGGAAAUCAAUCACAAUCAAAUCAAAAUCAAAUGAUAGGUUGAUAUCUAGGAGAAGGUUAAGUUAGAACCAACUCAUGUAUUCAAUAUUCCCCCUUAAGAUGGCAUAUGGAGAUCAUGAAUAUCAAACCUAGAAAGUAAGGGAUAUGAAAUAUCUAUACCAAGGGAUUUUAUGAAAUAUCAACCAAUUGUUGUUGUGAUUAAACAAAUUGAAUAAGAAUAAUUUCAUUUCGAAUCUUUUCAUAGAUCAAGUGACAAUCAAUUUCAACGUGUUUAUUCUGUUCAUGGAAAAUUAGAUUAAUAGCAAUGUAUAGAGUUGUAUUAUUGUCACAAUAUAGAUGCAUUGACCAAGGAUGAUGAACUCCAAAAUCUAUAAGUAAAUAUUGCAACCAAUGCAAGUAGUAAUCAUUAAAUAAUAUUUCACUUUUCUUCAUGAGUGUUAUAUCAUUGAUUGCUUUUUAGAUCUUCAAGAGAUUGAUAGGCCACCAAGUAAAAUACAAUACCCUAUAAUUGAACAUCAAGAUUAUGCACAAUAGGCAUGGAGGAAGGCAAAAGAAUUCCUUGACCUAGACGAUUUUUUAAAUAGUAUAACACUCAUGUACUUGUGAGAUAAUUGAGACUACAUUGGCUUGUCAAGAAUUUGAACAUAAUUAGCAAUAUUAAGCCCUAUCAUUAUGAGUCAAAGUAACUUCCCAAUCAAAUGCCUAUAAUAAGAAGCAUCCAACAAAGGUUCUCUAUCUAAUUUACUCAAUUCCAAAUUUUGUUUCCUAGGAGUUUUUAAAGUUACAUGUUCCAAGAAAACCAAAAUCUUUUAGUACUUCUAGAGCAUGUUUUCAAUAACUUAAAUAAAUCUCAUUCUUAAAAUAUGUCAUUUCAAUGAUGAUGAAGUACUUUAAUUUUCCAAUCUCUUAGUUAGUUUGAAAAUGCUAUAUAGGUUUUCCUUGACCACCUUAAUUCCUUUAAGAUCAUUCAUUGUAAUAAUUAUAUCAUAAAUGUAAACAAGAAUGAUUGUGAAAUAGUUAUUUGAGGCUUGAGCAAAUAAGAAGUAAUAUGUACGUCUUGGCUUGCUUGUAAACCAUAAACAUCAAUGUGAUAGAUAAUUUGGCAAACCAUCAACGUGAAGCUUGCUCAAGGCCAUAAAGGGAUUUUUUAACUUUGCAAAUCAUAUUUUUGGUUCUAGAUUUCCUACAAACUUGGUGGAAGCUGCAUGUAUACCUCUUUAUCUAAGUCUUCAUAAAGAAAAACAUCGUUGAUGUCAAGUUGGUGAAGAUGUCAAAUUCUAAUUAUACAAUAAUUAGGGGUGACAAUGUGUCUUAUCGUGUUGAGGUGAGAAAUAGUGAAAAUUUACUUAAUCCGACUAUGACCCGUUUGAUAAUCGUGUCAAAAUAACCUAACAUGAAUACAAUUAGUUUAUUUCAUGUAACAUGACCCUUUUAACAUGUUUAAUAAAUAUAUUAACUUGGAUUAUGUAUUAAUUGACAUGAAUAACUCAUUAACUUGAUUUCAACCCCUUAAACUCAUUAACACAAUUCCAACCCAAUAAACUCGUUAAUAUGAUUUAACUCAUUAAACUUGUUAAUAGGAUUAUAACCUCUUUAACCUAUUUAAAAUUUUAAAUUUAUAAAUAAUAAAAUACUUCUAGAAAGUUUAAUUUUUAAAAUUUGAACUAUAAUACAUGUAUGCACCAAUUUCAUGAAGUCCUGAAAAAUUAGCAAAAUUAUAGAAAAAUAAUAUAAACAAAAAUUUGUAUUAAAAUUAAUAAGUAUGGGCUACAAUAUUAGUCAUAGUACUGCUUAUUUCUGAAUGACUUUAUUAAAAAGCGAAGAAUACAUGUGUAGUUCUUAUGUGAUUUCUUAAACUUGUAAGGCGAUUUUAUAAAGUUUUUUUUUUCUUUGUGAAACCUCUUUUUCUAUGUGAAAUUGUUUUGCCGAUUUGAAAUCUUCAUUAAAGGAAGUUACUAUUAUUUAUAAUUGAAAUUAGAGAAUGAAAUGUGGAAUCCCCAUGAUUUAGUUGCUUAAUUCAAGGAAUUUGAUUAAUUGAUUUUGGUAACUUGUCUCAUAAAAUUUUCUAACAAGAAUAUUUAUUUUUAAUCUCUUUUAUUUCAAUUGGAAUAUUUGUUUCCUUUGUAAAUUUGUCAAUAGAAUAUUUAUUUAUUUAUUUAAUUCUCUUUUGACUACAAUGAGAAGAUUUGAUUUUGUUUGUAAGACUAAAUUUUAUAACCUUUCAAAUUUGGCCAAGUGACACCUUUUGAAUAUAUGUCACAUGUCAAAUGUGUGUGACUCAUUAGUUGUUGAACCUAAAUUUUCUUGAAUUAGAAAGCUAUACUUUUGAAGACUAAUUUAGUGAUAAUUUAAUUCAUUAAAUUUUUUUGGUGUCUACAGUAUAUUUAUAAUAUGAAAAGUAAAUUAAAAUUUUAAUUUUUUUACUUGUUUAUUAUUUUAUUUAUUAUUUAAUGAUAAAUAUUUUUAUUCUUUAUUGAAAUAUAUAAAAUUUUAAUUAAUAUUUUAAUUUUUUUAAUUUCUAUAUAUAAAAUAUAUAGAUUUAUAUGGUCUAAUUGAGUCAUUAAAAUAAAUAGGGUAAAUAACUCACACAUAAGUGAUGGAUCAUUCUAACAUGAUUAAAUUAACAAGUUAGAUGAAUUGAGUAGUCAAAUACAAACAUGAUUUGUUUAUUAAAUAAGUUAUAUGAAUUGAUACGAUUAUGACAUCAACUCAAUUAAACUUAACUCAAAUAAGCUUUGUCUUUUAUUUUAAGUUGUCUAGUUGUUCACACAAAUUUUCUCAAAAUAAAGAAAUUAUAUAUAAAAUUGUAAAUUUGAUUAUUUGAGGGGACCAUUUUCAAUACUCUUUUUUAAGUAAUCUGGUGUUUAAUUUUGAAUCAAAGGGGCUUUCAUUAACAAAUAAUAGACUGUAGUUUUCAUAUAAGAAGAAAUCUCAAGCCUUUUUUUCUUGAAGGAAUCUUUAAAUUUUCUUUGAUACUUUAAAAAAUCAAUCUUCUUUGAUUUUUUAAGAAAUCUUUGAAUUUUCUUAAAGUCUUCAAAAAAAAAAAAAAAAAAAAAACUGAGUUUAAGGAAUUUUUUUAAUAACUCUCCAAAUUUCUUUGAUAUUCCAAAGUGUCCUUUAGAAGGGGACAAAUCCUCUAUUUACAGGAUUGAGAGUUUUAUUUUAAUAUUAUCUCUUAAUUUUUAAGAAAUAACUCUCUUAUUUAUGAUAAUUACUAUUUAUUUUAUUUAUCAUAAUUAGUUGCCUAUGAUAAUUAUCAUAAUUAAUUUUUCUAGAGAUAAAUAAUUAUAUAUAUUUAAUUAAUCAUGAUAACUAUAAUAUUUAUUUAAUUUUUUAUUAAAUUAUUUUACAUAACAUAUCAAUAUAUAUUAUUAGUCAAUUAUUAACACCGAAAAUUAAUGAGUUGGCAUAAAAUUUAUCUCUCUAUAAUAGUAUCAAAGCGAGCCUUAAUAAUAACAUUGCUUAUAGUCAAUUUCACAUGCCAACUUUUUACUGGGCAUUGGCGAUUUCAAUUUUGAUAGUCCGGUUAGAAAAAGUAGGUAAAGAUUAUUUGAUGUGGUAGGUCAUUUCUUUCAUAAAGACGAUGGCGGUGAAUUCAUGAGACAGGUGAUAAAGGAGAGAUUCUUUCUUUUGGCUUUGGAAUUUUAAUGAGGUCCUCGAUCCUCAUCCAAAAUACACCUCUCCAAUUAUAAAAAUCUUAUUAAAAAAAAAAAGAUUUGACAUGUGCCUUUCGAACUGCUGGUUUUCUGUUCCAAAAAUGAGAAUGGUUUCAAGUGGAUGAAGGAAGGUGAAGAACCCUUGGUUUUGUUAAGCGAAAAGCCACAUGAUUAAAUAAACAUAAGGCGGCAAAGGCUGAAAAUUUAAAAUUAUACUAAGGAACCCACCCCACAGGGCGACUACACUUUUGGUGAAGCCACGAGAAUGAAAGAUAUCGAAGGUGACACCAAGACAUUAAGCAGCACCAAGGUUUCGAUAUAUUAUAAGAUGGGAUCUUAUGAAAGACGAUCUCUAAUCUCUCUCCAAUCUCUUCUUUAACCUUUUCUUACUUAAAUCCAUUUCCAUGGUAGGGCACAUGUCCAGCUGACCCUACCCCCUCACCUACCUAUACUGCUAUACCCUUUUGUAUAAUUUGAUAUGGAUUGGAAGCCACCCCAACAUCUUUCUAAUUGCUCGUAAAUGUUGAGGUGCCUUUCCAUUUUGAGGCUGCCCUAAUGUGUGGCUGAAGUACGUAGGAAAAAAAAAUUGUGAUACAUGCACUGACGAAUCAAAUCCCAAUGUCAAAUUAUUAGACUCACCUGGUUCUUAAAUUAUUGUGAAUGCCGCUGGCCAUGGAUAAAUGGAAUUAGUGCGUGGCUUAAUGAAAAUUUAUUUUGAAAGGGAUAUUAAUUUGAGAGAAUUUUGGCUGAUACUUGGAGUUGAACGUAAGCAUAUAUGACCUCAUUUCGGGUGUGAUAUUGUGCUUAUAACGAACCUUUCGUUCUUUCCAAUUCCAGUGGGUAUUAAAUAAUUAAAGAAUUCAUGGUUCGAAGGCGAAAGGUAGAAGACCAAAAAGGGAUUACAAAGCCAUCGGCUUGACCAUCCAGAUGCAAUGGAUACAAACUUUGGACUCUAUCGAAAGUUCUUUGGGCACGUGCCCAAGUGUCCUACCCAUAUGAUAAGUUACACGUGGCUAAUUGCGGACCGGUUGCUCGUGCUAAACAGGGUACUUUUUCUACGCAUAUAAGAUGUUUCACUAGUGGGGCUUCACCAUGCAAACUCAUGGAUGAAGACCCUGAGGCCAAGAUGAAGGAACAGAAAGAAGGCGGAGGAGAGGUUCGGUAUCGAGGCGUUCGGAGGCGGCCAUGGGGGAAGUUUGCUGCGGAGAUACGUGACUCGACUAGGCAUGGAGCGCGCGUCUGGCUCGGGACUUUCAAUUCUGCGGAGGAGGCUGCAAGAGCAUAUGACCGAGCUGCUUAUGCCAUGAGGGGUUCCUUGGCGAUUCUCAACUUCCCUAAUGAGUAUCAUACACCCGGCACGGCUAGCUCUUCAGCUUCAUCCUCAAUGCCCGAAGGUGAUCAGCAGGGAAAACAAGUCAUUGAAUUGGAGUACUUGGAUGAUAAGCUGCUAGAGGAUCUUCUCGACUCUGAAGACAAAAAGAACAAGAAAACCUGAAGUUUCUGCUGCCUCGAAUCCCCUGAAAUCUAGUGCUUCAUCGAAAAAAAAUCCCCUCGCUCCUGAUUAACAACAUUUUUAUUUUAGUCAAUGAAUGUGUUCUCGGAUCAUUAUAAGUAUUUCUGCCGAAGUCCAUUGAUUUUUGGAGACUGAAAAAUGUCAGAAAAAUUGGUGCGAACAGGUUUACUCCUUUCUAAAUUAUGCAAUUGAAGUAUUUGGAUUAGUGCGCAGUGUAAACAUCAAGGAAAGCAUGAUCCACUAUUUUAAGGAGCCUAAGUGCUUUCCCCUUUACUCUUUUAGGAUGUCUUUUCAGUGAAGAAAGUUGGGAGACCACCACUUACCCUUUUGAUUGGUAUAUAACUGCCAACUAAUAACUGGACUAACAUUUGGCCCGUCUGGCCCUACUUCUUUGACUUUGUUGUUAAUUUAUAACUUUAUGUGAAGUGGGGGCUGUUUGGGAAUGUGUGAAGCAAGGAUUUGAGCCGACUUCGCCUAAUCUGAUUCUCCAUAAGUGACUUCAUUUUAUCAUAUUGGUGUUUUUUUUCUUCUUCUUUUUAAAUGGCUGGGGAGGAGGGGAUUUGGGAGGGAUGCAAUGCCAUGGUUGCAUGCUGGAUUAUCCUUCCAAAUGAAACAUCCAUUUGGUUUCUAGUAACUAAUUGCAAACAAUUAAAGAGAAUAAAAUUUUAAGAUGAUUAAACAAUAAGUACCUAUGUCCAUGAAAAGGAGAGAAGUUCACUCAUGGGUGUUCAUGAAAGACAUCACAAAGAACCAUCAAUAUGAGAAGAAUCCUGAUACAAUUAACUUUCAUGCAUAAGAAAAGACGCUCAAAAAAGAAUAAUGCUUACAAGGAAAGAAUCUCACUACGAUCAACUGAAAAAAUAUUCCAAUUUAAUUGGAAAUCCUUACAUGGGAAGAAUAUCAAUAAAAUCAACUAAAAAAAUAUUUUAAUUUUAUAUCAAAAUAUUUGUGAUUUAACCCGUAUCAUUUCAUCAUGACUUCUUAUAAAUUUUGUUCCUUUUUAUCAACACCACCCCUUGAGUUGGAGCAUAAAUAUUUAUUAAGCUAACUUGAACAAGAUCUUGAGAAAUUUUGUCGCAGGAUUUGUUUGCACUUUUUUUUUUCAAAUAAAGUCAUAAUUAACUUUAAUAUGUUUAAUCAUUUCAUGAAAUACUAGAUUUUAAGCAAUGUUGAUAGCAUACUUAUGCCUGAAAGCUUUAUCCCAAAUCACAUGAGUACAUGAAGUGAUUGCAUCAUUAAUGGUAGUAUUAUUACUUUAUAUUCAACUUCUCCACUUGAUAGGAUGCAUGAAAGCAUUGUGCUUUCUUCUGUUUCAAGUAAUAAAGAUUAUCACCAAGAAAGGUGCAAUUAAUACCUAGUAACAGAGUACCUAGUGGUAGCAUGCACCUAUCCACUGAACUUGUACUCGACUCUAUGAGUGUACGUUACAUAGUCCUUUUUUCGAAGUCUAAAUGUCCCUUGAUAAAACCUUCUAAUAUUUGAGGUUUUGGUAACAUUCAUGUAUCAAUGAACAAAUUAAUUUACUAGCUAAACUUUAAAAUUAGGCAAUGUUUUUCAAUGGGUGAUCAAGAUCUUGGAAUUUUCAAUGUUGUUUGAAUAGCUUCCACACACAAGCAUAUUUUCUCCUAUUUAGGAAUAAUCCCUUUUUUGAAGGUGUGAUCUUUAUGCUCAAAAAAUAAAGAUACUCAAAAAUUUAAUAUUGACCUUCUCGUGAAGGAAAAGCUUUAUAACUAAUUUUUUUUGUGCAUUAUAUAUAUCCUCAAUAUAGACUUUAAAAAAAAAAGAAGUAACUCCCUCUACAAAGAGUGAAGAGUCAAUUAAACUUUUUUUUUUUUAAAAAAAAGGAACCAAUUACUCGUAAAAGUAAUGAUUAUUUUUACAUACCAAACUUGAGGAGAUUACUUAAGAUCACAAAAGUUUUUAUUAAAUUGCAAGCUAGAUGCAUUUGAAACGAUCGUUGAUGUCUUAGCAACACCUUAUGUAACUCAUCAAUCUUUAUGUAAAAAUGCAUUUUUAACACCCAUAUAAAAUAAUGAUCAAUCCUAAUUUAAUAGAAACAAAUGGUAAUACAUGAAUAUCAUUCAUAUUAAUGAGAAAAGUAAAUAUUGAUUUAUAAUCAACUUCUUAAGUUUGUGUCAAUGCCUUAAUCAUUAGUUUAACUUUGUCAUUCAAUGAUACCAUCAUUACGACAUUUAAUUAACUUAGAUUUGCGUAAAUCCCUUAAUCACUAGUCUAGCUUUAUGUCAUUCAAUGGUACCAUCAUUAUGGUAUUUAAUUGAUCUUAUACCCCCAAUUUGUAUACCCCAUGUUUUUCUUAAUUUACCAUACAUCACUUAACAAUGUUCCAUGCAUGGAUUUUGUUAAGUGCCUUAAGUUCCUUUUGCAUAGCCUUUCUCCAAAUUGGAUGAGGAUUGGCUUCAUUAAUGUCAUUAGACUCAUGAUAUAUGGAACUCAAACAAUUGUUAAGUGAUUUUGUAUAUAUAUAAAAAAAAAAUUGUAAUUAAUGUGGUAGGCAUAAAAAUCUCACAAAUGAGGAUUGAUUAAUUGUUAUAAUUGAGCAACAUGCUUGAGGCUUAGUCACAAUACUAGAACUUGAAGUCAGACAUUCUCUUCAAAUAAGGACGUAUAUACAUUAUAUUGGAUCUCCAUUAAACAAGUAAAGAACUAUUUAGUAGACAAUGAAACCUCAUUGAUCAAUGGUGGUAGAGAGACACAUGAUGACCAGACUAUUCCCCUGGAAAUGAGAAUAAAAAAUAUCAUUAGCCGCAAAAAUCUCAAAAAAAUUUAGAUAAUGGGAUAUAAAGAGUUUAUGAAUUUUACAAUCAUAACUCUUAUACUGGUUUAAGUGGUAGAGUAAUCAAGAACACAAAACGAGUUUGAUGAGUGGUUGAGAUAUGAACAAAGCAAAGAUUUCCAAAGACACCAAAAUCAGAAAUCUCAAUUUUUGGGCUAAGGAUUUCAAGAAGAAAUUUAAAAUUAACUACAUGACUAGAAAAUUUGUUCAUCAAGGAAAUAGAAGUAACGAUAUCAUAACAUCAUAAUUAAUCAAUAUUUUUAAUAACAUGCAUUUGGAACAUGAUAUACCGGCUUUCUAAUAAUCAAUGAUUUUUGGUUCAACCACACCAUUUUGUUUUGGGAUGCCAAUACAACAAGUUUAACGAANNNNNNNNNNNNNNNNNNNNNNNNNNNNNNNNNNNNNNNNNNNNNNNNNNNNNNNNNNNNNNNNNNNNNNNNNNNNNNNNNNNNNNNNNNNNNNNNNNNNAUGUAAGUGCCAAAUUAGGUAGUGUCGACAAUGAAAUGGAAAUUUUGGAAUAUAGAAACAACCUCAUUUUUAUGUUCUAAUAAGUAAACCUAUGUAGCAUAAGAAUAGUCAUUAAAAAAAAAGGUAACAAAAUGUUGAUUUCCAUCCUAUGGAUCAAUUAGGACACAACCCCAAGGUAAACUAAUUUGAAAGUUGCAACAAAAAUGGAAAGAGAUGAAAAAAUAAUAGAGGAAUUUAAGGUUGUUUCAAAAUUUCAAGACAUGCUAAGAAACACAUGAGAUUAUAGAUGAUUAGGUAACAACCUUGGUUAAGUAUAUUCAACAUAUAUAUCCCACGAGGAUAAAUAUCUUCACUAAACUUUUCCUAUUAUUCAAUCCCCUAAUACCAUACAAGUGAAAAAUUAAUGUCACGGUCAAAAAUUUUAAUAAGCUUCCAAAGAGAUAAUAAUUUUGGGGAAAAAAACAACCUAAGAAACCUAUGAAUUGAGAUAAUUUAGGAAAAAACUAAAUGUUCGUUAGCUCUAGAAGGGAAUUGAAGCUCAUCAUCAAUAAAGAUUGUUGCUAUCUCGAAUAAUAUCAAGUAAACCAUUAAGAUCGCUAUUAAUGGUAUGAUUAGCAGCACCAAUUAUCGACAAAAAAAUUAUUAAAAAUAUAAGAAAUGAGAGCUUUAAGAUUAUCUAAUUGAUUUGUAAACCUAGGUAAGUGAAUCAGUAUUACGUUUUGUUAAGGAAGCUUAGAUCCAAUUGGUAUCAUUCACCAAGUUAUUGGAUUAAAUUACACUAUCAAACUUUGGCUUUAAAUGAGAAUGAAGAAUCUAACCACAAUCCUUAUUGGGAUUAGAUAUGUUAUUGCAAUAAUGUUUACAAUCGGAUGAGUGCUAAUUUCUAUUGAAAUCAUGAAGCAAUCUCUGAUCAUUGGUCUUCUUUGUAGAAACAUGAGCAUUGAAUUUAAAAUUAAUAAUUGUUACUUGGGAUUCAACCUUCAUAAUCAUUGCCUGGGUUUCCUAAUCACUUUCAAGAAUUACUUAUAUAGUGAAGGCACUCGAAACUAAUCAAAUUUGUCCUCUUAUAAAGUUGUCAUAUUCAAGCUUCAGAAUAGCCAAUAAUUGAAAAACUUAUCAUACUCCGCAAUUUGUUGAAGAAUAUUUGGGUCUAUUGAAGGGGACAAUAUAGGGAAUAUUUGUCCCAUAUGCUCAAAAUGUUCAAUUAACAAAGUGUUCUGUAUGUUUAGGGAUUUGUUAGCUUUAAUUACACAAAACAUUAGCAGUUUUAGAGAAAAUUAAUUUUUUUUUGCAAUCUUAGGUUCCAUGAAAUUAAAAAGCCAAUAACAAGUCAAUAUGGCUUGAGACCCAGUCAUCAUAUUCAAAGUCAUCCAACUUAGAAGCAUUCAUUUUGCCACUAACAUGUGCUAAUUUCCAUUUUCUAUCUUUCAAGAGAAAAAGACUGCUCUUAACCAUGGCAAAUAAUUGAACCCAUUAAGAAGAUUGAGGAAAGUAUCAUAUGAGGGUUGUCAUUUUCCUCCAUGACAAAGAAAAAGCAACAGAGAAAAACUCAUAAUAUUAGAAAGAGAAUGAAAGAAAUUGAGUCAUAGAUACACACAGAAGAAUCCAAAAAUAAAGCAAUAAUACAACCACAAAUAUGAGAAGAAGCUCAAUUACAAAGAAAGGAACUCAAUACAAUCAACUAAAAAGCGUUCCGAAGUUCAUACGAAAAUAUUCAUAAUGUGAAGAUCAUUUCAUGAUUCCUACAAUUUCUUCCUUCUACCAGUCCACUCCAUACAAGGUUUGAUCAACAACUUCUUCAUUGAUUUUCUGGUCUCUCUCCGGUGUAUCAUAGAGCAUUUUUGACAUGUUUCUGCAAGAUACACUUGUUAACUUUAAGCGACAUAAGUGCAAAAAAAUAAGAUCAUGUUGUAUUGCCUGUGCUUCCACUCUGCCUUGUUUAGUACUAUUAUGGAGCAGUACUUCCAUAUAGAACCAGUGAUCUCCAGUUCAUUAUGUUGCCUUCUUUAAACUAACUUUAAUUAUCUAUACAUAUAAAACAAAGUGGUCCCAUCAAGGGGCUAAAUCAAGAAUCAAGUGGGGCGAACAGGAAACAGUGGCAUCAAUUUUUAAGUCCAUAAGCUUUAAUAAAAGGAAUAAAACCAAGGAUAUGAAUAUGUUAUUUUUUCAUUUGUUCAUGCACUGGAAGAUCUUUCCUCUUCAAGCAUUGAACCAGCAUCCUUCUGUGCAAGUUGCUGUCGGAACCUUCUAUAAUUGUCAGAAGUCUGUUUCUGAAAUAUACAGAUAAAACUUUUAGCAAGUCUUGACAUUGCUCAUCACUAGGACAUUGUACUAGGAUACCAAUUCAUCUAAUUAGGGUUAAGUUGGCAUCUCGUACACUAUUUUUUAUUUUUCCUUCAUCUUUUGUUCCCAUUUGCAGUGGAAGUGGCACUUAGAAUAUCUGAUCAUGAAGAAUUAGCUUUCGGUGAGAUGAUACUAGGUCAAUUGCCAUUAUCUUUUUGAGUUACUGUGCGAGCAAUCUUGAAAAUAUUUUGGGAUAAAUAGAAUUUGUGCUUAUCAUAAACAUGCUAAACAUCCAAAUCAAGUGCUUUUACUAUUGAUAUCAAAUCAGUAAUUGAUUUUAACCUUUAUGCUUAUCUUUCAGAUUCUCAAUUAUGUAUCUUGAAUAAUGAUAUUAAGCAGAAAUCAUGAAUUGAAUUGCUUUAAUUAACUGUGCCUUAUCAAGCUUGUCAGCAGUGCUAUUGCUACCGCGAAUCAAAUUCGCUGUGCUUCCCGCCUUCUCCAAAUAAGCCACAAGCCCAAUUAUAUCCGCCCUCCUCCCAUCUCCAAGGGAUCAAAAAAUAAAAUGACUUCAAUCAAUUUUCAAGUUUUCCAUCUUGAUCAGUAGACCACCCGGCAUGAAUGUUACCCUCAGUUUAGGAAUAGGAAUUCCUUUUACUAAUCAUUUGGCACUAAAAACUAUGACCCCUAGCAAUUCAUUCCCUCCAUUAGAUAUCUGGGGGCAUCUUGGCUCAGCCAAAAAUGAUAAGUCAUUGCAUUUCACAUUGCAUUCAUUUGUAUUAAUGAGCUAAUUUUUUUUCACAGAAUGUGAUGUGAAUCGAAUUACUUCCAACCAUGUGUCUCUAUAAGGGUUUAACAAAUGUAAUUUGCAUUGUCUGUACACUUUUUUUUCGGUUUCUUUUCUUUUUUAUGCAUGAUUCAUUAGUCCACGGAUCUUCUAUGCAAAGUGUGCAGGCCAAACACCUCCUUCAAUGCAUUAUUCUAGAAGUUAAGACUCAGUUUACUCCUUAAUUGAUCUGUUCCAUUUACUUCAAAUCAUUUGAUUACAUUAAAUGAAUCUUGAAAUUCAAAAAUGCAUCAAAGUUAAAAGACCUUCCAAUGCAUUAAGAAAUCAUCUGAUACAAAUAUAUGUGAACCUGCAACAACAAUAAUGUCAAAAUGGAAAACUUAGGUAGAAAAUAUUAGAACGGAAACUUACGACGAACUCAAUUUUUGGCGCCUUUCUUCUUCUCAUCUUCUGAUCCAAGAAGCUCUUCCAACACCGUGUCAUCCAAACACUCGAACUCAAUGACUUGCUUUUCUUGCCCAGAAGAGGAACCUCCCAUCUCUAAACUCCUACAAGGCCCAGAAGAUGACGAGGAAGACGAUGAGGAUGGUGAUGGUGGGGGGCGAUGGGAGCCCAUGAUUUCAGAAUAGUACUCAUUAGGAAAGUUAAGAAUGGCAAGAUGACCCCUUAAGUUAAAGGCCGCUCGAUCAUAGGCGCGAGCUGCAUCCUCCGCCCUGUCAAAUGUGCCUAGCCAUAGACGAGCACCUUGCCUAGACGGAUCCCUAAUCUCGGCUGCAAACUUCCCCCAUGGCCUCCUCCUCACCCCUCGGUAUCGAACUUCUUCCUUUUCCUUCCCUUCCUGCUCCUGCUUCUCAUUCCCUUUCGAAUGAUCUUCCAUGCUAAACGUGUCGAUUUGCUAGGCGCAAUUUUUUUGGUUUCAAAUGUGCUGGUUUACGAGAGGCAUGGAUGCUUAUGUAUAUAUAUGGUUGCCACAGUCAGGUCUGACGUCACCGCUCAAUGUAUGUUCCACAGCGUGGGUUGACGAGCUUUCUGAGGGGGUUUCCUCGAAUUCAAAGCAAGUAUAAAAAUUCGAUUCUCCGACCUUUCCAAUGAGGAUCGAACAGGCCUUUUAUUAGAACCGUAUGAUAACUCCACACUGUUUUCAAAUAGUCAAUGUGAUCUAGAUUCUUCGUUAAUUUUUUCCACCUGACUGAUUGUUUACAAUUUUAUUUUUCACCGUCCCAAAUUUAAACCAUUUACGCGAUUCCCUGGAUUGCAUUUUUCUUUAAUGUUGACUUUACGAGGCAAUAGGACCCCCCAGCAACCCCACUAGGGCGACUUCAUGGGAACCAGAUUACUUUUGGAUCCAGAUAUGGUCCAGAAGAAAUAAGACAAAUCAAUUAAUGUCCACUAAAGUUUUGAUGGAACCCUUAGUCCGUGUUUCCUGUGGAUGUAUGUAUUGUAUGCACCUCAAUUUUCACCAAUCCCUGCUACGAGUCCCUUUAAUUUUGACGUUAUAAAUGUUUUUCCUGACAUUAGCAGAGUGUUUUUCUGCCGUCUUUGAGGACCUUCCACGGCCCAUAAACUAAUAAGGAUCGUCCAGUGAAUUUAGUCUUCCCCAGUUAAUUAUCCUGCGAGGGAAACUUGGGCAGUAAGUUGCCUACAUGAGUGGCUCCCGCCUACAUGAGUCAAGGGACCAUACGUCAGGACGACAACCAGUGUGGUCACACCAAAGUGGGUUGCCUGGACUCCAGGGUGGUCGCUUCAAAGUUGUCAAAUGAAGGCUAGCUUGGCAAGUUUUGGAAAACAAUUAUUGAAAAACAUUUUUCAUGAAUAACAGUUUCUAUGAACAGAUUUUAAGAAAGUUUAUUUUGUGAUUUUUAGGAAUAUUUUUAAUUUAAAUUUUUAUAUUUUUAAUUUUUUAUUAAUUUAUUGAUUAUUUAAUAUUAGCUUAAUUAAUGGAUUUUUCUUGGUCCCAAAUUAUUAAUUUAUCAAGAUUUAAUCGCAUCCAUAAUUAGUCUAAUUUCUUUUGGAGUGAGUGUGACAAAGUGCAAAUUUCUAGAGUUUUAUUAAUGUUAUUCAAUGUCAUAAUUUAACUAAUUAUAUUAAUUAUUUAUUAAUCAAAAUAAAUCAUUCACUUGAAAUAUGAUAAUUUAAAUUAAAAGUUUCAAUUAUUUAUUAAUUAGCAAAGUAUGAACUUUUCUUCUUGUUUUAUUAUUGUUAUUCCAUGUAUAUAAUUUAAUUAACUGUUUCCAAUAUUAAUCAAUAAAAAUAGAAUAUAAGCAUGAGAAGAAUUAGUAAAAUUCAUUGAUUUGGAAUUAGAUAGCUAGAGGAAGAACUUCAUCAUCUUCCCAUUACUUAAAUUUGUAUAAAUUCUAAAUAUUUAAACCCCCCCCCCCCCCCCCCCCCCCAAAAAAAAAAAAAAUGGUAAAGAAAGACUCCCCAAGCUUUCUUGGUUGGUGUUACCCUAAAAUUUGUACAAUAAGAUGAACCAUUUGGCUUAAAGCUUGGUGCGAAACCCCUUAUCAAUUGAAAAUAUCAAUGAAGUUGUUGAAUGGUUUUAGAGGACUAUUCUUAUGCAGAGUGGCAUAAGAAGCGAGGAGAUGAAGAGCGGAGAGACGUUAACAUCGGAUGCUGCUACGAAGGUGGGAAUACGGUUAAUUAAUUAGAUUUUGUGAUGGCUUUGAGUUUGAAGGAGUUAGUUUAAUGGGUAUUAUUAGUGAACUGAUAAUUGGAUUUGAUGUAAAGAAGGUUGGUCCAUUGGAUUAGCAAUUGGUUUGGCCUUUUGGGGGCCCCAUUUCCAAAUGCAUUGCCUUUUACAAGCAUUCAACAUCGCUGGACGUAACCAGGCUUGGUUCACCUAAAAGUAUCGCAUGGAUUGAAUUGACUAAGUUUUCAUUGUAGACUAGCCUUGAUUUUCCCUUGACCUGCCCACCAAAUCCUGAUGCCCACGCGAGGGAAUACCUCAAUUUUCUAAUAAUUUAUGCAGUUUCUCUUCAAAGCUCGUGUGAUCACUUGGGUCGGUAAAAUAAUGCAUUCCUCUACUUUUUCUCCCUUCCUAGAUGCAUGUUAUACCAUUAAUUCAAAUGUGAACAUGGGCUUGGCUUUGAAACUUGGUUCAAGGCCCAACAUGUUGACCCACAAUUGAGGUGUAAUUGAAUUUGUACACUUUUCGACUUUGAUACCAUUUGUCAUUACCAUUGACAUUGGGUCAUUGUUGAUUUUGAGUCCACAACUUUUAAGGUUGUUAUUACAAUUUUAAAUUGCGCCCACCCAAUUUAUAUGCAUUAUCCCUUAUAAAUACCGAUAACCUCUCUUUCUUCGAUAAUAUAAAAUGUCACAUAUAUUAUAUAUCUCAAUGUUUUCUUUUACUUUUUUUUUUUUUAUCGAUCGACAUUCUCUCUCAGAUGAUAUGAGAUGUCACAUAUAUUAUAUGUUUCAAUGUUUCUUUUACUUUUUCUCUUUUUCCUCAUGAUUGACAUUGUCUUUCUCAAAUGAUAUGAGUUGUCACAUAUAUUUUAUGUCUCAAUGUUUUCUUUAACUUUUUUUCUCUCUUCUUUAAUGAUCGACGUUCCUUUUCUCAGAUGAUAUGAAAUGUCAUAUAUAUUAUAUGGCUUAAUGUUUUCUUUUACUUAUUCUUUCUUUAUUAAUAAUCGACAUUUUAAGCAAUAUGUGAAUAUAAAGCAUUAAAAUUAUCUCCAUCGUUUUUGGAUGUGGUAUAAAUACACAAUUCUUAUUUUUGUUUUAAAUAUUUCUAUUGCUAUCUAUUGAAAUUUUAUGCAUGAAGCUACCAAGUUAAUUAUACAUAUAUCUUAAGAUUUUUUUUUUUUUUUUUUAUAGGAUAUAUUGUCCAUGAAUAUUUUCUGCAAUGGUAUCUUGUUUGAUUACUAUAAGAAAUAAUAUAUAUAUAUAUAUAUAUAUAUAUAUAUAUAUAUAUAUAUAUAUAUAUAUAUAUUAUAUUUCAAUGUUUCAUAUUUGCUUAAAAUAAAAAUUAUAUUUUAUCACAAUAUUUGGUAUUAAAAAAAAUGAAAUCUCUCUCAUUUAUUAUUACAAAAAAAUUAUAAUUUAUAAUUUUCUAAAUAAGUUUUAUUUAUUUGCUAACUAUAUUCAUGAUUAAAAGAUUUAAAAUUUAUAAAUAAAAAAUAUUAUGUCAUGUCAUUAAAUAAAUAAAAAUAUAUGUAUAUAUUAAAAUUAUGUUUUAUUGUAGCUUUUAAUAUUUUUUUUUUUAUUCUUUUCUUUUUUGAACUACAAUUUUAAUUUUUUUUAAUCAAAAUUUUUUAAUUUACAAAACGAGUAACAUAAAACUUGCCUUUGAACUUUAUUGGAAUGUUAUAUACUACCAUUUGGCUUUCAAGACAUUAGAAAAGGCAUAAGUGUCCCUUUUAUUUUUCCGAAAGGCAUAUUAGACUAUAGUAGGAAGUGUUGUAUAGAGGCAACUAAAAGUUGCCUUUAACUUUAUGAAGUCAUAUACUCCUCUUUGGCUUUGAUGACAUCAACUAGCAAAUUGGAUUUUGUUUCCUUUGCAACAUUUUUCCAUCCAUUAGCCAGUUUUUUUAUACUGUUUGGUGCUUGCCAACAUGGCACACACUAUGGUUCUUAAAAAGUAUUUUUUUUUUUAAGAUACUACGAAAUAAAAUACACGAUUGAAAGAUGAGUCACAAUAAUUUUCAAAACUAAAUUUUUUAAUAUUGUUAAGAAAAUUUGACCACCAAAUGAUUGAUUUUAAAUUACAAAUACUUUUGUUAGCUAAGAAAUUUGUUGUUCUAUUUGUUUCCCUAUAAAUAUGACAACAAUCAUAAAUAUUUUCAUUUUAAGAUAAUUUUCAAAUAUCUUCCAUUAAUAAUAUAAUAGAAUUAGGAAUUUUUUUUUUAGUUAUAACAAUCUAUAAUUAUUUAAGAGUCUUCCUCAAUCUCUAGGUUUAAGAACUUAUUGUUCUUAACAACUAACAUGUCAUCUCUUAAAAUAAUACAUUCUGCAAUAAUUAUUGAAAUAUGAUAUAAUAUAUAUAUCUACUUACAACCAUUUUUGUAGUACCAUUAGAAUUUUUAAUUACCCAUUCUAAAGUAUUUUUAUUCUCUAUUCUUAAACCAUCAAAAUUUAAUUUAAAUCUUUCAUUAAUUGGAUAAAUCCAAUGAAUCUAACAAGUUAAAGGAUUAUGAAUCCGACAAAACAGUUGAUAAUAAAUUAAUAAUGCCAUUAAUAUGAUUUUAAUGUGAAACACAAUUAUCACAUUUAAUACAGUUAGUCCUUGUAUGAUUAAUGUUUUGGAAGCUAAAAUCAAUCUUUUGACUAUAAUAAGAGUUUCUACUAUUUCUAUUUUUGGAUGAUUUUAUAUUUUUCUUAUUGUUUUAGUUUAAUACAAAAAAUAAAAAUAAAAUUACAUUAGUAGAAUUUUUUUAACUUACUCAAAAACCUAUUUUAGUUGAAUGAUUUUUUUAAAAAAAAUAUAAAUAUUUUGUUAAAAGGGAUAAAAUAACCUUACCUUGUGAAAAAGACCUCUUCACCCAAGAUUACUUGUUCAUAAUCCUUUUAAGACGAAAAUGCCCCCUUCCUAAAAAAUAUUUCAUCUUAAACUUAUUUUUCUUUUUAUUGCCCUUUGUUCCAUCCUUCCGGCUUGGGAGAGAAAUUCAUUCUUCUUUUGCGAAGAAAAAUUCCUAUUGCGAUUUUUCAUUUCAAGUGGAAAAAAAAAUUCUUAUUUCAUUUUAAAGAAAUUGUACAUUUUCAAUCUUUCUCUUUGUUCCUAGUUGAGGGUUUUUUUUGUAAUUUUAUCUUAACACUACAAAUUUAAAGGUGAGAUUAAAUCUUAAUGGUUAUUAGUUAAAUCACAUAUCUAACUUUGUUUUUGUCAGGACCUAUAAUAUGAUUGGAACCACCAUCCAAACUUCAUUAGGUGGGAUACUCCCCACCCUCCCCCUCCCCCCGCGAAAUCCUUGGAUUUUAGUUUUGACUUGGAUUUCAAUUGCCCGUAUCAAUUUUUCUUUAUUUAUUAAUUUAUUAAUUUUCAACUUUAACAAAAGCCUUGAAUCAUAUUUAAAUUCAAAUAACUUAAUCCUAAUUAAGUUCUUUUUAAAUAAAAAUUAAUCAUUGAAAAGUUCAUGUGACUAUUAUAAUUGAGAAUUUAUCCCAAGUUGGGUUUUUUGCAAAUAAAAUUUUAUUAUAGGACAUCAUGAUGCAACAUAACAUAAGGUUGUUACUUAAGUUUGUUUUGACCUUGUAAUAUGUUAAAAUGAAAAUGAAGCCAUUGUAACAGGAGAGAAUGAUGAAGCUGUGGAGAGAGCUUAACAAAGCUUGGGUUGGAGAGACUUCACAGGAAGAGAGAGAGAGAAAUAAAGGGUAAAAUUAUCAAAAGAGAAAAGAAAAAAAAAAAAAAAAAAGAAGGUUAUGUCUUCAAAUAAUCAAUAAGAGAUGUCAUUUUUCUAAUUUUCAAAGUUCUUUUGGUCCUUCUCUACAAAUAUCCCUAUAAAAAUAUUAUAAUAUCAAGUUAAUUUGUCAAUACCAAAAUUUAUAUUUUAUAUUAGGGCGACUAAAUAACAUAUAGAAAGAAUUUUAAAUGAGUAAAUCAAAUCAAUUUUGAAACCAAAACUUAAUAAUUACCAAACUUGUAAUCUUAGUCAUUAAAAGUGUACGAUGAAAUCUAAAUUAUUAAGCAAUGAAACAAAAAAUUAAGAUUAAAAUACAAAACGUUAAAAUCAAGAUACAAACUAUUAAAAUGUAAGUGGGAUAUGAGAUGAUAUUAUAAAAAAUAGUGUGAUCCAACAAAAAGUCUAGUACAUCAUUAUCUUCACUUCCAACCAUGUUUAAAAGGUCACAAGUUCUAGCGGUUUCCAAGGACAAUGUUAAAAAUAAUAAAAAUAAAUCCAAUUAAAUAUUAAUUAAUUUAUUUGAAUUUGAGUCCGACAAAAUAGUUGGUAAUAAGUUAAUAAUGCCAUUAAUAUGAUUUUAAUGUGAAACACAAUUAUCACAUUUAAUACCCGUUAGUCCUUGUAUGAUUAACUUUUUAGAAAUUAAUAUCAAUCUUUUGAUUAUAAUAAGAGUUUCUACUAUUUAUAUUUUUGGAUGAUUUUAUAUUUUUCUUAUUGUUUUAGUUUAAUACAAAAAAAUAAAAAUAAAAUUACAUUAGUAGAAUUUUUUUUAACUUAUUCAAAAAACCUAUUGUAAGGUGAAUGGUUUUUUUAUUUUUUUUUUAAAUAUAAAUAUUUUCUUAAAAGGGAUAAAAUAACCUUACCUUGUGAAAAAAGGCCUCUUCACCCAAAUUUACUUGUGCAUAAUCCUUUUCAGACGAAAAUGCCCCCUUCCUAAAAAAUAUUUCAUCUUAAACUUAUUUUUCAUUUUUAUAACCCUUUGUUCCAUCCUUAUGAUUUGGGAGAGGAAGUCAUUCUUCUCUUGUGAAGAAAAAAUUCCUACUGCCAUUUUUCAUUUCAAGUGAAGAAAAAUAUUUAUAUUUCAUUUUAAACAAAUUGUACAUUUUCAAUCUCUCUUUGUUCCUAGUUGAGGUUUUUUUUUUUUUUUUUUUUUUUUGUAAUUUUAUCUUAAUUGUACAAAUUCGAAGAUGAGAUUAAAUCUAUAAUGGUUAUUGGUUAAAUCACUUAUCUAACUUUGUUCUUGACAGAUCGUAUAAUAUGAUUGGAACCACCAUCCUAACUUUAUUAGGUGGGAUCCCUUUUUUUUUUUCCCCAAACCCUUGGAUUUUAGUUUUGACUUAUAUUUCAAUUGUCUGUAUCACUUUUUCUUUAUUUAUUAAUUUUCAACAAGUUCUUUAACAAAAGCCUUGAAUCAUAUUUAAAUUCAAAUAACUUAAUCCCCAUUAAGUUCUUUUUAAAUGAAACUUAAUCAUGUGAAAGUUCAUGUGACUAUUAUAAUUGAGAAUUUAUUCUUAGUUGGGUUUUUUGUAAAUAAAAUUUAGUUAUAGGACUGUGAUGAUCCGUUCUCAACCGUAUAAAUAUUGUUCGUUUUGAAUUCAAAAUAACUUUUACGGCUUUAAAACAUGUUUACAAGAUUAAGAGGAGUCCAUAUUUAUAUAGCUUCACGAACUUUCCCCCCUAUUCGAUGUGGGAUGUCACAAGGACAUCAUGAUGCAACGUAUAACAUAAGAUUGUUUCUUAAGUUUGUCUAACCUUGUAAUGUGUUAAAAUGAAGAUGAAGCCAUUAUAACAGAAGAGAAUGAUGAAGUUGUAGAGAGAGCUUAACAAAGCUUGGGUUGGAGAGACUUCAUAGGAAGAGAGAGAGAGAGAGAGAGAGAAAUAAAGGGUAAAAUUAUCAAAAAAGAAAAAAGAAAAAAAAGAGGGUGAUGUCUCCAAAUAAUCAAUAAGAGAUGUCAUUUUUCUAAUUUCAAAGUUCUUCUGGCCCUUCUCUACAAAUAUCCCUAUAAAAACAUUAUAAUAUCAAGUUAAUUUGUUGAUACCAAAAUUUAUAUAUUAUAUUAGGAUGACUAAAUAACAUAUAGAAAGAAUUUUAAAUGAGUAAAUCAAAUCAAUUUUGAAAUCAAAACUUAAUACCUACCAAACUUGUAAUCUUAGUCAUUUAAAGUGUUCCAUGAAAUCUAAAUUAUUAAGCAGUGAAACAAAAAAUAUAAGAUUAAAAUACAAAACGUUGAAAUCAAGAUUCAAACUAUUAAAACGUAAGUGGAGACGUAAGAUGAUGUCAUAAAAAAUAGUGGGAUCCAACAAAAAGUCUAUUAAUCAUUAUCUUCACUUCCAAUCAUGUUUAAAAGGUCACAAGUUCUAGCGGCUUUCAAGGACGAUGUUAAAAAUAAUAAAAAUAAAUCCAAUUAAAUAUUAAUUAAUUUAUUUGAACAAUAGAUAGGACCAAAAUAAUAUUCUAAAAGGAAUCAUAGGGAAGUCCUUGGACAACCUACGACAUUGAACAAAGGUACAGUGAGACAAUGCACUUAGCCCUUCCUUGUCAUUGCGAUGAAUAUAAAAAGACACCCUGAUUGAGGGUGCCCCACUAAGCCAAGAGUGAUUCUUUUGUAUUGUAUAACGUGAAUAUUUUUGAACUUUGAAUGACCCUUCCUAUAGUCAUCAUUGUCAAAACUAGAAAAUCAGAAAGAUGCGAUGUACGAAGGCACCAUUGAAUAAGAGGCUUAAUUCUCUUUGGCAAUUAGGAUAAAGUUUCAAAAUAGAAAAAUUAAACAAAUGUACAGUGUACGGACACUUGGGCAUUGCCUAUUUGUUUUGUUCUUCUAGAGUUGUAUAUGGUAAAGGUCAUAUUGGGUUGGUUCUAUUUGGUUAUUGAAGUCGGCUAGAAUAUUAGAUUUGGUUUCAAUCUAAUCCCAUAUGAUAUUAGAAUACCAGCCCAUACAGAAUUUUUGACCAAAUAUAAUAUUUCUUUUAAAUAUAAAUAUAGUAAUUAAUUUUAGUCUAAGAUUAAUUAUGUAGUUUCCUAAAGAGACCACUUCCUAAACGGUAGCUAUGUGGAAGUUGGGCCAGGUCCUGCCGAGAAGGUUUCCACGAGCUGAGCCCAAAACUGAGUAGCUGUGAUGGGAUCAUUCUAGCAUUCAGCCUGAAACUUGUAACAUAACGGAUCGAGAGGCCUGAACUCCAAGACCAUGGUUCGUCAGCCCAUUAACUUCAACAGCACGCAUUUUAGAGGACUGGGCUUGCAAGGGGUGAGGUUUCCGGGCCGCGACCCCAAAUAUGAACAGCCUCAGAAGUGAUAUUGCUUACUGGCACGUGAAGAGCGCAAGCGUAACUAGAAGAUUUGUAAUGCCGCUUUAAUUGUUUGAUUAUAGAAUCCCACGCAUUACGCAUGGAAAGUGUAAAAGAUAAAAGAUGUAGAAUUUUUUCUUAGAGAAAAGUUCGUUUGGAUAUAGUUAUUGUUUUUUUUUUAAAUAAUAAUUGUUUUUUUUAUAAAUUAUAGAUAAUCUUAGAAAUUUAUCUUUAAAAAAAUAGUUUUUAAAAAUAUUUAAGGAGAAUAAAAGUGAUAAAAAAAAACUUUACAAUUUCAAAUUUUUAAAAAAUGAAAAUUAUUUUUAAGAAUAUAAGUUAAUCUCCUGCAUUUAAAUCUUAGGUGGUUUUUGUUUUUUUUACUUUUCGCUGAAAACAAUUUGUUUUCAAAAUUUAGGUCAUUUGUUUUUUCUAUUUUUUCAUGAUUUAUUAUAAAUUUUUUACUAAAUAAAAAAAAUCAAAAUAUGUAACUUUUUCUAAAUAAAAAAAAUAACGUAUUGAUUUUUCUUUACUUUUUAAUACUUAAUAGAUAUAAAAUACUACAAAAACAAAAAAUCUAAUAUUUAACACUAUUAAGCAUUAAAGUUCUAUUUAGAAUUAAGUAAAAAAACAAACACCACCUUAUAUUUUAUAUAAAAGUUACUUAUAUUUUGGUUUUUGGAAAUAAAAAAUAUAAAGCAUAUCCAAACAUGAGCUUAGCUAUUUUAAAUCAUAUCAAAAUAAUAAUCCCAAUAAGGUAAAUGGACUUUUAUACGGAGAAUAAUCUUUAAGGUUUUCAUUUUUAUUGGAUUUUUUUUUUGUGGUGUUUUUUCAAUCCAUCUUCUCAAUUAAUUCCUUAAAAUUAUUUUACUGUUUUUUUUUUUUUCAGUUUCUAAAUAUUUGAUUUUUCCAAAAUGCUUAAAUGGAAGACACUAAUUUUUCAAGAUAUUUGGUAUUACAAUUUUCCCUGUUCUCCCUAUUAUCUAUCAGAUUCAUGGCCCUUUUGUUUUUUCAUUGGUUUUCAAUUUAAUUUUCCAAAUAUUACAUUGUUGUGUUUUGAAUUUGUGAAACCAAUUUUAUAUAUAUAUAUAGUAUGUAAGUCUACUUUGGGUAACAUGUACAGAGAGGUUUUCAUGUGUUUGAAACCUUUUACCUCAAAAAUUAAUUAUUUUUAAUUUUAUAAUAAAUCUUUUUUUAUUUUUUAUUUUAUUUAGGAAAGCCUAUAUUUAAACUACAUGUUUGCAACGCAACACCAUACAUACUCCUAGUGGAACUUACCUUAGUGCUUGAGGGGGAUGCAGAUCUUCUUCUAAACCUAACUAAUAAGCAUAAAAUUGUUCACUAAUUAGCAUAUCUAGUAAAUCAUACAAAUUGGCAAUAUUUCAUGUUUUUCAUGUUUUGUCAAUAAAAGGCGUCUUGACCAUUUUGUGAGUUUUGUAAUAAAUAAAAAAAAAAAAAAAAAAAGGGCAAAAGGUGACUAAAAUGAGGCACUUUGGAAAGGUUAAUAACCUAAAAGGAAGAUGAAUUAAUACCCCCUUAUUCCUCUUCAAAAACCAUUGAGAAAAUGCAAGAAAUGCUCUUAGUUGUAUGCUAGGCUAACAGCCUAGCAACCAUAAUACCCUUCUUUGCAAUUGUAAGCAUUUUUUUUUUUUUUUUGAAGGCCAAACAACGUUGCAAACUUCCCAAAUCCCUUCUUUAUUUUUUAUUUUUUUAUUUUUGUUUUUAGAAGGAGAAUGAAUUUGAUGACAAACUCCUUGUCAAUCUUAUCCAAACCACGAUCGAACAGAACUCCUUGUCAAUCUUAUCCAAACCGUGUUCCACCUCAAAAACAUGUGUAGGACUUAAGGCAGCAACUGGCAAGCAUGACUGAUAGGGCCAAGUGCCCUUGUCUCUACAAUCCAUUAAGUUAACCAAGGGCAGUGAACCAUCAUUCUUUUCAAAAGCUUCAUUCCGUGUUGAAAAUGUGAGACUGAAGCAUGGUGCCCCCAAAAAUAACGAUCUAUUUACUAGCAGCAUGCCUGGACCCAUUAAAAAUACUCUACUUUAGGAAUAGAAAAAAUUACAUCUUUAUCCAAUAAUUUUAUAACAAUUCAGACGUUUCAGUCUAUAAAUAAUUGUACAUAGUUGCCAACGUUUAGCUAGUUUCAAAUGAAUAGCCUAGGUUCAUGCACCAGUUUGGCUGGUGGAGGAAAGGGAUUCGAGACAUUGAACCCUCUUUUUAGUGUGCCAAAUAUUCCACAAAAAUCACUACCUUCUCUUUGUGUUUGUUCACUUUUAGUUUAUAUUUAAUAAAUCUAUGUUUUCGAGUAGAGGUUGGGUUCAGGUGCGACCCACGUCACCUCUCGGACGGUCUUGAAAAAGGAGACCGGACCACGUAAUUUCAAAUGUAGUGACCAUCUCACUUUUACCUCCAUCCUUGAAGAUGGUUUCCCAAAUCAAUAUUAAUCUUUUGUUUACGACAAUAUCGAUCACUUUAUGUCUAUAUCGUUGUUAAUUUACCUUUUUUUUUUAGCCACAUUAUUUGAAAAUUGAUGCAAACUUUACCAACAUCUUGGUACCAUUUUAAAAUAUUAGAGUUAUUUGAUUAAAAAAAUAAAAUAAUCUCGAUAACUUGUUUAUAAAAUAAAUAUCUUUUAACAUUUAGACUAUUCUCACGCAUGCUUUAAAAUUGUAAAGAUAUUCAUAAAGUGGAACUUUAGACUUAAUCAAUAUCGAUCACUUUAUGUCUCUAUUGUUGUUAUAUUUUUUUUUUACAACAUUAUUUGAAAAUUGAUGCAAACUUUACCAACAUCCUAAUACCAUUUUAAAAUAUUAGAGUUAUUUGAUUAAAAAAAUAAAAUAAUCCCGACAACUUGUUUAUAAAAUAAAUAUCUUUUAAUAUUUAGACUAUUUUCACCAUGCUUUAAAAUCAUAAAGAUAUUUAUAUUCAUAAAGUGGAACUUUAGACUUAAACAUGAUAAUAGUUUUUUUACAAUAUUAUAAUUAUUUUAUCGUUUUAAUUAAGCCCUUUAUCAUACAUAUAAAUGUAAAUUAAUGCUAAAUUUUUAAAGCAACGUAUAACCUUUUACAUCUUUUUUUAAGAUGGUGCGAAAAUCCUAUGAAAAAUAAUAAAAGUCGAUGCAUAAGAAGAUUGUUUUGAUAAUUCAAUAGAAAAAUUCUUUUAAAAUGAUAUUAAAAAAUACCCAUAGAGCCUUUAUUAAAAAAAUCAAUUAUUUUCAUAAUAAAAAUUAUAAUUUUUUAUUAUGUAUUAUUAUUUUUAAGUAUCUUUAUUACAAAUACUUUUUUUGAGUUUAUGAGAGGAAUCAACAGGUUGGUACAAGCUUAGGCGUCCUCGUACAUGUUCCCGCUGUGCAAGGUUUUUGUCUUGUUUCGAGCUAGUCGGAAUUUACGUGUUUGAUAACGUUUUGUCCUAUUUUUGUAACGCUUUAAAGGGCGGCCCACCGUUGGAACAGUUCAAGCCAUCCAAAUCAGCCCGGAGGGUUAUGGCGACGUGGCAUGACGCCUACCACCUUAGUUCACAUGAACCCUAUGAUCGUACUACCCUCACAUGACAUCUGUGAUUCUUCACCUCCAAACCCUCUUUAACUUGGUAAUGUAUUCAAAGCUUCAUCAAAUCAUAGCGAUUAGCGACCCUCUUCCACCCUAAUUUUAUAAUAAAAAAUAAAUCUUAGUGGACAUUAAAGUAGUAUUUUGUGGGGGGAAAGAAAAACUCUAUGGGCGUAUCCACUAAAUACGAGCCAAGUAUAAGAGUUAUCACCAUGGAAUCAAAUUAUGAAGCAUUGACAUUUUAAUUGUAUUCAGAUUUGAGGAGGGCACCGCGGCACCAGCUGGCCCAGUGUAGUCUGCUAGCCUACCCGCCAUAAUGACCAAAUUAAUAAAGUAAAAAGGAUUACAGGGAUAUUCCCAACUUUAUUCUGGGUCUGAGCUGGAACUUGGGAGUUAUCACGAUCAACGGGAAAGAUGGUGGGUAGGGGACGAGGAUUGAGGGCUCCAUAUUCACAUCAGUGAAAAACGAAAUGUAUUGAGACAAGUCUUCUAAGGAUUUUCUAGCGUAUUAUAUGGUUUAAAUGAUUAUAAAUCUGUAGUUACUGGUAAAGAGUAGAGAGUGAAGACGAAAGACGUUGAGUGAAAAGGAAGGAGGAGAGGGGAUGGGGCCAUCUUACCGUGUCGGGGAGGAUCCAUAAAAGGACUACGUUCCCUGAAUCUGUAGGCAUCAUGCCUCGCCUAACGGGUUAGUCAAAAUACAGUGAUGUGUGUGAGUUGGGGGCCUCACUCCUCAUUUCUUUCCUUCUUUUCACCCCCACCCCCACUUUUUUUUUUUUUUUUUCGAAUUUUUCUUUGUCCUUUUCUCUCACUUGCGCACGCGGGAGAAGGACCACAAACUAGACAAUUCCUCUGCUCACGUGACCCCGAGUUUUUAAAUAUUUGCCUAUUUGGAAAAUAGUCAUGAAUCAUGAUCGUUAACAAACAAUCUUCACUUUAUUUAUUUAAGAUCUAUUUUUUGGAGCUCUAGUUUAGUUUAUUAUUAUUAUUAUUAUUAUUAUUAUUAUUAUUAUUAUUAUUUAGUAACUCCUCUUAUAUUAAUGAAAAAGAGAGGAGGAAUCCAAACUUGUUUAUUCUUCCUCUUUUAAGGUGUUUGUUUUUUUUAUUUUAUUUUUAUGCUUCAUAUGUCUUCAAUUUCUUAGCAUUUGUCUUAUAUUUCUUCUUAUCCGAUUCAUUAUUGCAUCCUUGGUCAAUCUUUCACGAGGAGUGCCUACUUUUUUCCUUUUUAUUAUUUAAUUCACUUUAUCUUUAUAUUUUCCUUUUACACUUUAUUUCCAAUUCAAAACGUGUCAAAAAAAAAAAUUGGUAACAAAAAAAAAAAAAAAAAUCAAUUGUAAUGAUUCUUAUAUAAUUUUAUUUAAUUUUUAUUAAACAAUAAAGAAAUUAAAAAUAUAUAAAUUUUUAAAUAAUUAUUAUAGUCUUUCAUUUUUGUGUAUAAUUUCUUUUGCAAGAAAUAGUGUAGGCUUUCCACGGUCUAAAGGAAAUGGAAUAUCAAAUGAGAAGGUAAUAAUAAUAAAGUGAGUUAUAGAUACUAAUCAAACUAAUCCACUAAUGAAUUAUUUAUUUUUAUUUCACAUGGACAAAUCCUAAAAGUUGGAGUUCUAAUUUACUUUUAUGUUAAGCUUUUUUAAGUAAAAAUCUUUUAUUAUUAUAAUUUAUAGACAAAAAGAAACCCAUUAAUGUGAUGGAUAAAAAAUUUCAAUUUAAAAAAAAAAAAAUUAAAGUUGCUAAAUUUUUGUAUUUAUUAUUUCAAACUCAUUUAAAUAAUUUAAAAAUAUGUCUUCAAUUAAUUUUAAUGAAACAAAGCAUGAUUUUUUUUUAAUUUUUUUUUCUUUACCAAAUAAAGCAUUAUUAUAAUACGUUGAUUAAAUUUUCAUCAUGUCUCUCAAGAUUUGGAUUAAAUAUACUUAGUUGUCAUAAAUUUGAAAUUUUAUUUAAUGUAUUUUUUAUUUUAAAUUAAAAAGAUGAAUGCAAAUAAAAAAAAUAUGUAUAUUUUAUAAAAUUUUAAAUUAAACGAAGGAUACGUGUAUUUAACCAAGGUGAAUGAAAUUAAUCCAAAUACUUUUUGGUAACUUGCAAAAUAUCUUGACGAAAUCAUUAUGGCAGGCAUCGUACAAGCUCAACCCUUGUCGCCUUGCUAGAAAUAGAGAAACAAAAAGACCCCCAAAUUGGGUUGCAUCCUAAAUAUGAAGAAGUGGUAACAAAGGAAGAAAAAAUGCUGUGUUAUUGAAUAGUUAAUACAUUGAACAUGAUAUGUUACAUAGAGAGCCAGAUUAAUCCUAGUGGAAUUCCACUGUCACGAUGGUAACCUAGGGUUAUGUUUGGUUAUUGAAAAUACCAAGAAAAGAAAAAAAAAUAUAAAGGAAAAUAAUUUUUUCAUUUUUGAUUGUCUUAUAAAAGAUAUAAAAAAAAAACAAAUAUAAUUAAAACUAAUUAAAAAUUUAGGUAUUUUUAAAUUAUUUAAUUUUUAUAUUAAUGAGCGAAAAUAAAUAAAAUAAGUUUAAAAUAACAAAAAAAAUAAUUUACCGAUUUUUAAUCUAUAUUUUAUUUUACUUUUUCUUUGUAUUUUUUUUUUCUUAUAUUUUCCCUCAAAUUUUCUGAAUCAAACAUAGCAAAAAAGGAGCUACCCCUUUCGAAAGAAACUCCCAAGAAUUUCAAAGAAACCUGCUGAGAUAAUGAAUGAGGGAUCACUGUCGGUAAACAGUAUCCAUUCUUUUGGGAGGACUUUCAAACUGAGAAGUUGUUUUCAUGACUUGGAAACAAAAUUUUGAGCUCUAAGGGGGUCUGUAUUUGGGCCCUAAAAUUCAAUCCAUCAAUCUGAAAAAUGCUUAGGAUAAUGAUUUGAUUUAGCCACAAUCACUAAACAAAUUCCAGAGGAAAAUUUCGCUACUCAUAGGUGGCUGAUUCUCAUAAAAAGACAUCGUGGUAGGGUGUCUCAAGUGCAGGCUCACCAUCAACUUGCUGCCCUUUUUAGAUUAUUGUAAAAUGAUUUCACAUGAAGCCCAAUGCAAAACUUUGAAAGAAAAGGUUGGUGGAGACGUGAAGAAUAUGUAACCCAUAGGCCAUAACUAGUACCGAAGAUUAUUGAACAAACAUUCAAGGUUUUUGUAUAGACGAAACUGAAAAGAAUGUGUACCAGACUCAGGCGUUCAGAUCAGAUGAUGCCGUAAUGUGGAUUGUGGAGGAGCAUUGUGCAGACAGAUAAUGAGAUUCUGAAAGCGAGGCCACUGAUGGGCCCUUGGAAGGGGGGCGUGCCUUCAAAAUUAUAUAUAUAUAUAUAUAUAUGUCAUUGAAAAUUGGAAGCAACUUUUCUUCUUAAGUUAUUUUAAUCGAAGAAGAAACAAAAAGUUAAAAACAUACAUUAUUCUUCCUUCUUACGAGGUUUCCGGGUCUAAAUUACUAUGGUCUCUGCAACUGGCGUCGUUUUCUCUCCCCUCUCUCUAUUUUCCCUUUAUUUUUUCACUUUUAGAAAGAAGCAUCCCAUCAAGAAUCUACUACAACCCUACGCUUCCAUUUUGAUUUAGAAAGUUAAAAAUAAGUUUAAGUUAAAAAAAAAUAUUUUCUUAUAUAAUUAUUUAAACUUAUUUCUUUUCCUUUUUAUAUAAAGAAACAAAUAUUUUGCAAAUAAAUAAAUUUCUAAUUAUUUUCAUUAACAUAAUAAUAAUAUUUUUCAUAUGACUUUAAUCACAAUUUUUUUUACCACUUGUCCAAGGCGGUGAGAGGUGAUAAAAUGUAUUAAAAAAACGAUUAAAUUGCAUUAGGUAUAGAAGUUUUGUGCUUCAAUUAUCACUUAUAAAAAUAAAAUAAAAAUAGUCAAAUUUGAGUGUGCAAGUUGGUAUUCGUAUGUAGAAGGAAUUGGGGGAUUUGGGGGUCCUAACAAAUUUGAUAUGAUUGAUGGAAGGAAAUGAUUAUUAUAGGAUAAAGUCCGAAUGAAACGCUGACGAGGGGGGAAAAACAACAGUGGCAAUGCACUAUCCACAGAUCCAUGAUUGAUUUAUGUUAGCAAUAAUGAAUUAUUUUGACUUUGAUAACCUUGGUUAAGAGAAUUUGGUCUUGUUAUUAUCAUUUUUUCAAAAAAAAAAAGUGUAGGUAACUAGGUAGUUGAUUUAUUAGAAUUUAGAAAUGAGGAUCCCCUCCUCCUGCAAGAGCCGUGACAGACAUGCCUGCUUUCUUGCCAGAUUAUACCAAUGUGCCCAAAUAAUCCCCCAUCUAUCAUCUCUGCACCCUGGAACACGUCACUCCCUCCUUUGAGCAAUAAAAUAUCUCUUUUAUUUUCUUUUGAACCACUCUUCUAUUUCUUUGUACCAGACUGGACCCAUUUAAAUUCUUCGCUACGCUGUUCCCAAGGACUACGAGAAUCAAAAUAGCAAAAUUCUUGAAUCAUUUUAAUGGGUUCAGAAACCACAUGUUUCUCUAGAUCAUAAGAGGAAAAUCUUUUUGGAUGGUGUUUGUGUUGUGUUGUGUUCAAUAUUAAAUACUCAAUUAAAUAAGCUAAAUCAAAUAUCACAUGAAAAAUAAUCAAAUUAAAAAUAGGGAGAAUUAUGUUUUGAGGGUAGAUGGACCCCAAAUUAACAAAAGGUUCAUGUAACUCUUCAAAUUGAGCCCAGACCCAAUGAAAAUAUGGAAAUUGAGUUGAAGUAUAUCAUCAUUCAGUAUUUCCAAAAAUGUCCUUUGUUGAUUUUGAGAAAAAAAUUAAUAUUUUUGAAAAAUAUUUUUAUGUAAUUUAAUAUUUUUUUAAAUACUUUUAUUUAAUUUAAUAUUUUUAAAAAAUAAAUUUAUUUAAUUUAAUAUUUUAAAAAAUAUUUAAUUUAAUAUAUUUUUUAAAUACUUUAAUUUAAUUUAAUAUUUUUGAAAAAAAUUUUAAUUUAAUAUUUUUGAAAAAAAAAUUAUUUAAUUUAAUAUUUUUUAAAACUAUUUUUAUUUAAUUUAGUAUUUUUGAAAAAAAAUUAUUUAACUUAAUUUUAUAAAAUAUUUUAUAUGUGUUCUUAAAGGGUAUAUUUGUCCGUUACUAUUUCAUAUCCUUCAACUCAAUUUAAAGAGUUAUAUGGACCUUUUGUUAAUUUGGGGACCCAUCUACCCUCAAAAGAUAAUUCUCCCUUAAAAAUAUAAAUUUAAAUAUGACAUAAUUAUUAAAUAUGUUAGAUCUUGUAUGAGUUUAUAAGAUUUAUGUUUCAAAAUAACAUGUUUAUAAUUCAUCUAUUGAUUUAUAAUCAAAUUUUAAAUAAAUUAAAGUUAUUCAAGUUAAUAAAUAUGAUUUAUGUUAUAAAGACUAACUAAAAAAUAAUUUAUUAAUUAAACGGAUCCUGGUCAAUAAAAAUUUGAUUUAAAUACGAUCAUACUUAAUCAAAACUUAGGUCAAAUUGUAUUGAUAAAUUACAUCAAAACCUUGUUGUGUUCAAUAUUUUAUAUUAAACUAUUUUUUAAUAAAAUUAUUUUUAUAAAUAUAAUAUUACAUCAUUUGGAGAAACAAAAUAGUAUUAUAUUGAUUUUACAUAUAAAGCAACCAGUUAACCCCUCAUUAUUUUGAUCCAUUUCACAUCCAUAUCAUUCUCAUAAUUUUUUUAUAAUAUAUUAACAUGAUGGACGGUAAUUGAGGGUAGAAAAAAAAGAUGAGAAGAAUAAAAUAAUGUGAAUCCUCUCUAAAUGUUACAUCUUCUGACAAAUGAAGUCUAUAGAAAUGUGUAAAAAAAAAAAAAACACUUAAUUGUGAGGUUCACUUGAUUUAGCAAAAAAUUAAUAUUUUAUUUGUUGUGUGAUUUAAAAAUAAUAUUUUAUUUUUAAAAAUAAAAAAUUAUUUUUAAAGUUUUUUAACACUAUUUUACUAUUGUUCUUUGAAAUAAUUUUUAAAAUUAAAAUGAAAUAACUAAUAAUUUUUAGAUAAUAAAUUAAAGUUGUUUUUAUUAGAUUUUAAAAAUAAAAGAAAAAUAUAAAACCAUUUGAUCAAAUUUUUUUAAACUUAUUUUUAAAAGGUUUUUUUUUUUUUUUUUUUUUUUCUAUCCUAAGUUAAAAGAUAAAAAAUAAUUUUUAAAGAUAGGUUACGAGCAAAUGCCACAAACUUUUUUCUUCUCUUUCCCUUGUUCGGAUAGAAGUGAAAAAUAUCCUCCCAUGGAUCGACAUUACGUGAGCCAUCACCAUUCCCCAACUGCAAUUCAACCGCCAAAGCUGAGGUGUCAUUAUUAGUUUGAACAAAAGUCAGCAUUGUCCACGUGGUGACAAGCGGAACUGACCCAACUUGCAAGGCAAAAAAAUAAAUAAAAUAAAAUGAAAAAAUCAGAUCACCAUUAUGACGUCAGUCCAAUUGCUGACCUGGCCGCCGUCCCCCAUUUGACCCACGUGUUCAUUUAACCCAUUCGCCGUAUGCCGUGGCUCCCCACCCAUAUGGCCAUAUCUGCCAUUUAUUUUAUCCGUUGCCUCCAUUCGGUUUUUGGAUUUUACCCAUUCGCCCUCGUCUAUUCCCAUUUCCGUAUUUGCCCACCAAGGAAAUUCAAUUCCCAUGCUUUUGUUUUACAUUCAAAUCCUCCCCCCUCUAUAUAAAGGAGGGAGUAGGGCUUGAAAGUUUCUCAAGCCAACAUGGACUGUUGAGAGUGAAAGACAGAGGAGCCACAAACAAAUAUCACUCACUCAAACCAAAGCCAAAACCAAUACCGAAUUCAAUUCAAAUGACUUCUUUCUCUCUCAUCAAUUCCCUGAAUUCCGAUUCCGAUUUCAAUUUGUUAUCGGAUUCUUUUUCCUGGGAAAACUCCCUACCUUUCAAUGAAAACGACUCCCAGGAGAUGCUCCUCCUGGGCAUGCUGGCCAGCUCCACUCAGGAAACCUCAGAAACAGUUUCUUUGAAUCGAGUGAAGGAGGAAGAAGUGACUUCCCAGGAAAAUCCCGAGAAGGAGAAGUCAUACAGAGGCGUUAGGAGGCGGCCAUGGGGGAAAUUCGCAGCAGAAAUAAGGGACUCGACCAGGCAUGGCAUAAGGGUGUGGCUGGGAACAUUUGACAGUGCAGAGGCAGCUGCUCUGGCCUAUGAUCAAGCUGCUUUUGCGAUGCGGGGCCCUGCGGCAGUCCUCAAUUUCCCGGUGGAAAGAGUGAAGGAAUCGAUGCAGGAGAUCAAGUGCAUCUUGGAGGAGGGGGGCUCACCAGUGGUGGCCCUCAAGAAGAGGCACUCUAUGCGGAGAAAAAGUCCUUGCAAGAAACAUAAAAGUGAAGAGGUGAGGUUAGAAAAUGUGGUAGUGCUGGAGGAUUUGGGUACUGAAUACUUGGAACAGCUCCUCACUUUCUCUGAGACCUCUAGUCCUUGAUCAUCAUCAUCCAUCACCUGGAUAGCUUCUUCUCUUUGCUCUGUUUCUUACUUUUCUCUCUCUCUCUCUCUCUCUCUCUCUUUUUUUUUUAUGUAAUUUUUCUUAAUGUAUUUUUGGAGAUGGCGGGGGUGUAGUGGUGGCAAUUAUCCAUCUAGAAUUUUUCAAAAGAUAUGUUCUUUUGUUUCUUUGUAUAAAGUUGAAAAGUGGGGAUCAAUUGUGAUGGUGCUCUAUGUUCAUCCACCCAAUUUAUAUAAUCAAGGUGAUUAAUGUUUUUUGAUAUCAACAAUUUGUGAAUGACAUAGAGAGAGAGAGAGAGAGAGACCUUAUUUUCUACACUCAUUACGGUGGUUUCCAUUUGGGGAAGGAAAAGGAAAUGGCUAAGAAUGUUACCAAAAGAAGUGGGGUGGCUUUCAUAUGCGUGGUGGCAUACUUGCAUACAAACUUUUCAAUUGUGUUCUGCAUGCCACUCGGGUCAAUUUCAUUUCUUUUACUCCUAGUAGCCUAAUUGGAUUUCCUUUUUCUCAUGAGACAUCAAAUAAAUUUCAUUUUUUUAUAUUUAAAUAGUUAGGUAAGUUUGAUAGUGAGUUAUAUUUUAUACAUUAAUUCAUCUUUUAGAAUGUUGUCUACAAUAUAAACAGUGUAAUUAAUUUCAUCAUUACAGAACAGUCAUCUUAUAAAAUAACAUAAAAAUUAUUGGAUCACUUGUAUGGCACCACUGAUUUGGACUUGGUAUGGCUCUGUUUGGCUUCAUAGAAAAAAUUUGGACCCAAUUUGAAUGUCUUGCAUAAAAAGAGAUACGUCCCACUUUGAAUGAUAUUGAAGAAAAAAAUUUCUGAUGAAGAAUAUAUUGUUGGCAGGGUCAUGCAGGCCAAUAGGGAAACGAUAAAUUCAGAAGAAUGAGUCCAAACCAGUGGGCUUGAAAAUUAAGAAGAGAAUUGCUGUAUAAAACAAUCAUUUCUUAAUCGAGUUCACUUUCUGAAUAAUCGUCACUUUGAGAAUGCAUACUUAGGAAGAUGAUGAUCCUUAAUGGGAAUAAUCAAAGGCAUCAAAAAAUUGUUCUGGAACAAUUCUUGAUUGUCUCCAGUAAAAUUCAAAGUCAAAAGUCAAAAGUCCAGUCGGUCAACACCAAACCAGGCCAGUCCAAAAGACAUUAAUUUGCAAUCUAGAAUCUAUGAUGAGGUGGCGAAAUCAAACCUUGGCUUUUCACCAGGGAAUGGUACUCUGAAUUUGGUCAGUUCACUGUUUCGAGUGAAUAGGGUGUAGUAAUUAGUAAAUCAUAUUUUAGAUUUGUGUCACAAGUUACAAGGGAUAUGGGCUGACGUUCAAUUUUGGCGACAAUUUGUGGGCCCGUAUAUUUGUUGAGAUGUGGAAAUUGGGUGUGUGCUUUUUUCUGCUACCACAUAAAUAUAUUUCUUUGAAUUGAAGAGUGUUUCAGACCAUUUUUUUUCAAGUCACAAAUGGACAACUGAUUGAGAUUGUAUUGGUGAGAGUAGGAGUUUAUUUUGGGCUGGUUGAGCGAAGUUGAAAGUCGAGUUGGACCUAACCCUUGAAUUCAGCAGACUACAGUCCGAUCCUGUAUUUUGGAUUUAGGGAACCUUCUUUCCCAGAAGCUUCGUCUGGGUUUUAAAGUCUAAAUGUGGCUACUCUUAAACAUUGGAGAAAGGAUGAGCGUUCACAAGCAAAUGGGUAAUUGUGGAUGGUUCAAGGACCUGGCCAGCUGGUCUUCAAGUUUGGAUGCCGGUUUGGGCCUGAGAGAGUCUUUGCAAAGUGACUUCACUUCAGCCUAUGAGAUCAAGAUAUCAUGGUGAUGUCCGAUCACUUAGGUUUCAUUUUCACCUCGGAUUACCGUUACCAUGUUCAUGAAUAAAAAUAAAUAAAUAAAUGAAGCCUUAUAGAGAAAUUAAUGAAGUGAGCUAUACAAGCAACUGGGCCAGGAGCCUACAAGGCAGAAAUUCCCUGCCCUAGACUAGGCCGAAUAAAUUAGAUGAAUGAAUUGGGGAAACCUGGGCCAGCCACACAUCCUCCUGAAGGCUGAUGUCGAACUCGCUUACGAGGAAUGGACAUGGGAGAUUGGGCUGGGACCAAAUAACCAAUUGACAGCCCUAUCCUUGUGGCAAGACGUCAGUAAAAUGGUUCAUUCUGAUUUUACGCUGCCAUUCAAUUUAAUUUUAAUUUUUGUUUAAAGCGAUGUACAAAUUGAAUGGUGUCUAGUCACUUAAAGAGUGGUUCAUAAUACACUUAAUUUAAACAAAAAAGAAAUUAUUAGAUAGGGGAUUCUCCAAUAAAAACCACCCCAUCUUGUCAGCAAGUCCGGAAACUUCCUUCACUUAGGGCGUAUUUGUUUUUUUAACUUUAAUAUUAAAGAAAGUUGGUUAAACCUUAUGACACUUUUAUAUUAUUUUAUGAAUUUUUUUUAAUUUUUAUUUUAAUGGAAUUUUAACUUUAAUACAAGUUGGAGUAAUUCUUAUCUUAAAAACAAAUCAAAAUUACUUUAAUUUUAUAUAGAAAUAAACUUACAGUAAAUUUACCAUGAAAAUUUCUAAGUCAAAUACACCAUAAGUGCUAGUAUUUUAUAAUAUUUAGAAACAUGUUAAAUUAUUAUUAUUAUUUUUUAAAAUUAUUAGUUUUCAUAUUAGUUUUAGGGAAACUUGUGCUUUAGGUCUUUUAUUUGCAAAUAAUAUGGUUUUCAAAUCCUAAGAAUAGAAAAUAUGAGAAUCAACUGUUAAUGUGGAAAAUAAUAUCAAUUUUGUGCAAUCUCUAUUGACUCAUUUUUUUGUGCCUAGAUUGCCUUCACCCACUUCCAUGUCAACAACCACAUUAAUAGAUUGUUUUUUUUUUAUAAAACAAAUAAUUAUUAUGUUUAAAAUUUUGGGGAAACUCUCUAUCUCUCUUACUUCUUCACUACAUCCGAGACCCAUCUUCCUUAAACGUUUGCCUCUCAUUUUGCCCUAACCCCAAAUCUCAUAAAUUUCUCAUUUUCUUGCCUCAUUUGAAAUAUGAAGAUGACCGAUUCUCAAACAUCUCUGUCUCUCUCUUCACGUUUUGACCAGUCUAAUUGGAAACCCAUUUUCCAAAAACCUUCUUUCUUUCAUUUUGCCCUAACCCCACUAUCUCCCUCUUCAAGACCUAAUCACCCAAACUCGAUAUCUAUCUUCCCAAAACCUUCAAGCAAACUGAACUAGACCCAUAUCUUCUUUUUUCAUCAUCAAAGGUGAAAUUUUUUUAAGGCUUUUGGAAACCGAAUUGGAGCUUUCCCUUCUUCUGGGAUUAAUCAUUCGCAAGUGAGUUUUCCAUUUAAGGCUUUGUUUGGCUGUUGAAAUCUUGGGAUCAAAGGUCUUUUAUUUUCAGGUUUCUUGUAUUUUGCUUUAUUUUCUUGUAUAUAACAAUAAUCAUUGUAACAUAUGCUAGUAGUUACCCUUGGUGCAACUUUACAUUUCCAAAUACCCUAAAGUCCAAAGCUUUUAAUUCCCUUUUCAAAGCUUUCAACUUUGAAAGCAGACUAAACCAUAAGAACUAUGAAACUUAUAUCUCUAUCACCACUAAUUAAGCAUGUCUAUGAAUCCUUCCACUUUAAGUCACUUAUUCUCAAACCAAGAAGGGCUCCUCUCAUUCUCACCCCACCUCAUCUAAAUGAGGGAAAUGAUCAAUUGCAGCCAUGCUUUGCACCAAAUUAGAGAAGUGAUCCUCCCAAUCAUCCAUUACCAAAAAUUGAUCAUGCUGAUGAGAUCAUAAGAGUCUAUUCGGAACUCCCAGUUUACUUGCCUCUUAUCUCAGGAUCCUCCAUUACCCCCUGUCUUUCCAACAUCAAAUCAACUUGCAAACAAUUCCUUUGUAGAUAAAAUGUUUUUAAUAUUGCAAAAGGGGACUUAUCAUAAUGGUUGAAUCGAUUUAUUUGAUAUAAUCACUCAAAUUCAAGCUUAAAAUUGAUCAUAAUAAAAUGUUUUUAAUAUUGUUAAAAGGAGAUUAUAAUGGUUUUAUUUGAUAUCAUUACUAAAAUUCAAGCUUUCAAACAUGCUCUACAAAGAAGUUCUAAAAGACUACAAGAAAGAGUUUCCACUAAAGAAAAACAAUGAAACCAUUUCUACUAAAGACAAACAAUGAAACCACAGAUGCUUUGUGAAAUAUGUACCCGCACAAUCCAACAAACUUUAGAAAUUCACAAACACUACCUAGAAUUUUUGCUGACCAGCAAAAAAUUUAUGCAAUUUAAUUCUUAUUGUUAUUAUUAUUUUCAAUGUGAACAAAUAUGAUUGAAUUAUGAAGUAUUUGGCCAGAAGAGGAUCUUGCCUAAUUAUAGUCAUUAAACAACCAUUUAUACCAUAGCCUCUAGACUUUAAAAAGUUUAUAAAACUCAAGGGCUUCCACCCAAUUUCUAGAUAUCUCCAUAACAUUCUUCUGACUAUUAGAAAGCAAUUACCACUUUAAUUUUUCAUUUCAUGAGUGUUCAAUUCAGAAAAAGACCAGGAUCGAACUUGCGAUCAUGCAGUCGAAAAUCCACCUGUGCAUGAAACUAUUGCCUCACGAUUGCAAACUCAAGUUGGAGUCCAGUAACAACUCUAGGUUUGCUGAUGUGCUCCAUUUGAAAUAAAGGAACUAAAGAAUACUUUAUAAAGAUUAAUUACCUUCAUAUUUUAGGUUGGGGUUAAGGCAAAAUGUGAUAGAUUGAGAGGAAGAAAAUAUAUCUUGUUCAGGAAGCCAAUAUUUUGGAGUUCACCUUUCCAUUCGAGUCCACUCUGCUAUAGCAAAAUCAGAGUCACAACUAUGCCUCUUUAAGCUAUCCUUUAAUUGGAUGAAUUGCAGAUUUGGUUGCUGAGAAAGUGGAUAAGAAAGAAAAAUGCAUACUGUAGCUUGAGAUUAAGAGUUUGUUUUCUAAAAUGAGAGAAAGGGAAAGAGAAAAAAUGCAUAUUGUAGCUUGAGAUUAAGGGUUUGUUUUCUAAAAUGAGAGAAAGGGGAAGAGAAAUGUUCGACAACUUUGAGAUGACAAAUUUUUAGAUUUGGAAAAUUUGAGAUGAGUCUCAGGUUUUUUUUUUUUUUUUUUUGUCUUUGUCUUUGUUUUUUUUUUUUUUUUUUGUUUUUUUCCCAAAAACAACCUGUUAAUGUGGUUGUUGACAUAGAAGUGGGUGAGGGCAAAAUGGGCAUAGAAAAAAGAGUCAACACAAAGUGCACAAAACCCAUAUUAUUUUCCACAUUAAUGACUGAUUCUCAUAUUUCUUGUUCUUGGGAUUUGAAAACCAUAUUAUUUGCAAAUGGACCUCCCAAAGCACAGGUUUCCCUUAGUUUUAUGUCUCCAUCUACAUUUUACAUAUAAAUAGAUUAUUUUAUAAAAUUUGUUUUGUAGAUAUAUUAGUUAAUAAUUAUAUAAUUAAUGAUAUAGAAAACAUAUAAAAAUCAUAUUUAAAAAAGAUAAUUACAUAUUCCUCAACAAUCCAUCCCAAGAAUUCGAGGUUGAGUUGAAAACAUGUAGAGUCUUUGAUGUUAUUAUAAUCAUAUCCAACACAUAUGAUUAUUGUUUAUGAGAUAUUAUUAGAAAGUUUGUCUUAAAAUAAUUGAUUUAUUACCCACCUUUAGCAAAUGCCCAUUUUUGCGUCUUUCAAAAUUUUCAUUUUUUUUUUGUUUAAAAGAAGUAUUGUAAAGAAUGAUGAAAUAAGAAAUUUGUUGAGAAAGUGUGAGUAAAUAAUUUUACAUAAAAAGAGAUUUAAUACUUGAUAAAUAAAAUAAUAAAAUCAUGAUUUCUAGUUGUAUAGGGCCGGGUGGAUGGAGUGGCUAAGAUGUAAUUCUUGAAAUAGAGGAGACAACAUCAAUGUAUAAAAGUUUAACAGAGAAGGAAAGUGUGUUUGAAUGACUUUAUUUUCUUCAUUUAAAGUUUUGACGAUGAGUGUUUAUACAAGAUAAAUUUUCAAAUGAUAGGACUCCUAUUUACAUGGAGUUUGUGAUAUACUAUGAUUAUACAAAUUUAAAAUUCAAACAGAUUCAUGAGUUGAUAGGAGUCUGCUCAAUACGCCCCUUCAAAAUGGUGGGAGAUAGCACACCAAUCUUGACUCGAAGGGCCUAAACUCGUGCAGAAGAUGAGGGCUUUGUUAGAGCAUCGACAAGUUGAUCCGUGGUUGACAUAUGGGACACCUUGAGCUCACCUGAUUAAACCUUGUUUCAAACAAAAUGAAAAUCAAUCGCCGAUGUGUUUCAUGGAGAGUGAAACAUGGGAUUUGCACAAAGAUAUGUUGCACCCACGUUAUCACAAGAGAUAGGAGGUGGUGAUAAAUUUGAAACACUAAGUUUUGAGAGAAGAGAAUUAACCCAAAGAACCUUUGAGGCUGUAGAGGCCACGACGUGAUAUUUCGCUUCAGUGGAAGAGCGUGCUAUGAACUUUUGUUUCCUCGAUGACCAAUACACAAGAUUGUGACCAAGAAAAACAAUGGGAGCAUUGGUGGAGGAUCUGACAUAAGGAUUCCUUGCCCAUUCAACAUUCGAAUAUGCAUGUAGAUUGAUGGGCGAUUUCUUAUGCAAGAACAGACCAUGCACCAUUGUGCCGACUAAGUAUCUAAGCAAUCUUUUAACACAAGACCAAUGUGUUGAUGUUGGAUGGUGCAUAAAUUGAGAUAAUUUAUUCAUCAAGAAGGUGAUGUCAGGGCUAGUAAGAGAGAAGUAUUGAAGGCUUCCAACAAUUGACAUAUAUUUAGUGGGACCAGGAAAAGAGGUGUCAUCACACAGAUUUGGAACAUUGUUGAGGAACAUCAAUGAUUGAACUGGUUUGGUAGCCACCAUUUGUGUUUUCUUAAGAAGCUCUCGAAUGUACUUGAGAUAAAAAUAAUCCUUUGGAAGUAUGUAUCAUUUCAACACCAAGAAUAAAAGAUGAAGUCCUGAGAUCCUUAAUGGAGAAUUUGACUGCUAAUUGAGAGAUCACGCGAGCACGAAAAACAUUAUUGUUACUUGUUAAAAUAAGAUCAUCAAUAUAAAUAAGUAGGUAAACAAUGAGACCACUCUUUUUAAAAAUGAAGAGGGAUGUCUCGGUUUAGGAGUUGACGAAGGCUAUUGAGAGGAGAAAUUGGCAAAGUUCAUGAUACCAUGAUCGUGGAGCUUGUUUAAAGCCAUAAAAAGCCUUACAAAGUUGGCAAAUGUGAUGAUGUGUGUAUUCGUGAACCCAGGAGGUUGAAUCAUGUAAACAUCUUCAUGAAGUGUCCUAUGCUAGAAUGCAUUAUUAAUGUCCAAUUCAUGAGUUGAUAGGAGUCUGCUCAAUACAAUGUGGGAGUGUGAUUUCAAAAUUAGGGUAAUUUCGAAAUGGAUUUUGUAUUCACAAGUUGAAUUUCAAAAUUAUUUUGAAAUGGUCUUUUAACUUUAAGCAGUUGUGUUCAAAAGGUCAUAACUUCUUCGUUUCAAUUUUGAUUUACACAUUGUUUAAAACAUUGGACUCUUUACUUCCCGAGCUUCAAAACGAUAUAUAGUAUGCUCAAAAAUGACAUCAGGAUUGGUUCAAAUUUCAUCUUGAUAUUAGAGUACAUGUUGUGAUUAGAUUUUGAGUUCCAAAUUUCCAUGUAAACUUGAUUGCAUUUGCUUCAAACCUCCUUCAUUAUGGUUGCUUGCCCUCUAUCUCACUUUGCAACAUUUGUUACUAGUAUUUUAUGUCCAUGACUUACUCAUUUCAACCUUUCUUGGAUUCUUCAUGGUUCACAAAUUAUGGAUUCUUCAUGGUUCACAAAUUGAGUCUUUCAAUUAUGCAUGUUUAACUCCUAUUUCCUUGGUUGAUAAUGACUUUUACACUUAUCAUUUUCUUUUAUUCUUUAAACCUGAAUUUAGACUUACAAAAAAAAGUUAGAUCCAUAACUAGGGUCUUAGCAUCAAUUUGAGUUAAGUUGGAUGAUUUGAAAAUUUUAUAUUACAUAAAUCAUAUCAUACAUGUGCCAUUGGAGUGCACAUUUUGGCUCUAAUCAUGUUCCAACCCAUUGUUUUACUCUUGCAUGAAGUAUGUGGCCAUUGAUUUUAAUUUUAUUUGCGAUUAGGUUCAAAAUGGUGCUUUUGUGUUGCUCAUGUGUCAUCAGAAGAUCAACUAAUGGAUUCUCUAACAAAACUACUACAUCAUAGUCAUUUUUUUUUUUCUUAAGACCAAGAUUGAGAUCUCCAAUCGGAGCCAACUCCAUCUUGGGGGCAUGUUAGUGAAAGAUAAAAUUUAUCUUUAAUUUAAAUAUUAAUAUUUAUCAGUUAUUAGUUUUAAUUAGAGUAAAAGAUAGAGUUUAAAUUGGAGUAGGAGAUAAACUUGUGUUUGAACUAGAAUAGAAGAUAAAGUAUAAAGAUUUAUGUUUGAAUUAGAAUAAAAUAUAAAGUUUGAAUUAGAGUAGAAGAUAAACUUGUUCUUUAUUUGUAUAUAAAUAUUCAUCAAUUCUUGAGAAGAAGAUUAUUUCAUAGUUUUUCUAUCUUCUUUUUUCUUCAUACAUAUCUGCAAGAAAUUGAAGAUUUCAAGUAAAAUAUUUUCUGUUUUAAAUAGUGAAAAAAGCUAGAAAUUCACUUUGUUAUCUCUUGGGGUAAAUUGACAAGGUUUAACGUUAAGAAGGUGAAUUAUUUUUUCAGAAAAACUGAAGUAGCUAGGAUAUCUGGCCAGUUGUGAUCGAUAAAAAAGUUGUAAAAUCUCUCAUAUACUAAACAGGUUUUGGAUGUUGGUAUGGUAAAUCCAUCUGCAGUCAUUCGUCAUCUCAUCUAGUGAGAUGUUUGGGAGGUGGUGACCGCCGGAUUGGGUUUCAUUUGGUUAAAUCUGUCAGUGGGUUGGCUACUACCCGAGCCUCUUGCUUUGGGGGAGGUGGGUUCUAGAUAUAAUGUUCAAACCAUUUUAGUUAUCAUAUGCAUGACAUGUAAGCAUAAUCUCUUUAUCACUUCUUCAAUGGGAGUUCAUGGUUAGGAAUUGACUUCUUUUCUUCUGGGAUGCUUGGCAUGUAAUGGACAAAGUUACUUUUAUAUCGAUCGAAUUUCUAGUAUUAUAGUGAAGACUUACCCUUUUGACAUUUUAUAUCGAAUUAUAGAAGAUGAAAGGGACAUACAUGCAAUCGACUGACGCUUUAGUGAAUAUGCUGAAAAUAUGCUGAUGCUGUGGAGAUCGUAUGAGGACAGAGGAAAAAGAUAGAAAUGGAUAUAUAAUUAGACCUAGGUUUUUAUUAAAUGAGAUGGGGAACAUAGAGUGAGGGAAAAUCAAAAUUUUUGGCUGCAGUUCACAUUGGUGAUAUUUUGGAUUGACAAAGACUAACGACUUUUCUAUUUUUCUUUUCGGCCUGACUGGAUAGUUGGACAUGGACAAUACAGAAUCCACAGAAGGAUUGUUGGGACCGCUGAAAAUUAGCUAGAAGAAGCUGAGGAAGUAGUCUACGUAGUCAAAUACCAAACACAAAGAAAGAAAGAAAUGGAUAUCAUGGAUGCCUAGAGUUAUACUCCUAAUACCGUCACAGGUAUUUUUCUUUCCUCCUUUUUUUUUCUACGAUAAUUAGAGCAUUUCUCCUCCUCCUCCUCCUCCUCCCCCCACCCCACCACCAAAAAAUAAAAAAAUAAAUUAUUGCAAGUAACACUUCAAAUAUUAAUUUAUACAUUCUAAAGUAUAUAUUCAUGAAAUAACUUGAGUAUCAUACAUUAGUUCUCAAAAAAAAAAAAAAAAAAAAAAAAAAAUUACUGGAAGAGAAAAGUUUAAGAAAACAUAAAAAUAUUCAACUACUAUUUUAAAGAGAAAAUUUAAUUUUUACACUAUAAAUUUGAAGAGAACUUUUACAUGCAUCUUAUAUAAACUACCAUUUUUUGCUAAAAGGCUUAAAUUUGUCAAAAAUACCCCUUAGGUGCUUAACGUUCUGGUCAUAAUAUAAUUGGCAUCUUUUCUCAAACAUAAGGCCUGUGUGUGGGAACAAGAUUUAAUGUUAAUGAGCUUCGCCACCGACAUUUAGUUCCAGAAAUCAUUAUUUUAAUAGAGUGGGCUCAAUUUACAACUUUAAUUAAACUCUAACCAACUGCAUUGUGAAAUGAAUAUGUUUCUUUCGUGGUGAAUCCAAUGAGUUGGGAGUCAAACUUUGCUUCAUUGUGUAUAGAUGAAAUGUUAAGACUCCAUGUAACCUCAAACAUUUCCGCAAUNNNNNNNNNNNNNNNNNNNNNNNNNNNNNNNNNNNNNNNNNNNNNNNNNNNNNNNNNNNNNNNNNNNNNNNNNNNNNNNNNNNNNNNNNNNNNNNNNNNNUUCUUUCGUGGUGAAUCCAAUGAGUUGGAGUCAAACUUGCUUCAUUGUGUAUAGAUGAAAUGUUAAGACUCCAUGUAACUCAAACAUUUCCGCAAUGAGCGGGAGUUCUAAAUUUAAUAAUUGAAAUUGUCAGUGGAACCAGUGGACAAGAGUUGGUUUGUGGUUGACAAACUUAUCCGUUUGAUCUUUACUUGAACAGUUCCAGUGUGUGGAUGGGUACUGAUGAAGUGUGCGCAUUUAUUUUGAGAAGCCUGCUUGUUCGCAUAGAUUUUAACGACAUGAACAUUGUGGUAAGGUUAGAGAGUAAUGCGAAUGUAGGAGCUUAUAUUAGAAAUGACACAAACACGUAAAUAGAAGUAAUCUAUAUAUGAUAUUACUCAUGGACUACAAGCAAAGAAGUACAAUACAUGGAGUAAGUGAUGAAAUGAGCAUUCCUCACUACUACUGCUUGACUGAUGGAACAUGAUGCACGAGAUAGCAUAAGUAGUAGUAGGAAGCAGCUCUUAUUUGUGGCGUCGGUAUACAUCAUACUAGGUAGAUGGUUCAAUUGGCAUGGAUGGGUGGUGGAGCCUUGAAGUGCUUGUGAUGGGGAGCCCACGGCUUCUUCUCAGGAGUUGGUGGCUUCUUGUAUGGAGUUGAUGGAGGUGUUUCUACUGGAGGGUGGCCAGGGUAGUGACCCUGGGGUGGUGAAGGUUCUUUUGUCGGUGGUGGCCUCACUAUUAUUGGCGGUAGAGUUGGUGGCUUGGGCGUUGGCGGUGGUCUCACUACUCUUGGGGGUAGAGUUGGUGUCUUGUGUUUUGGUGGUGGAGGUGGCUUAACAGGAGUUGGUGGCUUGUAUUCUGGGGGUGGUUUCUCCACCGGAGGUGGCUUAUAAACUGGAGUUGGUGGCUUGUAUUCUGGGGGUGGCUUCUCCACUGGUGGUGGCCUGUAAACAGGGGUUGGUGGCUUAUAUUCUGGGGGAGGCUUCUCCACUGGAGGCGACUUAUAAACAGGGGUUGGUGGCUUGUAUUCCGGGGGUGGCUUCUCUACGGGAGGUGGCCUGUAAACAGGGGUUGGUGGCUUCUCCACCGGAGGUGGCUUAUAAACGGGGGUUGGUGGCUUGUAUUCUGGGGGUGGUUUCCCCAGUGGUGGAGACUUGUAAACAGGAAGAGGUGGUUUGUGCUCAUAUGGGGGUGGCUUGUGGUCAUUAGCAAGUGAGGGAGUGGUGAGGACCACCAAUCCAAGGAACAACACGAGUGAGCAAGCAGAAGACAUGUUUGGGCUCUGGUGAUGCACAAGUAGAAGAAAUGGGAACCAUUUAUAAUGCUUCGAGACCUUGGUUAGCACCAAAAUAUGUCAAAAUCUUGAUUACUUCAUUUCAUACAUAGAUUUAAAAUUAUUUCAAUCAACCAUGAUCCUUAAUUUUCUGGGUGGUCCAUAAAUGUAAUGGGGUCAAUUUGGGACCUAACAAGCUGAGAAGUUUGACAAUGCUGCAAGGCUUCAUCCGAAAGUCCGGGGAAGAAUAUUAGGAGUUACACUCCGUUUCCUUUUUUGGGUGCAUUUUUCUCCUUUAACAUUCUAUUCCCUUUUACAUUAGCAUUUGAUCUUAGCUCAUUUCAAGUACAAGUUUCUUGAACCCUAUACCAUUGUCAAAGUUGAGUAACCAUCUCUACUUUGCUCAAGAAACAUAAAAGACAAUGACAAUAAAGAAAAAGGAGAGAGACCAUACGUGACUUGGUUUAUAGGUGGCUUUGUGUUGACAUUUGAGUAUGGAAGCCGACAUGCAUCUUAGCUUCGAUUUUAAUUAAAUUUGUACAUUAGUGUCUGUGUCAUUCAUUUUGGUAUAAAAGGUCUCUUGAUUUCGUAAGUUUGGUAAGAACCGUUGAAAAUAGCAGUAGCAGCACAUGGUCCACUUUCUUUCACAAAAUAAUUUUAAAAGUUUAGAAGCAUAGGAGGUAACAUUAGUGGCCUUGUGGCUCAGCCACGAGUACUAUGUGGUGCUCGAGAAAUUGAGUUUAAUUUCCUUCCGAUAGUUCAUGAUAAGGUCCGUCACUGUCCUGAGACAGAUUGCGUUUUUUCUUUUUUCCUUUUUUAGUGUUUUAUUGACUAGCUAGGUGUGACUUUUCCUACUUUAAGGCACGAGGCAGAAAAGAAACUGGGAUUUAGUGCUUAAGAAGGCAAAUUUAAUUCGAUUUGGAUCUAAAAUUUGCCAGCAACAUGAGAUUUUCCAGCCUAUCGUUGCUCCACAUAUAGACAAGGCACUUGUAGAAGUGGCUUGUUUGUAGCCAUUCCCGAUAUUUGGACUCACUUGAUUCACCGGACACUUUGAUAAAAUUUAAUAUUUAUUAUUUAAUAAUUUAAAUUGAUUUAAAAUUAAAUUAUACCGAAGUUGUGAUUUAAAAAUUAUUAUUUAAUUCUUACUUUUAAAUAUGAAGAUUAUUUGAUAAAAAUAAUUUAAAAUUUAUUAUAAAUUAUCAAAUUAACAUAUUUAUCCUUAUAAAUUAUAAUUAAAACAGAAAAGGUCAAAUGAUUUGAGUAUCCAUAGAUGUGGUAAAAUAAUAAAAAAGAUUAUAAAAACAAUUAUGAUAAAUAAAGAUAAAAAGUAAAAUGAAUAUGUGAAUUUAAAGAAUAAAUUAAUUAUUUUUAUUUAUUACUUAAAAUUAUUUUUGACUUUAAAUUAUAUUAUUAAAUUAUUUUACCAAACAUACUUAAUUUAGUUAAUAAUUUAAAUUUAAUUUAAGUUAUUAAAUUGAUUCACCAAAUACCCACUUAAUCAAAGACUGAAGUAUACAUUAUUUGGCCAAAUGCAGCUAUUGAAAUUUAACUUUUUCCAAACUUAUUCAUUUUGUGGAAAUAUUUUUAGAAAUGAUUUUAAAAAUGCACUAUUCUGUGUGUUGAUUUUAUAUUUUGGCAUUAAUCCAACAUAGAAAACGGUUCUUAUUUUCGCUGUUAAAUAGGUACCAGAUCCUUAAUUAGUGCCGUGAAUCCGGCAGCUUCCAAUGAGUAAUUUGGACUUGGGUAUUGACAAUGUGUGGCCAUGCUUCUACUAUUUUAUUAUUCUUGAAACAUAUAUGAUAUAUUGGACUUUAUACAGGGAAAAAAAAAAAAAAAAGUCUUCACCAAAAAUGAUUCCUCCUAAAAAAUAGACUCCACAAACUAGGUUUAACAGGAAAAUGAUUCUAAUCUAGUAGUUUCCAGCCACAUGAGCAUUUACGUAACAAUAGUAUAGUUGAUAACGACUUUUAUUUUAUUUAUUUUUAAAUAGUUAAAGGGAUAAUUUUUGAGCUUAAAUUUUAUUUUUUUAUUUAGAAACAUUUUACUUUAUUUUUUAAUCAUAAUUCUAUUAUAUUAAUGUUUUAUUUUCUAUUUUUUAAUAUAUAAGGAGAUACUAAAUUUAUGUGAUUAUUUUUUAAAAAUUUAGUAUAUGAAAUUAAAUAAUUGGAUAUAUAUACAUAUAUCAUAUAAUGUUUUUUAAGUGUGAUUUUUGAACUUUUUAGUCAUUUUAUAAGUUUAAGCUUUUGAUUUUUUUUUUUAAACUUUGGUAUUUUUUAUUUUAUAUAAAACUAUUUUGAUUUAAUUUUAUUAAAAAAUAUUGGUAUUAUAAAUUAUUGUAUUAAUUAUUUUUUUAUAUUAUAAUGUAACUGGUAUAUACUAAAAAAUGUAUGCAAGUUCAAUUUAAGUUUCAAAUUAAAAAAUUUCAUUUAAAUAUUUAAUAACUUGUUCAUAAUAAAAAAUUAAACAACAUAAUACAAAUGAAAAGAAACAUAAAAGAAAAAGGAAAAAAUGGUCCUCUCUGUGUGUCACAUUACUAGGUCAUCCUCUUUUUCUAUGACCCUUACAAUAGAAUGGCAUAUUUGUCAAAUCUACUUAUGAAAGUUGGAAUGUUUCUACAUGUGUAGGGUCCAUUGGAACUAAUGGAGGAAAGGCUUAACGUCUAUGUAAAUCACAACGUUGCCUAGGUGGGCAUAGAUCUAGUUGUGUAACAUGAGAUGGUGUGAGAGUACAAUAUAUGCAUUGUAGUCUCUAUGGGAAGAGAGAUAGGUAAUGGUAGGGUGGUAGACGGUAGGGUGAUCUCUAAUAUAAUGACAUUUGAUGUGGUGGCUUCUAAGAGAGGAGAUAUAAGAGAUGGUAGAAUGACAUUUGGUGUAAUGGUCUCUAGUGCAAUGACAUGUGAUAUGGUGACCUAUAAAGAAGAGAUAUAGGUGAUGGUGAAGUGGUAUGUGGUGUAGUGACCUUUGAGAUAGAAAAUAGAGGUAAUGGUAGGUUGGCAGGUGGAGUGGUCUUUGGUGUAGUGACAUCAAUUAUAAAUGUCUCCAAGGGAGGAAAUAAAGGUGAUGGUAGGUAGUAAAUGUUGAGGUGGUCUUUGAUAUGUUAUGCUCUAAGAGAGAAGGUAUAGGUAAUGAUAAUAGGGAAUUUGACAUAGUGGUGUUGGAAAUAAAAAGUGAAAGUGACCGUAGAGGUGAAAGGGCAAGUGUAAAAGCCUCAAGUACGAAUGGAGUAAUUAAUGUGGAUGGUGCUAACAUAGUCUUAGGUGGAUACACAAAUAGUCAUAGUCAUCAACUAGCUUGCCCACCAUCUGUCUUUCUGCUAGUGAUAGGUUACAUCUUAAUAGUAAUGGCCAACAUAAGUGGUGUGGAUCCGAUUUUUUUACGUGUGUCCCCACUCAAUCGACAAGACUUAUUUUUUAUUAGUGAAAAAUUAAUUUUGGAAAAGUUGGAGUCACCACUUAUUUUAUUUUAUUUUAAAAAGGAAAGUAAAACAAGAAAGAGAACUCUAAAGAAGUGACUUCAUAGUUUUGGAAAAGUUAGUCUUAAAAAAUCCAAGUCUUGGUCCGGAGAUCAGGUUACUUAUUGGGAAGAUACCUCUAAGAGGUAAUACCCCUCUAAACCCUAAAGAAGUCUCUAAUGACUAAGUUGAGGAGAAUGUGGUAAUUAAUUAAUUGAUUGAGGGUACCUAGGUAGACUAAGGUGAUUUCAGAAUUAACAUACCAAGCUAGAAAGUCCAAUCAUGAUCAUAAAAGAGAGUCAAAGUAUGUACCUGAACUGCUUCUCAAACGCUAUCAUAAAACAUCAAAGUUAGUAUAGAAAUAUAACACAUAAUAUUUGUUUUAUCCAAGCAAAUAAAGCAUACAUCUAAGCACCCAAGAAUCACAUCAAGUAUGGAUAUAGUCAUCAAUAGCAUACGUGUCCAUAGAACUAUCGAAAGUAAAUGUGGAGGAGCGUAUCUGGACAACAUAGAUAACUUAUAAUGUGCUUCCACAAGACAUGGGGGUUAGAUAAAAGUUAUAAUAAUAAUUAGUAAAUGAAAGAAUUCUAGCAUGUUUGGUAUCUAAAUAACAUAGCAAAAAUGAACAAGAGUACACGAAAACAUCAAUUAUCACACGAGUCAUAUUGGCUAGUAUUUAAUCAAUAAACCAACAAUAAAUGACUAUAAACAUAUAAAAUGACAUAUUCAAAGAGACCCAAACAUAAAGAGCCUAGAACACAAGCUUACACUAAAUUUAGAAAACUAAAACAUGGAAUUUUAAAAGCAUAAAUUAGCAAACAAAUUGAUGGAAACUAAAUUUAGAUAACUUAAGAAUAUUUUUCUUAUCCUUCAAUUUAAAUCAGUAAGCCAACAAUAAAAAAUUAUAGAAACAUGGAAUAUCAAGAUCAAUGGGAUACCUAAACUAUAAUUUUUAAAAGAAAAUAAACUAAGCAUAAUAUCUACAAAGCAACUAAACUAACAUUUUUUUAAAAAUAAAUUAAACAUGACAUUAAUGGAGUAACCAAACUAAAUUAAAGUAAACUAAAAACAUUUAUGAAUUUUCAAACAUGGAAUCAGCUUUCUUAGUAAAUUAAAAUUAUUAAAAUAAAAUCUAAGCUUAAAAAUGAAUUAAAUACUAACUAAAGCAAAUCUAAAACCAAAUAUUUAACACAUAGGAUCAAUUAUAUUAACAAACUAAAAUUUUAUAAGAACACUUAAACCUAAAGUUGAAUUAAAAACUAACCAAUUUUUAAAACUAGAUCUUUAACCCAUAGGAUCAAUUAUAUUAACAAAUAAAUAAUAAAUAAUAAAUAAAUAAAACUCAAACCUAAAGAUGAACUAGAAAUGUACCAAAGUAAAUUCAAAACAAGAUCUUUAACACAUUAGAUCAAUUAUAUUGACUAACUAAAAAAAAAAAAAAAAAACACUCAAACCUGAAACGAUGUAUUAGAAACUAACCAAAGCAAAUUUAAAAUAGAGUCUUUAACACAUAGGAUCAAUUAUAAUCACUAACUUAAAUUACAAUUUUUGAAACAUGAACUAAUUAGUGUUGGAUUAAUUAAACUAAUUAACUAAAAAAAACUAUAAACUAGAAUACGGUGAAUCAAGAAUUCAAAUCAACAAACAUAAAAUAUGGGUACAAUGAAAUGAAAAUCUAUUAAACUAAUAAGACGGAAAUAUGACAAACUCAUGAACCCACAUUUUGAUCAACUAGGAAAUAGAAAUUAAUAGACCUGUAGCAUGGAUACAAUGAAAUGAGAUCAGUUAAAUUUAUUUGCCGAAAUUCUAAAAAACACAUACACUCAAAUAAGAUCUAAAUCUAAGACCAAGCAAAACUCAAACUUUCUCAAUCUAAUGCAAUGAAUCAAAACUAAAAUUAAAUAGAAAUCAAACCAUUUUUUUUUUAUCUAAUAUAAUAAAUCAAAGCUAAAACUAAACAAAAUCGAAUUUUCUUAAUUUAAUAUGAUGAGUCAAAGCUAAAAUUGAACAAAGUUCAAACCUUUAUAUAAUGGAUCAAAGUUAAAUCUAAAUGAAAUCCAUACUUCCACAAUUUGAUAUAACAAAUCAAAAAUAAAACUAGAUAAAAAAAAAGUCAAAGCCUUUCAACUUGACAUAGUGAAUCCAAACUGAAACGAAACAAAAUUUUAACUUUUCCAAUGAAACCCAAUAUAGAAAAAAUUAGCUUACCUUCUUUAGAAUAUAUGUAUGGGCCAUAAAGAAGUCACCUUGGUGCAUGUGUUCCUCACUUUGACGCCAAUGGACGACUUUCUAUGGUAGCAAAUGGAGAUCCUUUUUGGUGGUAACUUGCGUGUGGAAACCUAUGGUACAACCAAUGUCAUCUUUUAUUGUGCGUGUGGACCAAUUUCUUCUCGAGAACUCAUGUGUGUUGUGCUCAAAAUAUGUUGCCUGUGAGAAUCUAUUGGUAUACCCCACAUAUGGUUUCCUUGAGAGAAUCUGUGGUUGUGUGUGGGCGUUUUCUUCAUGACAGCAUGUGGAUGUUCCCAUCUAUGGUAGAUUGGUUGUGAUGCUUUAGUGCAUGGUCUCCAUAGGAAUAGUGUGUUAUGGAAAUUUGGUUUUUUUAUUGGUGCAUGUUGUCUAGACUUUCCCAUAUGCGUGGACUGUGUGUUCAUGCUUUUCUUUUCGGAUGGUCGCCUGUGUUAAUGUGUGGCGGUGUCUACAAUGAAAGAUACAACCCUUUCUCUCCUUCUGCGUGAUAGAAAAGUCAAUCCCCCAUGGUGCGACUAUGUUCCCUCGUCCUUUUUGAAAAAUUUUGGUGUUUUCCCCCCAAAAAAUCCCCUCCAAAAAUCUAAUUAUAAAUGUCUGCUUUGGCCUAAUGUGUGUGCUACUUUUUUUUUCCUUCUUUUUAUGGUUGUGCGUGCUUUUCUUGAUACGUGGCUUAUUUCUUAAGGAUAUGAUUCGCUCCCAAUUGGUGUCUCAGCUGAUUCAUGUCCUUUCAAUGGUCCCUGACAGUGGUGCCAUUUGAUUCGUGUCCAGCUGGUGUCCCUUGAUUGUGGUCCUCAGAAGGGAGUAAUCAAUAAAAUUUAUAACCUAUUACACCAUGUAUUAGGAUAGCCUUAGCUAGCAUAGCAUAGUGGCUCUAGGGUCGUUUAUUGGGAUGAGUUUUCACUUCACAAUUGAUAUUAAUUCAAGAGCUGAAUUGGUGCCUUUUCAUUUCAAGGUUAGCUUUAAAAGAAAACAUAAUCUUUGGUGGAAAAAGGUUUGGUUUUAAACUAACCAAAAAUAGUAACUGAUUUUACUUACAAAGAAAAGUGUUCUUUGGAGUUUAGAUCACUAGGCUCAGGUUCCUCAUACAAAAAGGAGAGUUCCGAUCAUUUGUUUCUUUUCCUCGCAUUAGAGAAUUAACAUAUAGUUAAUUCUCUAACCGGUGCGGUACAUAUGCUUCCCAUUAAUGGGUUCAAACACUAAAUACCUCUCACUGAUGCACCUUGCAAUGGCUCGUGCCUCUCACCUAGCAUUUAUCAUUCAAGGUGAUCUUUAACCUUGGAUUACCCAUCAAAAGCUCGCAAGAGAUAACUAAAGGAUGUCUCCUUAGAGUCCAAAAGCUUACCAAGUGUUGGUUAUUCUAGAAAAUCCUACCUUCAAACCACCUCCCAAAGGCUCGCAAGAGAUAAACAAGUGCAUCUCAAUGGAUGAAGAUCACUUGCCUUACCAAGUUUUGGCCCAGAUGAUUUAAUGACAUUUUAAGUUAACUAAAAAGAUAAAAACCAUUAACGGGUCACACUUUCUCUUCAUUAAAAACUAAAACAACAAAACUUCCAAUUUAUGCAUGAGGAAACUUACCUGGCUUUCUUCACUUCAAGAGAUGAAGAGCCUAGCCACUCAUCAUUUGAGGAAAAAUCCUCAGAGUUUGAUUUGCUAGAAAUAAAAAUAAUGAGAAAACAAAAAUAUAUAUAUGAAAAACAGAGCAAGUUCUCUGUAAUAUAUUUUUCUUCCUUAUACAAAAGGUUGUCUCUAAGAACAAGUUCCCGAGAUCUAUCUGAUUGUAAAUAAAAUUACAACUAUAUAUAAGAGGUUAUUCACCCCUUUGUUCUUUCUUAAAGACUAAGGAAUCCUAUGAUAGGUGGGUUACAAGGAGAGUUUGGGGAUUUAGACAUCAAAUAUCUAAAGCAAAAUAUCUCAAGAUGUUAGUCGGAAAUAUCAGGAAGCUUCAGGAGAACACCGCGACACUGUAUACUGAGAGAAAAACUCUCCGGGUAAGCUCUAUCAAAGGAUCCAGACAUGUCUGACUGGGAAAGUUGAAACGUCCUUCUCUCCCAUCCGGAUGUGAGAUAUCCGGAGAAAGUGAAAUGUCGGUCGGACAGAAUUCUUUCCCCGGGUGGAAUGAGUUGUGUUGCGCGUCGCAAGGGGGACCGUCUGCGUGUACAAGUUGUAGGGACCCCUCUCCCGGAUGACACCGAGCGCGUAAGGCUAUCCGGAUCAACUCCAUUCGGAUUCCCCAAGAGGACAUGUGGCGUGCUCCCCUAUCAGGACUCCCUUAGGGAGAAGCACACGACACUCGUGAACAUCAUACCCGGACGAUAGCAUGUCCUAUCCGGAUGUGUUGUCCGGAUCAUUGACUAAAGUGAGCAAGCCUUGCUACGUCAUUCGGACAGCUUGCCACAUACCAUGUUCCGUCGCCAUCUGAUGGUGUGUCCGAACGCCUUGUCCGGACAUCUUUUGCUCCUUGCAUUCCGGAUUUGCUUAUGACAAAGGACUUCAAAGCUUCGGUUCUUCAUGUUUCUGAGCUUUCCAUUGCUUUGCCAUGGAUUCCAAAGAACUCUCCUUAAUCACGGAUUGCUUUGGUGAUCAAAAAGUUAUCAAAACACAAAAACUUAACAUAGUUUGAUUAGAAUUGAUUGCAAGGGUUCUUAAUAUGUUAAUUGGGUUAAAAGGUGAUAACUACUACUCAAAAGUGUUUAUAAGAAUUAAUUACAAGCUAUGAAAUAACACUUUUUGAGUAGUAAUCAGGAUACAUCCUAGUUUUUCAUGGAAUUGAUAGUGGGUUGUUGUGCAUGAAUGCCACCAUUUCAACUAUGCUGUUGUUAUUUUUAAAAAAAAUAUGGAUUAUGCGCGAGUGGCAAUUCUCCACUAUGGAAAGUGGAUUGCUCCUUCAACCCAUGCAUGGCUACGUAUUCCUAUGUCUUUCUACUUGUGUUUGAUCCUCCAAAAAAAAUUUCGGUUUAGUGCUAGUAGAUUUUAAGUGGUGGAUCCCCAUUUUUUGAAAAUGAAGUGGCAGCCUCCCAUUUCAAGACAAAAUGGUAGCCUGCCUUUAAUCUUUGGAGAAAAAUCUGUGCAUGACCUUUUUUUUUCCCAAAAAAUCCGUGCAUGGUGUCCUUUAAUAUUUGGAGAAAAAUCUAUGUUGGAUCUUUUCUUUUCUAGAAACAUUUGUGUGGUCUUUUUUGUUAGCCCAAGGGUUCUUCUAAUCAAGUUUUGAUGAUAACAAACCAUGGUUAAGUGACUAAUUGGUUUAAUGAUUAAGAAUCUCAAACAUAAAAUCGAAAAUUCAUCAAAGGACCAAAUGGAUACAAGAUCGAGACGCUUGGAAGACUUGUAAUCAUAGGAAACUAAUGUAAGAUGAAUGCAUGAGUGCACUUAGGAUUUUCACACGUUUCAUGCAACUUAGAAAACCCAGUUUAUUCUUUAAAACUUCAUCCCAGUUUAUUCUUUUUAUGGUUGUGUGUGCUUUCCUUGAUACGUGGCUUAUUUAUUAAGGAUACAUCCCAGUUUUUCAUGGAAUUGACAGUGGGUUGUUGUGUGUGAAUGCCACCAUUUCAACUGUGCUGUUGUUAUUUAAAAAAAAAAAAAAUGGAUUGUGCGCGAGUGGCAAUUCUCCACUAUGGAAAGUGGAUUGCUCCUUCAACCCAUGCAUGGCUACGUAUUCCUAUGUCUUUCUGCUUGUGUGUGAUCCUCCAAAAAAAAUUUUGGUUUAGUGCUAGUAGAUUUUAAGUGGUGGAUCCCCUUUUUUUGAAAACUAAGUGGCAGCCUCCCAUUUCAAAACGAAGUGGUAGCCUGCCUUUAGUCUUUGGAGAAAAAUCUGUGCAUGACUUUUUUUUUCCCAAAAAAUCCAUGCAUGGUGUCCUUUAAUAUUUGGAGAAAAAUCUAUGUGGGAUCUUUUAUUUUCUAGAAAAAUUUGUGUGGUCUUUUUUGUUAGCCCAAGGGUUCUCCUAAUCAGGUUUUGAUGAUAACAAAUCAUGGUUAAGUGACUAAUUGGUUUAAUGAUUAAGAAUCUCAAACAUAAACUCGAAAAUUCAUCAAAUGACCAAAUGGAUACAAGAUCGAGACGCUUGGAAGACUUGUGAUCAUAGGAAACUAAUGUAAGAUGAAUGCAUGAGUGCACUUAGGAUUUUCACACGUUUCAUGCAAUUUAGAAAACCCAGUUUAUUCUUUAAAACUUCAAUUUCAUUAAAACCCGAGUUUUUAACUAAUGUACCUUAGGCAAAAUGUUUUAUAAUUGGCUUAAUAAUUCACCUAAAUACAUUUUCUAAGUGUUAGAAAAGAAAGGAAUUAAAAAAAGGUUUUCGGGGCAAAAAAGGCUCAACCGGUCGAGGCUAUGGUCAACCGGCUCAACCGGUUGAGGAACCAAUCGAUCGGUUGUGCUUGUCCGAUCGAAGACCAAUCGAGGGAUGCCAAAAAAUUUCUCUCUCUCCUAGUGGCCUUCUCUUCCCGGUCGAGGUUCGGUCUAGGCAACGGUAACAUGUCAAGCAUUAAAUGCUCCGACGACUAGUGAAUCGGUCGACCCCUAGCCCGAUCGGACGAGGUUGCCUUUUGCUGUUUUUGACUCCCGAGCUUAGAAACCUAUAAAUUGAGAGCUCCACUUCAUUUAUUGAUAAAAGAGAACACUUGCAUUCAAUAGUCUACCUACCUUUUCUUGAUCAAAAAGCUCUCAUUUCCUUCAUAGUGCAUUAAAUCAUCACUUGCAUAUCCUUUAGUGCACUAUUGUGUGUCAUCCUAGCUUUGUUUUGUAUUUGAGCUAUCCUUAAGCUAGGUUGAGGGAUUAUUUCUUAUAAAAAUCUGAGUGUUAAAGCCUUCAAGAGAUUUGAAUCUUGAAGAGAUUGUGUAAGAGCCCAUUGGAGCCGGAGUCCAAGUGUAAGAAGAUUGGAAGCUUGGUUGAAGCUUCAAGUUAGUGGAACCCUCACUCGGUUAGGAGGUUGAGGAGAGUGGACGUAGGUAAGGAAGUGUCGAACCAUUAUAAACCCGAGUUUGAAUUCUCUAACUCUAUCUCUUUAUUUUGCUUAUAUUGUGUUUGAAUUUGUUGUGAUUGAAAAGAUUUUAAAAACCUAAUUCACCCUCCCCCCUUUUGGGUUUUUUUUUCUUAAUUAAGCAUAACCUUUGUUUUCUAAUUUUCUUUUUAGGAAAAUCCAUGCGUGGUAUGUCCAAACUCUCCAAGUGGCAGUCUGCCUUCUUCUAAAAAAUUUGUUUCUAUUUCUUUAUUCGACUACCUUCCAUGUCUUCCUAAUGAGUGCUUGUGCUCAAUGGUCAAUCCCUGGUGGUUGCCUCCUUUUCCCAUAUAUACGUGUUGCAAAAUCAACAUCCCACUAUAUGUGGGUUGCCUCUAUGGCAAGUUCACAUUUCCCACAUGAAACCUAUGAGUUUCCACCAAAAAUUGCCAUGAAAAAGUCUUUAUAUGCAUCUCAUGCAAUAAAAAGUCAAGCCAAUACUCAUCUUAUCUCGAAAAAUAAGUAACCAAAAUCAAGAUCAUGCCUAAGUGAACUAUGCCAAAAGAAGUGUCCAAGUGACCUAUUAUGAAAAAAGUGCCUAAGUGACCUAAGGUGAAUGUGUGUAAGCUGGAAGGUGUCUAGGAUGUUUAGGACAAUGCCUAAGCCUAAAAUAGGGUUGCCAAGGGUCACAAUGGGGUUAGAUAAAUCUCUCAAUCAGAGUCUCCAAGGUGGCUCAUAAAAGAUAAGCUACACGAGUAAUGAUGGGCCACCAGGGAAUUAUUGUAAAGCACCAAACGAACACAUAAUAGGACAUGUGUUAGAAUGAAAAAAUGGAGGGUUUACAAGUGGUCUCAUGGAUGAGCUUGAUAAUUUAAAUGACUCACAUAAUGAACGUAUGUGAUGUUUCUCUCCAAUAACAAGCAAAACAUCACUAGCAAUAUGAUGAAUGUCUCCUAAAUCACUUGAAGUAGUCCUAGCAAAUCAAUUAGAAAAAUCACACAUAUUGCUCUAAUGUAAUAUUAUAUACAUCUGUCAAUGAAUGGGAGAACUAAUGACACAACCAUCAUGUUGAUAUCUCGAACCCUCUAAUCUCAUAUGUAGGUGGGAUCACACUUAGAAACUCAUAACACAGUAAUGACCAAUCUAAGUCAAAAUGUGUUGGUGAUCGGAGGCCCAUGAAUAUGAAGUUCUAGGAUGAUAAUGACAUCUUAUAAAGUAAUGAUCAUCUCCUUAAUAGAUAGGUGAAAUGUGUGUGUCUUAGGACACCAUCUCUCAACAAGACUUGUGAUCAAUCCCCAGUCUAGUGUAACAUGCCUAUUAUGACAUCCAUCGUAAAAUCUAGACUAGAUAAUAUAAGGACAAAUGUGAGGGUUCAUCUCCCUUUCCCACAUAAAUUUAAAAAAUUAUUAUUGACAAGUUAAGACCAAACUAAGUUGCAAAAUAUAAAUAAGUCCAUUAGAUAACAAAUUUAUGUUUUCUCAUUUUCUCAUUUUUAAAGAGAUAUUAUGUGCUUCCAUGUACAUACAUGCUAAAGUCAAUUAUACGAGACUUAUAUCCAUCUUGUAGAACCAAAUCGAACCUAUCUAAUAGAUCCAGAUUAGAAGUAUGUCCUCUAUACUCCAUAUUUAUAACACAUUUAUAAAGAUAAAUGCUAAAAAAAUGUUAAAGAUAUAAAUUUAAUGAACCAUACUUUAUGAUUUUAAUUCUCAAUUAUUGUUCAUAUUUAUAAGAGAAAAGUUAAAAAAAUUGAUAGAGUUUUCCCUCUAUCAUGGACAUUAUCCCAAAUAAAAAUAAAUUGAUUAUGCAAAUUACAUUAAUAUUUGUAACCAAAUGAUCAAUAACUAUCUUGUAUCAAUUUAGUAAAUAAAUUUAAGUAUAUCUUUUCAUUUAUGACUAACAAAUAACUCAUACUUGUCCAAUAAAAGCCACACCUAAUUUCUAAAAUUUUGUCUUCACCUCAAGUGAGUGUUACAUUGAGAAAGAAAAAAUAUGAAAGAAAAAAUGAACACCUUUUUCUUUUAAUAAAAAAAGGCCAUAACGAAACAUUAAAUCUCACUGUUACACCUAUCUUCAAUGGAAACAUGAGGAUGUGAAUGGUGGCGGUGAUAUUCUUUGCUUGAAGCUCAUAAACAAAUAUUCCUUACUAAGCCUAUGCCAUUUAGUAUUUCAAUAGUGGACCCCCCCCCCCCCCCCCCCCCCCUCCUUGCAUUUCAGAUUUAGCAAACUUAGAACCAAAUAACAAAGUGCAUUUGAACCCAUAAAGAAGUAAUGAGACUCUCCUAUAUUGGCAAUAGAAGAAAUUUUUGGAGGUAUAGGAGAUUCACGGAUGAAGAAGUUGGGCCCCAAUUGAGAUAAGACCCAAGAAAAGAUGGGGUAGAGAGGGAUGGUUGGAAAUUGUAAAGUAAGAUUUUCAAAAUGUAGUUGAUGACUAAGAUUUUGACAAUUUAAAAAAGGUUUAAAAAUGUAGUUAGCAAUCGGGGUUUUGUAACAUUUAAAAAAUAAAAUAAAAUCUCAGGCCACAUGGUAGCCCAUGUGAUUCAGAAGCUUGAGAAUUAUUUUAUAAGAAGACUUAAUUUGUGAUUUUUUUAUAACUAUAUUAUUUUUUUUCUUAACACACGAAAAAAAUUAUGAAAUAAGACAAUUUUCCUAAGAAAGCAUGUAAGUGACUCUUGGUUAUUUUAUUUAACUUCUUCUAGUUUGGAGAGGAUUAAUACCUUUGCUUUUACUCACUUGCUUGGAUAUGUACACGUUGUUCAUGUCACUUUUCAUUUAAUUUUCUGAUUAAGGGAAUUGGAACCGUACGUAACUGUCUUUAUUCCCUCUGAAACUUGGACUUGGAGUUGGACUUUCAAUCUCAUCAGUCGUGUUUCCAUAAAAAAGAAGAUGGAUUAACCAAUUUUCCUAUGCCUACUAAUCAUACACAAAACUCCACUUCCAAAUAAAAAGGAAUGGGAUAUCACUUGUUAAUAGUGGCUAAAGACUAUUAAUAACCAUGCAAAGAAAUGUCACAUUUUUUGUUCUACGCAAAUUUUAUUCAUCAACUACUAGAACCAUUUCAUACAAUAGUAGCUUUUCGAUCCUUUGAUAAAUGGACACUUGAUGUGAUAACACCAACUACACCUAUAUAUUCAAGCAAUCAUGCGUAUAUAAUAGUGGAUAUGGAUUACUUCUCUAAAUGGGCAAAAGUUUUGUCAUUCAAGGAAAGUGAACGAGGAAACACAAGUUUACUUUCAUCGGAACUAAUAUUAUAUAUUGAUAUGACUUCCCAUUAUUACUUACGAUGGAAUAUGCUUCCAUAAAAUGGCCUAGAUGAACAAACUAUCCAAGAAGUUUGGGAUCAAAUAAUAUAUAUAUAGUUCAUGUGUGAUUCUUUGGUUGACAACCUUGUUAAGGGGUGAGUGAAGCACUUUGGGCAUACCACAUACUACAUGCUAGACUUCCACCCAAGCUACCCUAUAUUCCUUAUGAACAAAGUAGAAGUUGUCAUCUCUCUUGAAUACCAAAUCCUUUCACCUAAUAAUGCUAUCUAAAAAGGUCUUAAAAAGGAUAAAAAUGCGCAUAUUUGAAUUUUUGAAUUAGGAGUGCUACUUAAAAAGAAGCUAGAUAUACAAUAAUAGAAUGUUAUCAAGCAUAUCUCUUCAAAGUUUUUGACCAAAAAAUAUAUGAUUUCUCAUUUUAGGUAGGAGACUUAGUACUCACUAUUCAAAAACCAAUUAUCAUUACUCAUAAAAACUAAUAGAAAGUUUGGGCCAAAGUAGGAUGGACCUUAUAUUAUGCAACAAUUAUGCCUAUAAAAUUGUUGCAAAAGAGGUUUUAGAAUCAAAUCAAUGAAUGAAAAAUUAUUAAAGCAUUACUAUGCUUGAAGGCUAGUCAUUUUCCCUUAAAGUGCAAUAUUAAGUUGCAUAGUACUAUGUGGAUCCGCAUUUUUCACAUGCGUUCCCACUCAUUGUCGAGACUCACUUUUUAGAAGUGAAAAAUUAGUUUUAUUAAAGUCGAAGUUGCCACUGGGGAUUUGAACCCUAACAAAAGGUUCAAUUUAAGGAUAAAAAUAUCGAUAAUCACAUAUAUAUAUAUUGGUACUUUGAUUUUAUGAAUAUAUUGAAGAAAUAUGGACAAAUAUUUUGACACAAAAUAUGUACAAAAUAAAAAUUAUAUAAAAAGUAAAAAUAAAUAUUUUAAAAUUAUUUUUUUAAAUAUAUAUAUAUAUAAUUUGACAUAUUUGAUAAUAAUAUAUAAGGGUCUCCAAAAAGCCCGUGGCCCGCUUUAGGCCCGGUCCGACCCGACAGGCUAAAGCCCGGCCCAAGCCCGCCGGGCCCAAGCUCGGCCCGAGCCCGUUUAUGGGUGGGCCGGGCCGCGAGCCCGUAGGCCUGCUCCUUUAAAAAAAAACUACAAAAAUAAAAAGUAUUAAAAAAAAUAUUCAUUUCAAAAUUUUAUUCAUUGAAUGUAUAAUUACAUUUGAAAAUGUGGGAAAAGUUUACAUCACUACAAAAUAAAUACAUCCCAACUAGGUUGGCACCUAUUUAUUUGUCAAUCAUCUGUAUUUUUCAACCACAAAAAAUAAAAAUAAAAAUAUAAUAUACAUUUAGUCAUUAUUUUCUGGCGGUGAUGGCGAACUAUCAUGCAUCCAUGAAGAUCUUGAUAAUUUUAAAGAUUCCAUAUCGGUAAGCAUCUUUGUUUCUCGAAUGGAAUCAUACAUCCUUUUAUCUGCUAUUUCCCAAUCUUUCACACAUAUCCCUGCUUUAAUAACAUCUGACGCUAAGUUGCAUCGUUUUUUACUAACUACUCUUCCACCUGCACUAAAAGCAGCUUCUGAUGCAACUGUACUCACAGGAACUGUUAGUACAUCACGAGCAAUUAUAGAAAGCACAGGAUAUUUGUGUUGAUGUGAUUUCCACCAUAUUAAAAUAUUAAAAUCUUCUUGAUCUUCAAAUGAAAUUAUAUCAGUAUUAAGAUAUUUAUCUAAAUCAGAUGUAUUAUUUGGAGAAUUAUUUGUUGUCUUUUUUCGACUUUUCAACAUUUCUAGAGCUCCUUUAUAAAAAGAUGAGGAGUUUGUAGAUGUAGGUGGUAAUUUAAUAGUAUUAAUAUCAUUACCAUAUUUUUCUUUAUAAUAGUUAUAUAAAUUAUAUAAUAAUGAAUUUAUUUCAUUUUUAAUUUCUUCAAUUUUUAUUUGGUCAUUAAAAUAAAUAAUUGUUAACCAUUCAUCCAAAGCUUCAAAUUUCAAUCUAGGGUCCACAAUUAAAGCAAUAUAAAAAAUUAAAGGUAUUUCUCCCCAAUAUUUUCUAAAUUUUUAUAUCAUUACAAAUAUUGUAUCAUUAAAUAUUUCAAAACUUAAAUAUUUUUGAAGUACAAUAAAAAUAUUAGUUAUUUGCGUAAUAACUCGAUUUGAAGUUGGAUAAUAUACACCACAAAAAAUGUUUGUUGAAGUAUCAAAAAUUUCAAAAAGAUCUCUUAAAACAUCCGCAAUAUGCCAAUCAUAAUCAUUUAAUGCAUAAAUAUCUGCUUCAUAAUCAUUGUUAAUUAAUUGUAUUUCAUAUAAUUCGACUACUUUUCUAUAUUUUGUAAUAUUUUCUAAAAGUUUAUAUGUGGAAUUCCAUCUAAUAGCCAUAUCCAAAUUUAUAUUUUUUCUUUUCAUAUUUAACAUUUUGCAACAAUCAAAAAAUAAUUCAUGUUUUGCUUGAAAACUAUUAAUACUAUAUGCAAUGCCUCUAAUUUUUUUCCAAUGUACUAUCAACAUUUUUUAAUCCAUCCUUUACAAUUAAAUUUAAAAUAUGUGCACAACAACGCACAUGAAAUAUUUUAGCAUGAUCUUCUUUUACUUGCCAAUAUCGUUUUAGUCUAUGUAUUGCUGCAUCAUUAUUAGCAGCAUUAUCUAAUGUUAUUGUCAAUAUUUUAUCACGAAUGCCUAAAUCUAUAAUUUCAUCAUUUAUUAAAGAUGCUAUAUUUUUACCACUAUGUGGAGUAUUUAUUAAUUUAAAUAAAAUUAUUCUUUUAUUUAAUUUCCAUUCAUUAUCAAUGUAGUGAACAAUUAUAUAUAAAAAACCAGUAUGAGUUAAAGAUGUCCAAAUGUCAGAUGUUAAACGAAUAUUUCCUUCAAAAUUUGCAAAAUUUUUUUUUAAAAUUUCUUUUUGUGUAUAAAUUUUUUUCAUAAUAUCUCUUUUAACUGUAUUUCCAGAUCAACCUUUAAAUUGAGGAUUAAUACCUCGUUGAAUUGUUCUUGCAAAAUCAUGAGUUUCCAUCAUGUUGAAAGGUUGUUCUGCUCUUAUUAUAUAAUCAAUCAUUUCUUCACAACAGUUAGAUUCAUCAUAAGAAAAUGUUUUUAAAUUUCCACUUUCAUUUUUACUUAAUUGCAUAUAAUUUCUAAUAUCUACAUUAUUUUUAGUUUUACAAUUUUCAUGAUGUCUUUUUAAAUGACUUGUAUCUGCAUUUGAGCCACCAGUAAGAAAUUUAUUACAAAUUUUACAUUUUGCUUUUAUUUUUUUUUUAUUAUUUUCUAAAAUUAUUUCUAUUCUAUCAAAAAAAUUCCAUAUAUUUAAAGUAAAUUUUUUGUUUGAUGAUAUUUCAUCACAUGGACUAGACGAAGAAGCACUUGUCAUAUUAUAAUUAUUGAUAAAAUAUUAUGCCAAAAAUAAUAAAGUAAUAAAUAUAAAAAAAAAUGUAACAAAAAAAAUAAAGUAGUAGGGGUGAAGUAUGUUACUCAAUUAGAGAACCUAUGCAGAAAUUCCUAGCAAAUUUGAACUCUUGGAGCCACCAAUGCUUGUUUUGCACCAUCAACAAUAUUGUAUAAUUUGAGGGAAAAAUAAAAGAAUUUAAAAUAUUGUAGAAUGUGAGAGAAAUAGAGAGAAUUUGAUGAAAAAAUGAAAAGGAAGAAAAUGUAUUUAUAGGAAGGUUAAAAAUAAUAAUAAUAAUAAUAAUAAUAAUAAUAAUAAUAAUAAUAAUAAUAAUAAUAAUAAUAAUUGGCCAUGUGACCGUUGGAGGCUUAGCUCCAACGGUCACAUGGGCUGGAGCUAGGCUCCAACAGUCACAUGACCGUUGGAGCCUUUAAUUUUUUUUUUUAAAAUAAUAUACUUUAUUUUUAUAUAUAUAUAACUAACUCAAUUAAUAAACAUAAAAAGAAUAUAGUUCAGUUGGUUAGAACCUUGAAGUUUAAACAUGAGGGGAGGGGUUUGAAUCCCUCCCUCUCCCUUAGGGGCUUUUUUAAAAGCCAUUUUGGCUUAUUUCAAAAAGCCUGUCGGCCCGACCCGCCCUGCAGCCCGCGGGCCUAGCAUUUUAGCAUGGCCUGGUCUGUUGACUAGUCAAAUGGCUCAUAGGCUCGGCCCGAACUGGGCCGCGGGCCUCUUAUUUACGGACCGGCCCGACCCGGCCCGCCCGUUGGAGACCCUUGAUAAUAUCUUCUAUAUUAAGUUACAUUAUAGUUUAUUUUACAAUAUUAUUAUGAUAAUAUGUCUAAUUUUAAAAUAUAUUUAAUAUUAAAAUUAUGAUCUAUUUUAAUUUAAAUGUAUUCAAUGAUAUCAAAUAAAUAAUAAUAUAUGUAUAAUUCUUUUAUUAUUUAUAUUUAUUAUUUUUAAUAAAUAUAUAGAUUAUAUAAAAAAGACCGGAUAUAUCUUUUCAAAUUUUGUAUCGCUCUCCAAGGAUAUUAGAUGUAUGGGAAUUUGUAUUGCUAUCUACGGAUACGUUGAUAUAUGGGUGAUUUAUCAGGAUAAUUAGAAAUUCUAAUUAUGUAAGCAGGUACGGAGUUCUGUGUCGGUGCGAUCUUGUCGACAACAGCUCCAAAUUGUGCAUCUUGCUCAUAGAGAGUAGCGGAAUGCACCAAUCGUAGGCUCAGAGUACCACUGAGUCGUCUGGCAGAGACCCAACUGAAGGUGCCUGUGUUGUUCCUGAUCUGAUCAGGCUUCAAACUACAAGGUGGAAUACUGGUUCCCCUAUAUCAGAAGCUGGAGAUACCCACCCCAUAUGCUCGUCUGGAUGUGCUCCUACCCUUUGAAGCCUUCUUCCGAGUCAAGUCCGAAUUGAUAAGGCUAGUGAGUUCCCAACCAACUGUACUCAGCAUGCUGCCAGGUGGAGACCCUCCAUAUUUGAUGGCUUCCUAAUAUUAAAAUGCUGACCACUGGUCUUCAUGUUCCACAGGCUUAAUUGUGUCCUUUGCUGAAAGAAUGGAUAGUGAUCCAUUUUAACACAUGAUUCACGCCGUCUUUGCCAUUCUUCAUGGUCUAGCCCUUUUAUAUAUAUGCUUCCUGAACUGUUGCUAUUAAUAAAAUGUGGUAUCUAUCCCGUACACCUUCCUGAUGGCCAGCGAAUGCAGAAGCUACAGAAACGGUUCCAUCUUUUGCUUCCGCCACUUUGGCAUCCUCCAUGAUGAGAUCGAAGGUGAAUAAUCAUAUUCUGGGGAUUUAUGUCCUGGAUAUUCUCAGUAAUGCCCAAUUUCCUGGUGCCGGCCUCAUUUCCAUGGGAACUGAUGGAUAACUUAAGGCUUCUACCAUCUGCGUGGUUCGCUUCUAACACAGGAAACUUCACGGCUAAAAGCAAGAUACCAAGAACAUCAAGGCUGUGACAAAAAUUAGUAUUUUUAACUUGUAGGAAUUUGAAAGGCAACCAACCAUCUAGCUCUGUUCUUAAAGCUCCCAUAGGAGGAUCAGAGGCUGGAUUGCUCAAGAUGAACUCAUCCAUUGUUGCACUUAAAAAGAAUUGGCAUGAAUUGUGGCCGCUCUAAUAGGUUCCCUAAACCAUCAUCCAAGUGGGCUUGCGGAAGGUAGCGAGUUUAAAACACCUAGGGCGAUGAACAGUGGACUGUGAUGCUCACAAAAGAGAAAAGGAAGAAUUCAAUAAUUCCUAAGAAUCCAUUUGCCUGUCAUCCAAAUUUUUAUAUUCUCUUCAGUCUGACGCGUUAUGCCAUAUAUUAAAAAUAGCGGCUUCUUCCAAGCCGAGACAGACUGUGCAAAGUUCGCAAGGCCAAUCAUCACCAUAAUCUGAAGUUGGCCUCCUCAAUCGCAGCUUGUAUCCGAAUGCUCACUUCACGGGAUGGAUUGUAAUGAAAACUAAUCUCAGUCCCAGCUAUGGCAGCAUCCUCACUUGACAGCAUUUUCUGCAUAUUCUAGAACAAAGCAAUAAACCCUCAAAGGCUCCUUCGGAUCAGAGUUAGAAGACUGUCCCUCAGGAACGUGAACACUAUGGUGGUUCUGAUAAGCAGUGAUAUUGCAUUAGAGCCUUUUGGAACAAGAGGAUCUUUUCAGGUGGAAACUGUAAACUGCUUCAUGUUGGGCUGCAACCUUUUCUUCAAGCAAUACUUUCUUUCUGUAUCACGACUUAUGUUGCUUCCGGAGCCAUCCCGUGUGGACUGCCCUUCAGUGAAAGAAUAUGUGUGUUGACAUGUUGGAUUGUAAUCUUUGUUCCACUCUAAUGGCUUUUGGUCCUCCUCUUUCUCUUUAUGACAGAGAACCAUUUAGUGAUCCAUCUCUAUAUUGUAGCAUUGCUGGUGCUUUGCAAUACUACACUCUCACCAAGCAUAACAUCUAUUUUUCCGUGACCAAAGUAUGUCGGUUUAUGCAUGCGCAAACUCUUAUUCAUUGGCAAGUUGUCAAGCGUAUCUCAUGAUUUCCCAAAGCCACAAGUUCUUAUGGUCUUUCUGUUCAAGCUUACAAUGAUCUAUCUUUUCUUGGUUAUACUGAUGUCGAUUGGGCUAGUUGCCCUGAUAACAAGCACAAUACUAGUGGGUACAACACUUUUCCUGGUCCUAAUCUCAUUUCAUGGGCAUUUUCAAAGCAGAAGGUUGUGUCUCACUCCAAUAACGAAUCUGAAUAUAGGGGACUCACUAAUUAAUGUUGUUGCCAAGGUCACUUGGAUUGAAUCUGUCUUACGUGAGUUGCGUGUUUCUCUACCCCAACCACCAAUUUUGUUGUGUGACAACAUUAGUGCUACACACUUGGACAAACCAUGUUGAAAUACACUAUCAUUUUAUCCAUGAAAGGCUUAUGCAUCACACACUCAAAAUUCAAUACACCUCUUCUAUAGACCAACUAGUCAAUGCUAUGACCAAAGCUCUUCCUUCAUCUCACUUGUACAAUCUUCAGUGCAAGCUGAUUGUUCUUCCCAAACCACUCAACUUGAGGGGAGAUGUUAAGCCAAUUUAAUAAAUUGAUUUCUUUUGGUUAAUUUGUUAGAAUCAUUUUUAUUAGAGGUUUGUUUGUACAAUUACAUCCAUUUAUCAGGAGAGUACACGUGUACAACUCCUCUUUUAAUCUCACCAUUGUAUAUAUAUGAUACACGACCUUACUCAGAAUUGCAUAACAUUUCCUCUGCUCAUUCCUUUUCUUCUUUGAAUUUUCCCUUACCUCACUGAUUUUGAUUUAUACCUGGUGUUUUCACCUUUGGUCUCUACCUUUCUAGCCAGUUUUCUAAUUAAUCCGUAUAUGGUAUACCUGUCAACUAAUGAGGAGAAAGAGAAAAGGGGAUUGCUGUUCCACCAGCUACAUAUAAUAAUUAAUUACAAUCAUGGUAAUGGAUCCUGAAAUCCAUCCUUUGUGGAUUUUGUACGGAAUAUUGUUGUUAUGUAUGUGGGCUCACUUAGAUGUAUAUUGCUAGCCUGUCUGGGAAAUGUGAUUGCAGGUCCAGAUUAUGAUGUUGAUAUUAGUGGGAUAAGCAAGAGAUGCAGUUAACACGUAUGUGAUGGACUUGAGUAACUUUUCCAUUUCAGUCCAUUUUUUAAGAUUAUGCUUAGUCUUAUUACAAGGAAAGACCAUAAGAAUCAUGAGUCAUUGGCAAGGUAAUAUCAUUCCCUCUUUACAGGCUUCUUCACCUUUUGGUUUUUUUAAUAUCCAUCAAGAUCUUUUAAUUGGAGGACAAUUACAAGUAUAUAUAUAUGUAUUAAAAGGGGAAAAUAUUAAAACAGGAAAUUUUAGGGAAAAUAUAAUAAUUAUUUCUUCCUUCUUUCCCAUAUAGAACUACACAAAAUAAAACUUUAAUAAUUUUUUCUUAUCUUUUUUAUUAUUAUUUUUUCUUAGAAACAUCCGUGGUCUCACAAGCUUGUAAUCCUAGAUUGUUAGGCUCCUUUAACAGUGCCCCAACAUCGUGGUCCAAUGACAAGCUUCCACGCCUUAAAAUCAGAAAAUGCCAUUAAACUUUAUCAGACAUUACAGUUCAAGACAAAGCUUUCAUUUGCUUAAUGUGAUAAUGAAAUUGUUAAUUUCAUUUCGUGGGCAUCUAAAUUUGGACGAGCAAGACCUCUGAAUUCCCUGUUUUUAUCACCAGCAGAGGAGAUAAAAUCUUAAUGGUGAGAAUCUCCACGUGAAAUUUAUGUGUACUGUCAACAUAUUUUUGUUUAUAUAGUCCAGUAGCUGCAGGAAGUCUAGAUUAUAUAGGUAGCAGUAGCACUAUUUAUAGCACUCGAUAUUCGCUGUAUGAAUACAUUAAACCUUGUUUUCAAUACGCAUCACAAGCAAGUACUAGAUACUACAAGGAGUGACAGUCGCAUCAACAUUUCUUGAUAAUAGCAGUGACUGAUUUAUACACAGAACAGUACUGUACACGUACCAGUCACCAGAGAUAGGAUCUUAUUCCUACAUACGACUCUUAUUGAUCGAAGUCACUCAGUUGGGGUAGCCUGGAGUUGGAGGUUUGUGUGGUGGCUUCUUCUUUGGAGGAGGCUUUAUCUUUGGAGGCAUCAUCUUUGGAGGCAUCUUGUGUGAGUCUUCUUCAGCAUUCUCUACAGGAGGAUGGCCAGGCUUAUGACCCUUAGGUGGUUUGCCAACUGGGAUUGGUGGCUUGUGUCCUGAGAGUGGCUCCUCUUCUUCGGGAGGUUUGCCAACUGACGUUGGUGGCCCGUGUCCUGGGGGUGGCUUGUGUUUUGGGGGUGGUUUCACUCCACCGGGAGGUUUACCAAUUGGUGUUGGUGGUUUGUGCUCAAUCGGUGGCCUCUCAACUGGGGGGCGCUUGGGGUAAUCAGCGAGUGAAGAAGUGGUGAGAACCACCACUCCAAGCAACAACACUAGCAAGUAUGUGGAAGACAUCUUUGAGUUUGGCUCAGAUGGUGUAGAACUAGAAUCCUGGGUGGCCUUUUAUAUUAGUUGGGCCCUAUGCCCGAACGACAAGUGUCAUGGUGACACAUAAAGUGAUGGGGUCGAUUUGGGCCUACCGGAUUUGAAAACUUGGACAAUUCGAGAAGCGUCUCCUGACUCCGGGUUGUAAAGUGAAAGAUUAGGUAUCGACCAUUGAAGUAUGAUCACAACUUUUGGCCUUUGGCUCUCUCUACUGCCGUAUAGCUUUUUUCCUUUGGAUAUUUUUCUUAGCUAGACACAAUUAUUGAGCAGUCUAAUCUCGAAAUGGGAUUAGUAUAGCUUUAAGCAAAUUUAUUAUAGUUAGUGGAGGACUUUUAAGAGUGCAGACGACAUUUAACACAUGCAUGCAGUAGUAUAGGGGACAUAACACUAUUCUUUUUCCAAAGAUUCACAUGAUUUUUAUAUUAUAGUAUUGGCACAUUGUAUGUAGCUGGUUUUGUGGUUAAAAUUCCAUAUGUAGACACUGGCGUUUCUCCAUUUCUCACAAUUGAUGUUUACCUCCACGAUUACUAGAUUAGAUAUACCAAACAAUAACACAUUGUAUAAUCUAUCCGCCCUUCAAAAUCUACUGUAUGAUGAAAUGUUUCAUGUGUGUGUGAAGUGUUAGAAAUGCACUAUAGGCAACAUCAUCUUCUUUUGUCUAGGCUUGGGCCUCAAAUUAUACUCCCAUGCCAUGAUAAAUUUUCAUGUGCAUUCUCUAAAGAAGAGUGUCUUGAAUGUGCCAAAUCAUUUUGAUUGAUUUUAUGAUGUUAAUUGCUCCGCAUAUGGAUGGGUAUGUGCUUUAUUUGCUUAUUCAAUCCACAAUUACCUUGAACUGAAGUCCUAUUGGAGCUCUAUUAUUUUAGCAACGUCCUGUCAAAUAGGCUGCUAACUUGGGGUGGUAUGGACCCAAUGAUCCAUCUUAAUCUUGGGUUGAUUUUGUCUGACUCUAUCUAUCUCAGAGAGAACCAGGAUCACCAGUGCUGGUCUGCUUAAAGAAGACUCAGUACUGGAUUAAUAUUGGUUUGGGUCAAUAGCUUAUAAUGCAUUGAAUGCAGAAUAAACAAGAUCAAUGAAACCCAAAACACACUGCCCACACAACUUCACUCUGGUGUCUGUUAUUCAUCAAUUCUAUUCCCACAUGAACUGGUUCAAGUUUAAGAAAAUGACAACGGAUCCACUGUAUUAACUUGGUUUUGCUUGGUUUUGAGCUAGUUGCCAAACCAGCCAUGAGUUUUACCUCUAAUGUCAAUGAACAAACCCCAAAUGAACAACUGCAACAGCUUAAAGAGAAGGAAUGGAGAUGAAAAUCCCUGUUUCUUCUCAUUCUGGGGACAAAUUAGAACAUAACUACAAAGGUUCUAUUAAUUGACUUACUCUACCAUGAAUUAUGGUUCUUUGGUUUUCCAAAUUUAAAUUGUACAUGAGAUUAUUUUUUUCCUUUAUAUAUAAACAUAUUAAGGUUUUCUUAUUUCGUGGGCAAAUGCGCUAAGGAUGAAAGUCAUUUCAUUUGGCUGCAACAGCAUCUUAUAAUCAACAUGCAUAAGCAGCAGUUUUAAUUGAUCGAUUGAACACCGACUCACAAGAAUAGAUAGAAUGGUACAAGACAGCUCUUAUUAAUUUAUACUCGUUACUCAUUUUAUGUAGCCCCAUUAAGAUGGCUGGCUGGACCACCGAGGUCUGGGGGUGGUGUUGCUUGUGUGAUGCAGCGGGCCGGGCAGACACUUCUCUAGUUGCUUCUAUUUGGAGUUAGAGGAUCAGUCUCUGCCAACCUUGAGGACUCUCUACCUCAGAGGGUCCAGGUGGUGGACUCUGGUGUCGGUAGCUUUGAACUCUCAGUAGACUAGUGUGUCUUAAUCAGUCACUGCCAGAGGCUGGCGUAGGCAGUGACGAUAAGGUGAGACAAAUUACCGAAUAGUCAAUAUCGACUGCACUUGACCAUUAUAGAUUUGUUCUGACAAAAGUGAGAAAAGGGAGAAAAUCGGAUGUUGACCUUUAUAGAAAAAGAUAAGAUUUACUGCAACACAGAGCACUGAUUUGUUACUUGGAAACCAAGUUAUGCUAUUAGCUAGCCUCCAUUAGCAGCAGGGUACCUUGCUGCCUGAUCCUAAUCUGAGUUCCCAAGGUUUCAAUCUUCGUUUGUUAACGCUUCAGGAUUUGGAUAUUUCAGCUUCGUUUCUCCAUUUAGCCAACGCUGCCUGGUUUGGAUUUCAAUCCUCAUCUGGAACAUUCUUUUUUCGGUCUGAUUCAGGAAGUGUUUGGUGAUAGUUGAUUAAAAUUAAACAGUACUAUCAUACAAAUAAAGCUGAUCUAAUUUUGGUGGGCAAUAUACCAACUCAUUUAUUCUUGAAAACACCAUGGGGAAUUGGAGGUCCAUCCGAAGUACUAUUUGAUGGGACUCACAAAAAGAACAGGUGCACAUUUAUGAGAUCCGUGGAAGAGAUAACUAUGACAGCUAUGCAUGUACAACAGAUUUAUGUCGAGUUCACCUCGUAGAUAUUUUGUUUUCAGUGUCGGUGGACCCCAAAAUGGAAAUCGGAAAUUAAGGUUAUAUUUAUUUUUUUAUUUAAUUUUAAAUAGAAUUUUAAUUUUUAAUAAUAUUAAGUAUUAAAUUAUUUUUUUAAGGGUAUUUUAUUUUUAUUAAGUAUUAAAAAGUAAAAAAAAUUAAUAUGUUGCUUUUUUAUUUUAAAAAAAUUAUAUAUUUUAAUUUUUUCUAUUUACUAAAAAGUUUAUAAUAAAUUAUAAAAAAAUAAAAAAAUAAAAAACUUAAAUUCUGAAAAUAAAUUAUUUUUAAUAAAAAAAUCCAAAAAAGCAAACACCACCUAAAUUUGAGAUGACUCAAAAUUUUAUAUUUUUUUUCACCUAAAUUAUAUUCAUAAAUUUAAAAUUAAAAAAUUAGGAAGUUGAAUUUUAUUUUGGAUAAUUGGAAACUACAAGAAAUCAAUAAAAAUAUUUGGAAAAAAAAGAAAAAGAAAAACUAUCUAUAUAUUCACCCCCUUCUAAGAAACAUAACUUUAGUUUUUAACUAUUUUUUAAAAUAAUUUUUGAAAAAUGUUAUAUAAUAUUUUAUAAAACAAAAAAUCUGUUUGACAAUUUGAUAUGUCUUUAACUUAUUUUUAAUAUUUAUAUAUAUAUAUUUUAAAAAUAAUUUUAUAUUUAGAACUUUAUCUUUAAUUAUUAUAUAUAUUUAUAUAAUUAUUUUUUUUAAAACAACUCUUAAAAAAUAAGUGAAAGUAAUUGAAAACAACUCAAAGAUAUUUGAUGAAAACACUCUAAUUUGUAUUUUUGAGAAUAAAAAAAUAAAUAAAUAAAUUUCUAGUUAUCAAAUGUAUUUUUUAAUUCUUUUAUUCUAAAAAAUAGAAAAUCGUUUUUGAAAAUAAUUAUUAAACAACAUUCUUAAAAAUUCACUCGUUACAAUCUAGAUUUAAUGCAAGAAUGAUUGAAGGAGUCCUCCAAUAGAACCCAAAGUUAUAAACAUGAACAAGAAGCCCUAGAAACACCAAAGAUCUCAUAUGGUAUAUAUAUGAGCUUGAUUGAGAACUGUUUUAAAUUCAGUUUUUUUUUUUUUUUUUUUUUUUUGUUUUCAAAGUCAAAACAAGUUUACUUUUAAUUUUUACUUCUUUUUUUUAAUUUUAUAAAUAACAGUUUUUUAAUAAUUUAUUUUGAAAACAUGAUUAUUUUUAAAACUUAUAAUGAAAAUAGGAAUUUUUUUUUUAAUAUCAUGGUUAUUUUCCCUUCUUUUAAGGAGGGCUAUUUUAAAAAUAAAUUUACAAAUAUGAAAAAUGAUUCAAACUAAAGCAGUACAAAUAAAAAACAUUUUUAAGAAAUAUUUAAAAAUAGAGAAAAUUAUUUGAGAACAUUUGAAGUCCUUAAAUAGACUUUUGUUUUAGAAAAGGCAAGAUAAUUAUUUUUGAAAAUUGUUUUCAUAAUGAUAUGCAAAAACCUACGUAAAAACCAUAAUUAUAAUCGGCCACAUAUCAAAUCUACUAAAUAUGAAAAGUAAGUACAUAAUUAUAUUUGACUUAGAUGCAAGGAGGAAAAUGUCGCGAUAUUAUCGCCGAAAUAUCGUGUGUCGAAGGGUAUCGACACGAUUUUUCUUGCAGAAAUAUCGGCCAGUCGAUUUUUCGGGAUAAAUCUCGAGAAAUCGGCAAUUUAUCGCGAUAUAUCGGCGAUUUUUCCUCGAUAUAUCUUCUGGUCAACGCGGGUCAACGGAGUCAACACGCUACAGUGAAAGUCAAAUGUGCUACAAUGUCCCCGCUACAAUCACCUCCCCAAACAAAUUGCCAAAUUGCUUCCGAGGGGAUUUGAACCAGCCUUCUUGCCAUUUGGGCUAACUCGCCCUUAUGAUAUAUAUUGCAUUAAACAUAUAUAUACUUAAAGUCCUUAUAUAAAGAAAAUGUUAAAAAAAUAUUUUAAAGAGCAAAUUAAUUAUAAUUAUUUUAUAAUUAAAAGCAAAAUUUUCUUUUAAUUAAUUACCAAAAAUAUAAAAAUUAUAUAAUUUUCUUCAUAAUGUUUUUAAUAUCAUUAAUAAUUAAUUAAAUAUUAAAAAAUUAUAUAUAUAUAUAUAUAUAUAUAUAUAUAUAUUAUAAUUUAUUUUAUAUUGUUUAAUACAAUUGAAUUAAAUGGAUCAUAUUUUAAUAUUAAUAUAUAUUUUAAAAUUAGACAUAUUGUAAUCAAAUAUCAUAAUAUUAUAUGUAAUUUAAUAAUAAAUGUACACUUAUAAAAUUCAUAUUUUUAUCGAUGCAUACAAUAUUAUUAUCAAAUAUGAUAAAUCAUGUUAUACAUAUAUCAAAAUUUUCAAUAAAAUAACUUUAAAAUGUCUAUUAUACUUCUAAUUAUAUUAUUAUGAGGUUUUCUUUACAUUUUCAUGAGUUUUAAACAAUUUUAAGCACCAAUAUUUUUUUCCAAAAUAUCCACCGAUAUAUCUCCGAUAUAUCCAAUAUAUCUCCGAUAUCUCCGAUAUAUCCGUAAAAUCGAAGUACCGAUAUAUCCGUGAUUACCGAUAUUUUCAUCAUUGCUUAGAUGCAACCUUCUUCCAAAUGACAUACUUUAGUCAAUACUUAUAUUUUUUCGUUUCACUUCUUUGAUACAACACCUCAUGGAUUUAUUGUUUAAUUUAUUUGUAAUUAUAAAACUAUUUUUCAUUUUUAAUAAGACUUGAAUUAAUUUAAUAAAUAUUAUAUAAUUUGAAUUUAUAAUUCUUUUUAUAAAAUCAAAGUAUAUUAAAAAAAAAACAAUUUAUCCGAAGAAAGUUUUUUAUUUUUUAUUUUUUAAAACCGAUUUUAAAAAUAACUAGCUAGACACCCUUAUUUUGAUAAAAUACGAAAUAAAAGUGUAAAAACAACAUGGCCAAAUAGGGGCUUAAAUUUUAUUUUUAAAACAUUUUUUUACACUAAAGUGCAUUUUAAAAACACCAUCAAAACCAACUACAAGUUAUGCUUCUUCCCGUAAUAGAAAUAUUUUAGGCCAAAAUAGAACCUCCCCAAAUAAAGACCCUAUACUAAACUCCUUUUCAUUUUAUUAAUACAAAAGUGGGGAAAAAAGGUCUAUGCUCACCUAAAAAACAUGAAUAUUGUGAAUUCACCAUUUCUAUAAGGAAGUUGAAAACUUCAAAAUUUUAUCAACAAAUUCUCUAAAAUCCUCAAAAUAUAUAGGGCCUGUUUCACAAAGUUUUUUAAAAUUUGUUUUUAUAAAUUGCUUUUAAAAUAUAGAAUAAAUAACAGUUUUUUAGAUUUUUUGAAAAAUAAGAGUGUUUGGUAAGAUGUUUUUUUUUUUUUUUUUUUUUUUAAGAAUUAAAUAAAAAAUAAAAAAAUUGUUUAGAUAAAAGAAUUUGUAUUGUUUUUAAAAACAAUGUCUUACUUUUAUGUUAUAAAAAUUUUAUUAAUUUAAUUUAUAAUAAUAUGAAAUGAAAUUCAAGUUAAGUCUUAUUAAAAAAUACAAAUUAAAUCUAUAAUUAUGCAUGAGUUAAAGAUAAAUAUAUAUUUUUUAAAACUAUAAAAUAAAUUUUCUAUUAUAGUGAAACAAAAAUUACUAUAAAAUAAAAAUAAUUUUAAUAUUCAUUUUUAAUACAAGUCAAAUAAGUACUUUAAUUAAUUUUUUUUAUCAUGAUUUCUUAUGUUUUUUUUUUUUUCUAGAAAUUAUUUUAAGUAAUAUAACUAAUUUUUUUUUUAAUGUUUUAUAAAAAUAAGGAUAUUUGGCAAGUUGUUUUUAUAAAAGGAUUUUAAAAAUAAAUGGAUUUUUUUUUUUUUUAAAAAAAGAACAAAAUGAUUUGUUUGAAUAAAUUGUUUUGAUUUUGUAAAAACAUUUUAAAUUCAAUUUAUAUAAUAUUAAUUAAUUAAAUUAAAUUGAAGUUUUAUUGAAAAUAAAAAUAAUUUUGUAAUUAAAAUUAGAUUAAAAAAUAUAUAGGUUUUAAUAAAUCGUAAAUAGUAAUAUUAUAAUAAAAUUAUAAAUUAUAUUUUUAACAUAAAAUAUACUAUUUAUUACAUAUUAAAAAAAAUAUUUUAUUAUAUUAAUAAUUUUAUGGUAUUAAUGAGUUUAUUAUUUAAGUUUUAAAUUAUUUUUAAAAAUUAAUAAAUUUGUUAACAAAUGCAAUGUACUAAAUGUGGUUUAAUUUGGAGUUAAUUUGUUUAGGGAAAAAAAUAAAAAAUAAAAAUCUUAUGUAAAAGAGAAAUAAUAGAGUGUGUGUGUUUUUUUUUAUUAUUUUUAAAAAUCAGUAAAAAGAACUUUUACUUAUUGCCUAAAAAUUAUUCUCUAUUUUAUUUUAUUUUUUAAAUCUAGAAAUAGAUAACAAUAAUAAAAAAAAUUAAAAAAGAAAAAUGUUUUUUAAAACUCAGACUUAUAAUUGCUUUUGUUUCUCAUUCGCACCCCUGGAUUCCUGGAUUCUAAACACAAAAUUAAGUUGAAUCGUCCAUCUAUCUUGUAAGCCAAGAAUUCACAUAGAAGAAAUAAUCGGAAUUUGAUUUGAUAUCAGAUUUAGAGUGGCUCACUACUCAUGCAUUGUCCCACAAUAGUAAUGCUUUGGGCCGAGAUAAACCCAUUUGUGGGCCCAAAUAAAACCCCUGGUUUGAAAACAUCGAUUUUACAGUGGCCCAAAAGAUUAUCUAUGAGGGGAAGAUAACUUGGAAGUCAAGCAAACACAUUUAUCGCUAACUUUUCUCUAAUUAUAAAAUUAUAACUUGGUCUUCUACACGUCUCACUUAAGAGGCGGAGCCACUUGGCACUACCUUUCCAUAUUGUAAAAGGAGAAGAAGCAGAAGGAGAAGAUUCUUAUGCCAUUCCACACACCAUGGCUAGUACUGCUAUGCUGCUUGGCCCGCCGGCUCUCCGCCAUCCUAAUUCUCCCGCCGGCACUGUCUUUGAAGAUGGGGUCAUUCUAACGGAUUCCCUGAUCGUCCGCACCAGUAAUCUGGAGCUUUCUGAAAAACCGCCACUGGAAUCCCUGGCGUAGUGCUCUGUCAGUGGGGAUAUUGCUAUGGAUUGUUUGGAUUCCCAAGCCCACAAUCUUCAUCUUCCCGGGAAACCGCCGAUGGGCUUAACGGAAAACAAGUCUCCGACCUUUUUGUCUUCCGGGAACCCGUGCUUGGACUUCUUCUUCCAUGUGGUUCCCGAUACGUCGUCUGAUGAUCUGAUCCGACGGUUUGAGUUGGCUUGGGAAUUCAAUCCGCUGACGACGUUAAAACUGAUAUGCAACUUGAGAGAGGUGAGAGGCACCGGAAAAUCUGACAAAGAGGGUUUCUACACGGCGGUUCUCUGGCUCCACGACCACCAUCCCAAAACCCUAGCCUGCAAUGCUAGGGUGUUGGCCAGCUUCGGUUAUUUCAAGGAUUUUCUCGAGAUUCUCUACCGGCUUCUGGAGGGCCCUAAAAUUCGAAGAAUCGAAAAGAAAGACUGGCUGGAUCGAAAAGGAAGGAAGAAAAAUUCCCGGAAAAGGAACUCAAUAUUCAAGCGAGAAAAUAGGCCUGGAGUUGAAUUUCCUGUAGAAGAGAAGGAUGUGGAGUAUAUGGUGGAAGAAUUUGUGGAUAAAGAAAAGGCUAGGGUACUGAGAAAGGAGAGAGAACUUGCUCUUGCCAAAAGAGCCCUGCACAAGUAUUCUACUGAUUCUAAUUAUCAGUUCUUACAUGAUCAGAUUUCAGAUUUAUUUGCUGAACUUCUGAAAUCUGAUAUUCAGUAUUUAAACUCCGGUGAGCUUUACAAGAUUAGUCUCGCAUCCAAAUGGUGUCCCACAAUUGAUUCUUCUUAUGAUAAAUCCACCUUGAUAUGUGAAAAUAUUGCUCGAAAGGUUUAUUCUCGCGAGGAAUAUAUAUCCAGAAUACCAAGGAAUUGAGGAGGCUCACUAUGUUAAUAGAGUCAGGGAUAGGUUGAGAAAACAAGUACUUGUUCCAUUACGUAAGGCCCUGGAGUUGCCAGAGGUUUUCAUGUGUUCGAACCAGUGGGGAUCACUUCCCUACAACCGUGUGGCUUCAGUGGCCAUGAAAUCAUACAAGAGCCUCUUCUCAAAACAUGAUACAGAGCGGUUUGGUGUGUAUCUUGAGAAAGUGCAAACUGGGAAGGCUAAGAUUGCAGCUGGUGCAUUACUUCCCCAUGAGAUUAUAGCUUCAUUGAAUGAGGAGGAUGGCGAGAAAGUUGCAGAGCUUCAGUGGGCGAGAAUGGUGGAAGAUUUAUCAAAGAAUGGGAGGCUCACAAAUUGCAGUGCGGUAUGUGACGUAUCAGGAAGUAUGAGUGGAACUCCAAUGAAGGUGUGUGUGGCUCUGGGGCUGUUAGUUUCAGAGCUCAGUGAAGAUCCAUGGAAAGGUAAUGUAAUUACUUUCAGUGCAAGUCCUGAGCUUCACAAGAUCCAAGGAGACAGCCUUGUAUCCAAGACUGAAUUUGUGAGGAUGAUGGAAUGGGGUGCGAACACUGAUUUUCAGAAAGUUUUUGACAGAAUCUUACAAGUAGCAGUGGAGGGAAAUCUGAGUGAAGAUCAAAUGAUAAAGAGGGUUUUCGUUUUCACUGAUAUGGAGUUUGAUGAAGCUUGUGGGAGGUAUAACUAUUGUGAAUAUGACUAUGAUAUGGAGGAAAUUGAUGAGAGUCAGAAGGCAUCUCAGAAGUGGGAGACAGAUUAUGAAGUGAUACAGCGGAAAUUCCAGGACAAAGGAUAUGGAAAAGUUCCGGAGAUAGUGUUUUGGAACCUUAGAAACUCAUCAGAGACUCCAGUGAUGGCCACAGAGAACGGGGUGGCCUUAGUAAGCGGGUUUUCGAAGAAUCUGUUAGACCUUGUUUUUGGAAGGAGGUGGAAUUCUGACCCCUCAGGAUGUGAUGGAAUUAGCCAUCUCUGGUGAAGAUUACAAGAAACUUGUUCUAUUUGAUUAAGAUAUCAAGAGAUUUAUCAAUAAUAAUAUGUUUUUUUUUUUCUAUGUGAAAUACAUGUAAUAUUAACUAUGGAGUUAUCAAAGUUCUGGAAAUUUAAUUAUUUCUUCUUUUCAAGUUUUGUUUGUCUUUGUUAGGAAUUCCCCUUGGGCGGACCCAGCUGGGGACUUGGAUUGAGGAAGUAAGGAGGCGAAAUUGUGUUCUUCUAUGGACAGAGAAAAAAGAUAAAAAUAAAAAAUAAAAAAGGAGGUUAUUUGCAUUUGGAUGUCAUGUGGUUUCAGGGUACAACUACAAGUUCGAAAUUGUACAUAAUGUGAAAAUUCCUGUGUGGAGAACAGCAUAAAUAUGUAUCUCAGUGUGUUUUGUUUGAGCUAAUUGGCAAAUUCGCUUUAAACAUGGUCACAUGGAUGCAUAUUUAUUUGUGAAAUGAUAGUAGUCGAUUACUUGGUCAGUAAGGUUUGUAUCUCUAACUCCAACAUCUUAUUGUAGUCUUUUAAAAUGUCAAAAGUUUAAUGCUAGCUUGAGAAAUUUUGGAAUGGAGACAUUCUAAACAAAGUUAAUAAUCCAUGAGACUUGGUAAAACCGAUCAGAUGAUGCUUACGUACAUGAAUGCCUUCUUUAAGCCGUAUCCUAUUUUCAUUGAAUGAGACGUGCCAUCUAGUUUUGUUCUUGUCUUGAUUGGAUCAUGAUCCCGGGAAUUGAUUACUGUUCUGAAUUUGCGAAUGUUCAAGGUAUUAGAGAAAGUUAAUAUUAUCGUUAAUUUACAUAUUAGUAUUUAUCUAGUUAUUAUAUAUUAGUUUGAAUUAUAAUAUAAUAUAGAAUUUGAAUCAAGUUUACUAUUAGUUUGAAUUACAAUAGGAAAUAAAGUUUGAAUUAUAGUAUAACUCAAAUAUAUUUGUAUAUAAAUAUCCAUCUUUAUCAAUGAGAAUAGUAAACCAUAUUUUUCUCUAUCUUCUUCUUUCUCUAUAUAUAUGGUAUCAAAGCCUCCAAAUCCUAAACCUAGUCUCAACUUAGAGCAAAUUUAGGGUGCAGGGUUUAGGCCCCGCCUCCCCCAACCCUUACCACAAAUGGUAGUGACCUUGUUAUGCCUAUGUAUUGUCAAUGCCUCAUUUUCUAUGGUCUUCAAUACAAUAUCUAGUUUCAAUGUCUCUUUCCUUACUAUCUCCAAUGCAAUAUAUUGAUUUCAAUAUCUCUUUACAACCAAGAGCUCCAAAUUUUCCUGGUUCAAAUCUACCAUAAUUUUUAUUCUCCUUUGCUUUUUACCAAUAUUAGUUCCCCUAAUUUAAUAUAUAUCUCUUUAUUACCUUCAACUCUACCUCUCUCUUUCUUUAAAAGCUUCCUCAAAGAUUUGAUUGCUUUCUUGCAUGUUUUGGGAAAACAAACAUGCUCAUAUUCUAUUACCUCUACUUGAGAUCUGCCUUAUACUCUACCUUCUUCUUUACCUCCUAUAUCAUCUACUACAUUAGCUUCAAAAACAUUAUUUAGUUUGAUGCUAAAUAAGGCUCCUAAUCCUACCCUUCCUUCAACUAACUUUCUUUUACAAGUCCCUCAAAGUUUUUUUUUUUUUUUUUUUGGAAAUUUGGCUUAGAAAGAUUUCAUUACUCUUACCUAAUCUUUCAACCAUCAAGUCGAAUCCACUUAUCUCUUGAAUCCAAGGAGACUACCCUCCACAAAAACAAGGAGAUUGACCCCCACAAUAACAAAGAGAUUGUCCUCCAUAGAAACAAAGAGAGCUUCCUUCAUGGAAGCCGAAUACAUCGCAAUCUAUUUUCUUUCUCUCAAGAUCAAAUCUCCAAUCGGAGCUCCAUCUUGUGGGGAUAUAUUAGAAAAAGUUAAUAUUAUCCUUAAUUUACAUAUUAGUAUUUAUCUAUAUUAUAUAUUGAAUUAGAAUAGAAUAUAGAAUUUGAAUUAAGUUUACUAUUAGUUUAAAUUACAAUAGGAAAUAGAGUUUGAAUUAUAGUAGAACUCAAAUAUAUUUAUAUAUAAAUAUCCAUCAUUAUCAAUGAGAAUAGUAUUCCAUAUUUUUCUCUUUCCCUGAGGCUUCAGAAUGUGAUCUUGAACAUUUGAUCUUUUGGAUUCUUCUUGUUUCGGUGGUUUAAUAUAAUGGAAUGUUUAAUUAUAGCCUACUUUAUCACCAUGGAUGUGCUCCUGCAGAUUUCUUGAGGGUGAUGGUUAUUUUGUCAUGUUUCUUGAAUGGUUUGCAUCAGCUGCCUGAGCUGUUGUUGCUGGUCACUUUUGCAACCAGGGAAAGAAUCAUGGCUUUGGAGAAGCCAGCUUCUGUUUUUGUUGCCCAGCUGUUAGUUCACUAAGAUUGGGGGUCCUAACAUGUAUGUAUAAUCAUAAGCAAGGAAAUUUUAUGUCUUACGCUAGAUAGGUACCAUGAUAUGAUGUUUGAUUGAUUUAUUAACUCUACCUGUUUCAAAAGGCAUCAACAUUAAUUUUACCCUUUUAACACAUUGGAUUGUUUGACCUUACGAGAUUUUCUAUUUCUGUACUAUUUGAACUGCAAUCGUUAUGGUCCUUAGGUCUCUAAACCUUCGUUUAAAAUAAAAGUAAGGAGCACACAUAGUAAAAGUUAAUUUUGGGUAACUUUUAAAACAAAGAGAAAAGUAAAAGUUGUUUUUGAGAAAAACAUAUAGAAAUUGAAAGAUUUUUUAUUUUGAGAAAAAAAAGUCAUAGAAAAGAAAUAAUAUCCCCAUAUAAGUAGAUAUGAUCUAUCCGAAGUGUAGCUACUCUCCUGGAUUUAUUCUAACAUUUUAAAAUUUUUCUCAAUGGGCAAAGGAAUAUCAAAUCAAGCUUGAGUAGGAUUAAUUUCUUAAUUUUUAAAAUAACUUAUAAUUAAAAUUUUUUGGUGUUUUCUUUUUUGGACAAUUUUUUAUGAAGACUCUGAAUCAUGCAAGAGAUAUGGUUAUUUUAAAAAAAAAAAUAAUUUAAAACUCAAAUACAUAAUCAAUGUCACAAAUUUAUAAACAAAAGGUUUUUAAAAAAUACUAUUAUUUCCCCUCUACACAUAAUUUUACUUUUCCGAUUUAUUUAUUUUUGUUGGAAAACAGUCUUCAAAUCAAGUAAAAUUAAUAUGUUAAAUUUGUUAAACAAAUAAAUUUUAAAAUACAAUUUGGAACUCAAAAAUCAAUUCAAGUAAUGCUAAAAUUCAAAAAAUCAAAUUUGGAAUAAAAUGACUUUGUAAAUUUUUUUACUAAACAAAUGAAUUUUAAAUCAAGUGAGAUUUAAUACAUUGGAUUUUUAUGAGAAUAGUAAUUUUAAAAAUUAAUUUGGAACUCAAAAAUAGACACAAUAAAUACCAAAAAUCAAUGAACCAAAAUUGGUUUGGAAUAACUCCAUAAUUUUUUAUUUAUUUAUAUAUUUAUUUUUUUGUGCACACGAAUUUCUUACUAAGCAUAUUGCUUCCAAAUUGAGAAAAAUUUACUAUUUAGAUUUUUUUAAUGAGUUUAAUGGUAUUUAAAAAUAAUUCAAAAAUUCGAAAAUUGACUAAUUUAAUAUUAUAAAUUCAUAAACCAAGACUAAUUCAAAAUGCAUUGGGGGCUAAGGGGGUUGAAAUUAAUGCUCCAUUUGGUUGUGGCCACCAAUUGGCAAUGGCCACCAAUCAACCAAUCAAGGUGGCUAAGGGGGUUGAAAAUAGGGACAAUGGGGUGGGUUUGGGACAGGACACUCAUAUCCCAUUCCCAUCCCAAUUACACAGUUAUUUCCCAUCCUUAUUCCAAACUUGUGUUGGGGCAAGUUGAUUUGUUCCCAUCUUUGUUAACGAAAUGACUAAUAACCUCAUCCUCUCCUUGUCUUAGAUGUACAUUUUCUCAAAUUUGGUCAGGUAUGAUUGAUUCAAGCCCUAACCUUAAUUGGUAAUGAGUGGAUACCACACCUAAUUGCAUUCUUCUUUCGUUGCAAAAUAAUGAGAUUAUAAUAAUCUAGCAAAUAAGAAAAAAUAGUAUGGAAGUUCAAAUUAACACCAUAACUAUCAAUAAUUUUAAGCUUAUAGAUGACUUAAAUGAUUGAAAACUAAUGCAAAAUACUAAAAAAAAAAAAAAUCAUCUAAAGAAUUCACAAGAGAAUAGAACGAACAAAACCAAAUAGGAACAUGGGUCAACAUUAGUUACAGAUUUUGAUCCCUUUCAAGGCCAAUCUUUGAACCAAGACUUCAUCAAAUCUACUACUUCAAAGGCUUUUGUGUUCUUCUUGAGUUGUACUCUGGAACAAAGACUUCGAGGUGAUGCUUUAGAUGAUUGCAUUACACAUAUUUAGGGUAGGGAGAUUGGAGAAGCUUGAAGAUGCCAACGAUGGGUACAAUUGAGUGGUCAAUAAGAACAAUGUGGCCUAUGACUAGUUUGAUGUCAUGGUAUAGGAGUUUUGGGCAUUGAGGUGAAAGCAAGAGCAACAUGGAAUUGAUUUCAAAGUCUUUCAAUUAGUGUAAAGGAGGAAGAAGAAGUGGUAUUGAUCCUAGAAAUAGUGUUUUAGGUGUUGCAUUAGAGGAAAAGAAAAAGAAAAAGAAGGAACCAUUGGAAUUAGUACGAGUGUGAAGAGAGAAGUGUAUACAUAAGGGGAAGUAAAAGCAAAGUUCUAAAAAUUUAUUUUUUUAUUGGUGGUGUAUGGUUGCAUGAUUAUCCCUAUAAAUAAUAGGAGUUUUUUGGUGUUCUACUAGUAGUUGAAGGAUAAUUUCAUAAGAUAAUAUUUAGAGCGGGGUGGGGUGAGUUGUGACAAAAUCCAUACCCGUCCCAAACAUUGGUUCAGGUUUUUAAAAUAUUUUCAAACUUAUCAUAUACCCAAUUUUAUAUUUCAUACUUGUCCUAAUAGAGACAGGUUAGUCAGGGUUACUUGAGUAGCCUACAAAACUAUCAUCCCUAGUUGAAAUGCUCUUUUUGGCAGUGGCAGCUAGAAGCUCGAUCGAUUGACCUACAAGACUAGUUGUCAUCAUUUUAAAAAGAGUUUUGGCUUUGGUUGUGAGUGCAAUUGAAUCUAAACUAACAUUUCCUUAAUGCAUCUACUUCAAUCCUAAACUUCUUACUUAAGCCUCAAUUGUUGUUAAGAUUUUGGAAAACCCAUUUCCUUAAAUUGUAAAUUUAAGAAAAAAAAAAUUAAAAGUGAGACAUUUCUUGAUUGAAUGUUGUUAAAGGUCCCUUGGAAUUAAGACUUGGUUGAAGCCUUGGAAGAUUAGCAGAACUCUCAACUUAUGUUUGAACCUUGAGGAGAGUGGACGUAGGCCAAAAUUUUGUCAAACCAUUAUACAAAUUGAGUUUGAAUUCUCAUUUCUUGAUUUCUUAUUUAUUUGCUUUUUCUUAUUAUUACUUGAAUUGUCAUUUGCAUUCAUUAAUGUUAAAAUUGGUUAUAAUUAGCCAACACUAAUUCUCUUUCCCCUUCCCUUAAUUUCUUGGGUGUAAACCUAGGUUGGAUUAACUAGAUUUUAUCAAAUCUAUUAAGAUGGUAAAAGAAUAAUUAUUCUUAACAUACAUAAGAUCAUCUUCAAUCAAAUGACUCAUUGGCUGAUAUGUUGAAUUUGCUUAUUACUUGCAACUCAAAAUUGUGUUCUAGUUGAUAUGUCAAGUCCUGAGUGUAUGGACAUUAAAUUUGUAGUACGUGAUGAGUAUUUAGAUGGUCCAAUUCCAAGAAAGUGAUUGAAAACUAGUUCAAGAAAGGUGCAAAAGGGAAUUGUUUUGGUAUUUUCGUUUUUAUUCUUGAAGGUGGCAGAGCUAAAAUUUGAGAAAUCAAGCAAAACAUACUGAAAUUACAUUGAAAGAAAGAAAAUGGGAGUUAAUGUCUUGCAGUACAUGAUAAGGACUUCAUGCAUGUAGUGUGACCCAUGUCUUGGACUGAUGCCACACUCACGGUUACACUUAUACCCUUAGUUCUCUCUUUACUACCUUAGCUAACCUAGAUCAGGUUAUGAGAUAGGCACCUCACCACACCAUUACUUGCCCAUUAAUUAGUGACAUUUUCAAGCAAUGAGGUAACAUGGUGACACCAAGAGGGUAUAUUCCUCACCCCCAACAAGCCUAGACCUGGUCUAAAAAAAAUGGAGAAAAAUGACGUGUUGUUAUGCAGAAAUAUAGCAACCAUGCCUUCCUCAUUACUUAGAUUCAGAAUGUGAAGGUGAAAUUGAGAAACAGAAACUCUUGAAACCAAAAUGAAAAUUGAUACUUUUACGAAGAAUUACAACAACAUUAGAGGAAGACUACAUUCUUCCUCUUUAUUCCUACAUUUCUACACUACUUCUACUCCACUCCAUAUUUCUACAUACAUCUUUAAUCAGUCUUCCCUCCUUUAUAUAGAGCCAUCUUCACACAAAUUCCGCAAGGUAGAAAAGAGGAAUGAAACUUGGAGCAAGGUUCGACUACUGGCUGUAGCUUGUCAAGGCUGAAAGUGAACUUUUUUUCUUGGCUUUUCUGGGCAUAGGUAGUAACUUGUAGGUUCCUUUUUGGAAUGAAAAUGGUACGGCUAGAACAUGUGGCACUCUCUUGUUGGAUGAUGUGUCAAGCAUGUGGCAGCCAUCUAGUGGAGAUUAUGUCAAUUUUGGGAUGGAGAGUUGGCAUCCAAUUGCAAAGAAAUAUGACAUCUACCAACAUGCAAUGUCAACCUAUGUAGAUCAUAUGAAGAUAGAGAGGAAAAAUAUAGAAAUGGAUAUAUAACUAGAACUAGCUUUUUAUUAAAUGAGACGGAGAGCCAACAAUGAAGGAAAAUCAAAAUUUUUGGCUCAUAUCAAAGAAUUCACAUUGUGUUACCCUAGGUUUUCUUAAAACUUACUUUUAUGAUAAUAAAAAAUCAUUAUUGUUUAAUCCUUUGUUUUAAACGCAUGUUUAGCAGGUUGUAAAAUGUAAAUAUCUUUCGAAAUUCAAAUAUGAAGAUAUGACAUCAUUUCAAGCAAUAUAGUCUCUAGGAAUUAAUGUAAAGCUAAAUUAAGGUGCAAUUAAGUUAGUUCAAUGCAUUAUUUUAAGAAACUUGACCUAUCAAAACCUUGUCUUACUUCAAAGCCUCUUUUUCUUUUCUUCCAACUAACAUUUUAAUAAGUGAUCGCAAAAGUACAAAAUUAGAUGAAAUCCAUUUCAAUGGUUAAAAUGAUCAAAUUCAAACUUUUUCUAAGUAUCUUUUAAAAGCAUCAAUAUUGAAAGACAAUUUUAUAUUUAGUCAAAGCUUGGACAGAGCCAAAAAGCACACAAAAAUUUAUAUUUUCUAGCUCUCUACCUUGGAUGGUCUCUUGAUCCUACUUGGAGAUGUGCAUAAAUAAAAGGAUUUGAAAAUGACAAUUGACUAAGUAUGUAGUCAAUCAAUUACUCAUUGAUUGACUAGUUGAUCAAUUAACUUUGCAACAUCAUAUGCAAUCCUAAUAGCUAGUCAUCUAAUCAACUAGGUAGUAAAUCAAUAGGCCAAAAAUAUGUUUAUAAUGACUAUUUUGUACAAAAACCACUUAUAUAGUUAAAUAUAAUGCAUUUCAUUUAUAAAUCUUCUAAUUCUUGAAUAACAAUCCUAUCAUCCUUUGAAAGUUUUUAUUACACCUUUUCUACAUUUGUUCUAAAACUUAUACAUCACCCUUAAUUGUACCAUGAGAACCUAGCAUUUUUUUUUUUUUUUUUGUAUUUCAUCAAAGUUAGCUCUUGUACUCAUUGUUGUAUUAUUUUUAUUGUAACUUAGAGAGCGAGUGUUUUCAAGUGAGUGAAAUUGACUUGUAAAUAUUGUAAAGAUUCAUUGAUAUGUAUCUCAAACUAGGUGUACAAGUUGAAACAUUUGCUAGUAGAUUUUCUCAAGAUUUAGAAUGAGCUUAAGGCUAUCGAAUUAGGUGGGGUUGCGCCAAACCAUAUCACAUCGUUGUUUGCACCUUUUUUUUCACUCUCUUUUACUUAGUUGCUCUAUAUAUAUUGUCUAGCAAUAUCCUAAAGGCUUGAUGGGCUAGGGAGCAUCCCUCUGAAUGAAAAAUUUUCAUUCAAUUCUUAGUUGUAUUACGCAUAUAUAAAAUGCCUCAUUGUUUUAAUGGUAUUCAGUCGUGGCACCACAGAUAUGGACAUCUAAAUUUUAAAAGUUUGAAACUUUUAGCUAAAGAAAAUAUGGUGCUUUGCCUUUUUGGAAAGCAUGUUGAUGAAAUCCAUGAGAAUUGUAUACUUGGAGAGCAACAUCGAGAUAACUUUUUUUUUUUCUUUUUUUAUAAUGCAUUGUUUGUCCAAAUUCCGUACAAAUUAGGCCACCACAUGUUCAUAAUUCUCCCUUCUUGAAUUUGAAAACUCGGACAAUUUGACAAUGCGACACCUAAGUCCGGUUUUUAAAUGCUAAAGUGAAAGGGCAGGUAUGGACCAUUGAAAUGUGAUAACAACUUUUGGCCUUUUCCUUUUCUCUGUAGCCAUGUUGUCUCUUUUUAAUUUCUUUUGCAUGAUUUUCUUACCUAAACAGAAUCAUAGACUUGUUUAAUCUCUAAGUGGGAUUUCAUCCACCUUAAGCUACUGUAUUAUAUCUCGGUGGAGGACAACCGACAUAGAGCACAUGCAAGUGGGUAUAUGGGACAUGAAAUAUCUUCUUAUAAAGCUUGUUUUGCAGUUAAAUUAAUUGGAUAAGUAGACACUGGCGUUUCUAAAUUUCCCACCUAAGAUAAUGACCUUAUCCUUGACUGCUAGAUACACAAACAAUUAUACCUUCAAAAUCUACUGUGAAGUGCUUCAUGUAUGUGUGAAGUAUUAGAAAUUUCUUUCUUGGCAACUUGUUUUUUUCUUUGCGGUCUACUGAUAGGUUUGACUAAAAUUAUAUUCCCUGUCCUGCUAAUUAAUUUUCACGUGCAUGCUCAAAAGAAGAGUAUGACCUUAGUGCACCAAAAUCACUUUCAAUAAUUUGUGAUAAGUUUUUUUGCAUGACAUUAACCUUAUUCAUUUAGAUAAUGUUUAGUUCUCAUAAAUAUUAAGAAAAUGAAAAUAAAUAUUAAGAAAAAUAUUCUUAUAUUUGAUUGUAUUAUGAAAAAUAUCAUAAAAAAUCAAAUAUAAUUAAAAUUAAUUAAUAAUUUAUAUAUUUUAAAAUUAUUUAAUUUUUAUAUUAAAGAUAUAAUAUAAAUGAAAUGAGUUUUAAGUAUUAUAUAAAAAUGAUUUAUUUAUUUAUUUAUAUAUAUAUAUAUAUAUAUAUUUAGUUUUUCUCUUUAUUUUAUUUUCCUUAUGUUUUCCUCACAUUUUCCGGAAUCAAAGAUAGGGAAAUCCACAAUUACCUUCAACUGAGUAGAUUCUAUUGUUUUAGCAAUGUUAGGCUGCUAACUUGUGGUGGUACGAACCAAAUGAUCCAUGUUAAUCUUGGCUUGAUUUAAUUUGGCUCUAUCUCAGAGAACUCAAGGAUCACGUCAACUCUGGUUUCUACUAUUCAGGUCCAUUCCCAGAUGAACUGGUUCAAAUUUGAGAAAAUGGUAACAGACCUUUAGUGAUAUUGGUUUGGAGCCAGUUGCCAAACCUGCCCUGAGCUUUACCACUAAUGUCAAGGGACAAAGCCAUUUGAACAAAAACAAUAGCUUCAAGAGACUGAAUCGUGGAUGAAAUCUGAUCCACAUUUCUUCUCAUUUUGGGAAAAAAUGAGGACUUAACCACAAAGAUUCUACUGCCUCAUAGUGCUUUUCCUGAUCUAAGGUUGGCUCGUUUCCCAAAUUGUGAGGUGCACGUGCCACUCUCACGCUCAGGAGUGUAUCCACGUGGUGGACAUAAGAUGGUGGCUUAAUAUCUGGUGUCGGUGGCUUUACUUUACUAGGAGAGUAGUGUGUCUUCAUCUCAUUCACUGCCAGAGGGUGGCGUAAGCAGUGACGCUAAGGUGGGGCACAGUCAAUAUCAUUUGCAUUUGACCAUUAUAAUUUUCUCCCGGCUUUAAAGUAACCUUAUCGUGAUAAUGGAUUACUAGCACUAGUUCAGAUGACAGUCAUGUUAAAUUCGGACCAUGUUUGUGUCACAUUAUCAGCAACCAUGUGCUUGUGGUUCAUGCUAUCUGCAACUAAACUUGAUAUAUAACCAGGUGAACUUCAAUCUAAAUUCUGGAAGUACUCAUGUGAUAGAUGGUGCCUGUCUGCAGUGAGUGUAUCUAUAAGAGGGAAGGCUUGGCAAAUGUUCAGUUUUCUGGGAAUUCAACAGGGAUCUAAAAUAGAUUGUUUUCUUUGCUGAUUUCAAUGGUUGAAAUUUGAGAAGAUUGUGUCCACAUAACACAACUAUUACUGGUCCUUCUGUUGCAAUUUAUCCUCUAAGGCUCUAACAUGUCUUCCAAUUCCCACUUCCCACUUCCCUGUUACUCCAGGAAAGCUGUUUCUGUCAUUGUGAAGAAGAAAAGAGACUGUACAUAUCGAUGCUUUUAAGUGGACUGGAGAAUUCAUAUCAGGUGGUCUGCAGCCAUACAUGCCACUUUGUGAAGGUUGGAACAGUCAAUCACUAGGCUAUAUUAGUGGGGCCCAGCCACUUCAAUCAAGGACAAGUCUUCAUACUUAAAGUCAAAUUCUGCCUUUAGUCUCAUUAUAAAUUGCUGUUUAAAUAUCAAGCAAACAUUUGUUUAAUGCGAUUAAGACAGCACUAACUCAAUACUUGUUCUAUUUUUGGAUGCAAAUGCUUGAUAGUUUCAUCAUUGGAGGGGAUAAAGGUGCAUUCAUGAUUAUGAAUACUUGUAGUUAUAUUUUCAUUCUCUUUUUUCUCAAUGGGACUUGUUGGCACAAUUUUGCUGUUCAGAAACCUACCUCUCCAUGGAAAAUCAGUUGUGAUUGAUAUUACUGGAUAUAUUCAAGAAAGCUAAAUGUAGAUAGCACAAAAUAUUAUCGACAUAAAUAGCAUUAACAGCGUACGUAUGUCUCAAUGCUCAUCAGCUAUAAGCAAGGGGCAAACACUUACUAUGAGCAACUUACGUCAAAAUUCCGGAAUAGGACAUAGAAGUGACAGGUCAGUAAAUAUAGAACACUGCAUAUGAGUCACAAGAAAGGAAAUUACGGGUACAUAGCAGCUCUUAUUUUACAUCCUACUCAUACUGAUCAAAGUCACUCAGUUGGGAUGGGUGGGAGUGGGAGGUUUGUGGGGUGGCUUGUGCGGAGGAGUUGGCAGCUUCUUUCCAGGACCUGGUUGCUUCUCUGCUGGAGUUGAAGGAGGCUUAAUCUUCCGAGGUGGCUUGUAUGAGUCUUCAGCAUUCUCAGCAGGAGGGUGACCAGGGUUGUGACCACAAUGUGGUGGCUUCUCUCCCUUAGGUGGUUUGCCAACUGGGGUUGGUGGCUUGUGUUCCGGAAGUGGCUUCUCUUUGUGUUCAGGAGGUGGCUUCUCCACUGGAGGCUUGUGUUCAGGAGGUGGCUUCUCCACCGGAGGCUUGUGUUCAGGAGGUGGCUUCUCCACCGGAGGCUUGUGUUCAGGAGGUGGCUUCUCCACCGGAGGCUUAUGCUCUGGUGGUGGCUUCUCCACCGGAGGCUUAUGCUCUGGUGGUGGCUUCUCCACCGGAGGCUUAUGCAAUGGUGGUGGCUUCUCCACCGGAGGCUUGUGUUCAGGAGGUGGCUUCUCUACCGGAGGCUUAUGCUCUGGUGGUGGCUUCUCCACCGGAGGCUUAUGCUCUGGUGGUGGCUUCUCCACCGGAGGCUUGUGUUCAGGAGGUGGCUUCUCCACCGGAGGCUUGUGUUCAGGAGGUGGCUUCUCCACCGGAGGCUUGUGCUCUGGUGGUGGCUUCUCCACCGGAGGCUUAUGCUCUGGUGGUGGCUUCUCCACCGGAGGCUUGUGUUCAGGAGGUGGCUUCUCCACCGGAGGCUUAUGCUCUGGUGGUGGCUUCUCCACCGGAGGCUUGUGUUCAGGAGGUGGCUUCUCCACCGGAGGCUUAUGCUCUGGUGGUGGCUUCUCCACAGGAGGCUUGUGUUCAGGAGGUGGCUUCUCCACCGGAGGCUUAUGCUCUGGUGGUGGCUUCUCGAAUGGGGGAUGCGUAGGGUAAUCAGCUAGUGAGGGGGCGGUGAGAACCACCAGGCCAAGCAACACUACUAGCAAGUAUGUAGGAGACAUCUUUGGGUUUGGGCUCAGAUGGUGCAAAACUAGGAGAAUUGGCUAGCCUUUUAUAGCGGAUCGUACCCAAUAAUGAAAUGACACGUGUCAUUAUGACCCAUGUGUCAUGUGGUCGAUUUGGGUCCUACAGUGUUGAAAACUUCGACAUCCACUUUUUUGGCCUUUUGCUUUCUCUACAGUCGCCUUGCUUUUUCCCUCUUUUCUUUUGUUUUCCUCCUGCCCCAUUCUAUCAACUAAUCACAAUUAUGUAGUUGUUUAAUUCUUAAAUGAGAUAUUAUCCGUCAAUCAUAUUAUCUUUUAUCAAGAGAGAACGGAGUGAAAAGUGGCAAUCCAAAGAAAGAAGAUCCAUAAUGCAGCUGUAAUUUUAUCGUUUACUUUUAUCUCUAGGACCACUGCAUUUUUGUUGAGAGGUGCAAUAAUACACGUCUUUAUCUGCCAUUCAAUGUUUACAGUAAAGAGAGGGCACAAAACUCUUCACUGCUCUGCAUGUGCCCCAAAAAUGCAAUUGGACAAAUUAUGAUUUGCAUGCUAAAAAGAGGCAAAUGAGGUUAAUUAGCACCAAAAUUAUUUUGUUUUCUGGACACCCCGGGGCCCUUUGGUUGGUUUGGGGGUCAGAAAAUGAACAUCAUAGGGGGUUUUUCCCUAAUGUGCAUUUGCAUUUGUAUCUGAUGGCUUUAACUCGCCUUGUUACUACAAAGAAAUUGUCACAGAUAGGAACUUAUUCCAGGCUGAGUAUCUCCGCAUGGACCCUAUAAAAGAAGACAAGUCAUAAUGAACAUCUAACCUUUGUUCAAUUUGAUUCAAUGCCCCUAUUGUGUCCAUCUCACAAAUCUGAAUUAUUAUAUCCAUUGAAUACAUAAAUUAAUGAAGAAAAUAUGAAACCCAAGAUACAUCUCUGCACAACCUCAACCCUGGUUGCUAUGUUUCACUUCUAUUCACAUGAGGAUAUUGAUUACGGAAUAAGGAAACCUAGCAAGGGUUUACUCGGCUCUGGUUUGAUGCUAAUUGCCAAACUUGCAACAAGCCCUGAGUUUGACACCUAAUCGAUGGGCGAAUUAAAAGUCUCCUCCAAACAUAUAUUCCACAGCUUGAAGCUCACAGAAGAUGCUAUACAGGCAGGGAAAAACCUUCAGAGUUAGCUACCAAAGAUAAUUAUCAAGGAGAUAUCACCAAGAGAAUUCCAUGGAGUCUGAAUCAAAGACAAAUUGCUCGCUCGUGGGGGUUCUUACUUAAUUUCUUUUGGGUAUAACUCACUGAGGGCACUGGCUUUGUUAUUUGCAUUUCGCAUUUAGAGUUCUGUUCUGGAAGGUUUGUUCUGGAAACAUAUAAAAGGAGCAUCAUUUUGUUCUAGGGUAACCCAUAGUUGUGAGUGGGUCCAUUUGCAUGCUACUUAGUUGAAAAGUUGGACAAUUUGCUCCGACGCCUACCUCCUGGAUUCCAUGCUCGGAUAAAGCAAGAAUAAUAAAAUAUUUAUAAUUUACAAAUGGGGGAAAGAAAAAAAUGUCAACAACAAACUAGGAAAAAAGAGUAGUAAAAUUUAUGCCACAUGCUAUUGAUAGAAGGGGCAUGUAUUAGAUCCAUCACCAUUUGGUAAGAUUUUAGUAUUAUAUUUUUCAAGGUUCAUUAUUUGAGGGUGUGUUCUUCAUCUCUGUUGCAUUGCUUCUUACUAGGCCCACUGAGGUGGGUUCUUCACCUUUUGUAUAUUCUCUGCACUAGAUCAAUGAGAAAGGGGGAAUUUUGGUGAAUUUGCAGCCGUUGGAUGAUUGAUUCUAGGCUCAGUCCACCAAUGAUGCUCUCUUCACUCUUUCUCAUCUAGUGUCAUUCACAACUAUGUUUUGAUUCAUAUUUGUACUAUCAAAGAUAUCUCAUUAUUCUAGCUCAUUAGGUAGAGUUCCUAAUCUUCCUCCUUUUUGGUCUAUGGACAGUAUUGGCUUCAUAUUAAGAUCAUGUUUCAAUAAUUGCACAUUAAUGAAUGGAUCAUGACCCACAUAAACAGAGUCAGGGUUGAGUCAGUGAACCCUAAAAUUUCACAAUUCUAAAUUUGGGUUCUUUAACAAUGCAGGGUCAAGGACGCGUGGUGAUGAAGGAAAGCUGGUAAGCUCAGUGUUACUUCAAUUCCUGCCAUGUAGGAUGGUGAGGAGAUAUUCACUAUGCAAUUAAUAAUAGACAAUAUUCACUAUGCAAUAAUAAAGCAUAAAUUAAGUUGAAUGAAAAGCAUUUUCUUUGCAAGGAGUUGAUUUUGGUUUCAUAGUUUGUUCAACUGCUAUUUUGGAUAGGAAAGUGUGAGGAGAAGAAAAUAAAAAAUAAAAAUAAAACAAAAAAUAAAAAAUAGAUUUUAUAAAUUCAUUUAAUUUAUUUUUUUUUUAUAAAAAUUAACUAAUUUAAAAUAUAUGUAAAUUUCUAAUUAAUUUAAUUACAUUUUUUUUUUCAGUUUUUCAUAAUAAACCAAAUAUUAGAAAAUUAUUUUUAUUAAGACACCCAAGAUGAGGUAAUAUGCAAUGAAAACAUGAAUUAUAUUAAAAUUCAAAACAAAUUAAGAGAAAUCGGAAAAUAUACAUAGAUAUCUAAACAAAGAAAUUUAAAGAGAAGGAACCACAAACUUUAUUUACAUAAUUUGAAAAUAAAAAACAUAAAACAUACUUAUAGUAAGGAGAAAUUGAAUAUCUUACAAUGGAAGAAGGGAGAAAAGCUUUGAAGAAAGCUUUUGCUUGGAAGCUUACAUGGUGAGAGGUAGAGAAAGGAGAGAGAGAGAAGAAAAUGAAAAAUGAGAAGUGGAGAAAAUUGGAAGUUUUGUGUGCUUACAACUGAGGAUAGAGCCUCCUUAAAUAGCAAAAAAUGGAAUAUUAAAUAGUACCAAUCAGGAGACAAAAUAUUGUUUGCUUUUGAAACCCGUGCAUGAAUAGUAAUCCCGUGAGUGAAUAGUGAAUAAUAAAAGUGAAUAGUAAAAGUCACUUUCUACUAUAGCACUUUAGACUUUUUCAUCGAGAAUCUUACUUUCGGCUGAGUGAUGAUAGCUGAUAGGUUGCUUUGGAUUGUGGAGUCAUAUGUUUGAUGUUUUCGGUGCUGAAACCGCUUAGUUGGAGAAUAAUCUCGUCAGUAGAGCAUCAUGAGAAGCUUGAAUGGAGAGAGCUUAAUGAUGCCAUAUGAUUGGAAGGAAUCCUAUUUUAAUUUCCUUAUUGGAGGGAGAAUACCCUCACAAUCAUCUUCAUUAUCUUGAAGGUAGUUUGAUAUAGAGUCAUCUGACUCAGCAUAAGAGUCCUCUUGGGAGAAGCUUGAACUGCUUUUGUCAAGGAUUUUCUGAAAUUCUUGAGGGGUUUUUGCUAUUGCUAACAUGGUUUGGAGUUGCUGUUUCUUAAGAAGAAACUGUGCAAUAUCAUAAGAUGAUGAAGCUUGUGUAGGAUGCUUUAGGAAAUAUUGCUUUAUUGCUUGUAGUGAGGUAUCAUUUUUCAAGGCAUCCCACCACUUAGACUUGAAAGUCCUUCCAAGGGUUGGAAAGGCUGCUGAUUCAUCUGCUAUAAUGAUAUAAUCCCACUGGACUAUCCAGGCAAGGCCAAAUUCACUAAAAAAGAAUAAUAAUUGGGGAAAACUGAAAGUUCUCUAGGGAUAACAAAAGAACUUUGGAAUAGCUCAAAGCCAUCCAAAAUGGGUUUUGGGAGAAUUUUAAUAGUUGGACCAAAAUAUGUCCACCAAUUGUGGAACCAAAAUGGAAAAGAGGGGAGUUGAUGCUUAGAUGGGAAAUAGAACAUCCCUGAAUGAUGGAAGUCCUUGUUCUGGAUCAGAAAAGCAUUGAACCAUACUCUUUGGUAGUCUCAAUAAUUGAAAAUUUUAGGUUUUGAAGGCUUAGAAAAUUCUCUUGAAAAAUUAGGAUUCCCACCCCACUGCUUAACUGUAAGGAUUUUAUAAAUAUGGUAAGUGGAGAAUGCCAAAUCCAAAUUGCUGAAUUUAUCAGCAUUGUGCUUGAUUUUAACAGAGCCGGUUUCCAUAAGGAUUGCUUCAUAAAAUUCUCUUGUUUUUAAAAGAUCACCAAAGGGAUAAUGAAAAUUUUCAUGAAAAGCUUUUGCUGCAAUAUCUCUAGGGUUUUUAGAGAAAAACUCUUUUUCAAUAACCAAAAGAGGUUGAUUUAAAUCUUUUUGCCAAUAUCUUGCUUUUGCUGAAAGAGGUGUGGGGUUGGCUACCACCACAAUUUGCUUAUUUGAAAAAGAAGAGCUUGAUGCUAAUUCAUUUUGAGAGGGAUUAGCUUUAGUAACCUGCUUAAAGGUCUGAGACACAGUAAUAGUUGGAUACUGAGUAGCCUUGACUGGUUUAGAAGGAUUCGAAGGAUCAUAGUACAAGGACAAAAUCUUAUUAGGCAUAUGGUCAGAAGAAUGAAGCCUUGCUUCUUCUUCUAGCUCAACUUGUUGGCUCCAAAGUAUUUUAUGGGGAGAAGGUUCUUUGCUGGUUUUAGAAGACUAGGAUUCUGGAAGUUUAGGAGCUUGGGUAUUCUUUUUAGGGGCCAUGGUUUCGUGAAUCCUGUAAAAUUCACAAGUUAAGAAAUCAGGGCUCGAAGAAUGUUCUCCUUUAAUAUACUCAAUUUGUAAAUUAAAAUUGCUUAAAAUAGCUUGAUAUAUAGCAAAAAUAUGCUUAGAAGUUAUAUUCUUAACAUCCUUUUGUAAAACUAAUUUUGCAAAUUUACAAUCAACUCUUAAUAAAAACUUUUGAUUCAAAAGAUCAUCUUGAAAUUUUGAAAUGCAUAAAACAACGCUUAAAGUCUCUUUUUUAAUGAUGUUAUGAAUGAGUUGGGUAGUAUUCCAGGUUCUUGAAGUAUACCUAACUAACAUCUCAAGGUUACCAACACUUUGCUUAAGAAUCCCACCAUAACCUAUGUCUGAGGUAUCGAUCCCAACAAACUCAAAGGUUUCUGGAUUGAUAGAGCCUAAACAUGGUAGGGUCUUGACUUUGGACUUAACAUCAAUAAUGAAAACAAUGGUGAAAACAGAAAACUGGUUAAAGUUUUCAUCCAUUAUAUUCUGGAAUUCUGAGGUGCAUUCUUAAGAUCAAAGGGCAUUAUGAACCAUUCAUAAUGUCCAAGAGAUACCACAAAGGUGGUCUUAUUUGGAAUAGGACACCUAAUCCAACUUAAUGUAUCAUUAAGAGGCAUGUAGUUGACGACUAGUCUAGGUGUUCCUUUUUCUGAUUCAACUUGUUCCUGAACAUAGAAGGUUGAACAACUCCAAAGGGACUUAGACUUCCUUAUCAACUUUUUAUCAAGAAGAUCCCAAAUCUCCUUAUCACAAUAGCUUAACAAACCCUUGUUCAUCUGGAUAGGUCUUGAUUUAGUGGGAAUAUUCUUGUCACUAAAGUCUAGUUCAUAAGGUAAUUCUACCUCAUGUUGUUUCCUAUGCCAAAAUGCAUUAGGAAUGUUAGAGCAAACUUCUUCAACAAUCAGAUUAAUUUCUUGCUCAUGACUUUCCUUAGCUUGAAUCACCUGAUCCCUUAAGGUGUUUAUAUUUUUCUUAUUAGGUGGUUGGCAAAUUCAAAAAUAAUUUCCUUAUCUAAGAGCUUUGUUCUUAUACUUUGGUCAUCUACCCACAUGGGAUAGAUGGAGCUUAAAAAGGGGAUUCCAAGGAGAGCUUUCUCCUUAAGAUCCUUAACUAGAAUGAAGGUUUGCUUGAUGCAAAUGCCUUGGUUAUUUAUGUGAGCAUCUGACAGCUUAUACUCAAUGUCAAGCCUUUUACCAUUAGCUCCAAAGAGAGAUUCUUUGGUUUUCUUACAAAACUUAAUAGGACCUAGACCUUCUUGUAGGCAAUUCAAAGCUGUUCCUGAAUCAAUCAAAGCAACAAUAUCAAUGACAAAUUUACUCUUAAUUACUAUAGUAAGGGAGACUUUCCACCUCUGGAAAAUAACCCUACUAACAGUAUUUAAGUAUCCAUCCGUCUUUUCAUCAUUAGCAUGUGAAGAUUCUAGAACCUCUUCAAGGUUUUCCUAGUUAUCAACAAGAUUUUCUAUAACAAUCCUAUUUAUUUGUUCUUGGAGAUCUGAAAAACCUAAGCUUGUGUAUUGUCUUAAAUCUUUAAUUUCCUUCUUAUACUGUCUUACUUCUUCUUGAAGAUCCUUAAUGGUUACGUCUUUGGUAGACUACUGGUUAAAUCUUCCUAAGAUUUCAUUUAAGUUAUAAGAAUUUACUGUCUUCUUAAUCUCUUGCUUAUCGACAAAUUUCUUAAAAACUUCAUAAAGAUCUUGUUUAGUUUUUUCAUCUUCAACUUUCCUUAAAACAUCUAGGACAAGUUCUUGAUCUUGGCUUAUGACAUUUAUAGUCUUAGGUUGGCAAUCACAAUUAUCCUUAAUGUAUUCUUCUUGGUCACUAGAAGUUUGGCUUGAGAUUUCCUCACCACUACUAUCUAGUUGGUUAAUACCAUUUUCAUUAUCUGAAUCAAUCCUUGAUUCAGACUCUGUGGAAUUUAACAUUACUUUACAAAGCAUAUCUUUUAAGUCUUCUGUGACAUUUAAGUUAUUAAUUUUCUGCUUAACCCUACAAUCUUUCUUAUAGUGGCCUAUCUUACCACACUUAAAACAAACUGGCUUAGAUUGUGAAGGAGCUUCUAGCUUUUUAUGGGCUUCUUUGUUCAUCAUUCUUUGGAUGUGCCUUUGUUUCUUAGUUUCAUUCAUCCUAUAGUUGCCAUGAGUUCCUCUCUUGUUGUGAUAGGACUUUUCCUUACUAGGCUUUGUACUUACUUGUUUCUUACGUUGCUUAGAGGGGGGCUUAGUUUCUUUUUGGUUGAAUCCAAACUAGCUACAAAAUGAACCAAACUCAUUCUUGUAGAUCCUUUGUUCAUUUUUCAUCUGUUGCUUAAGCUUAAAGUCAUUGCACAGUUUAAUUGCUUCUGAUGUGACAAUGCUUAUAAUUUCUCCAUAAGAAAGCUUAUCAUAAGGGAUUUGUCCAUUAAACUGUUCCCUUAUCUUAAUCCUAAUCCUCUCAGAGAAAAGUCUAGGUAGUCCUAAGAUGAAUUUUUCUUUCCAAAAAGACUGGUUAUAGUUUGAUCUUAGUAUGACUUUGGUUAGGAAAACUUCUCUAUACCAUCUAAAGUCAUGAAGCUUGGGACACUUAAGGUUGGUUAAGAGAUCUACAAUCUUAUCCUUAAUCUUUGCAGGAUCUCCAAUGAAGUGCUUUGAAAUUGAAUAGAUUAGAGUAGCCACUACAUCCUCUAUAUCUUGUCCAUCUUCAUCCUUAACCACUUCAUUUUCCUCAUUAAUCCUAUAGGCUUUUAGGAUACCAUUUCUAUCCUCAAAGGUGAGAUAAUUAUCCCACCAACCCUAAAGUUGACCUGUAAACCCAACAACAAUUGUUUGAGCUACAGCAUGGCCUGACAAUCUAUUGUUUAACUUAUAGGUUGUACUAACCAUGGUCAUUUCUUGAAGCUUAGUGAGUAUGUUGUACUCAAUCAUACCAUCUAUGUUCCAUUCAUAGAUAGUGUCACUAGUGUAGGAAGCUUGAGUAUGCUGGUUUCUUUCCUCAUACUACAUAUCAGGAAAAGUUGGUCUAGGGUAGUAAUUCCUAGUUCUUGGUUGUUGAUAAUCCUCAUAACUGUUUGGUUAGGAGGUUCCUUAAAAAUCUUAAUUAGUUCAUCAGCCUCUGCUUCAGAACUAAUUUCUCCUUUAACCAUAUUGAUUCUCUUGUGAGAUGGUUGAGGUGUCUCAGAGACAACAAGGCUAUCCUUAACCUUUUGGCUUAUCCUAUCAAUGAGGGCUUGAUCAAUAUGGAGAUUCUCUAGGAAUUUCUUAGAGAAUUCAAAAGGCUUAAAUAAAGACUUAUUAUCUUUCUUAACAAACGUAGUCUUAAUGUAGUCUUGUGUUUCAAUGAUAUCCUCAAACUUGUUGAGUUGAUCGCCUGUAGUCUUAAGAAACAUGUUAGUGUAGUUGUUUUGUUCCAUGAUUCUUCUAACGUCAACAACACUAUCAAUUCCUUUAUUCUUUGGCCUAGUCUUAAAAGGUGAAGCUUUGACUAUGGUUCAAUUAAUGUUCUUUUAUAUCUUAGCUUCUAGAGGGUGGAUGGAUUCUAUGAUAGUAUCGUCACUAGUUUUCCAUAUCUUAGUUUUUUUGGAUGUGUCAUUGACACGCUUACUAGGGUAAUCUAGAUAUUCCUCUUGUUUGAAGAGUUCAAACCAGAUCCAAUACUUAAUGUUCUUCUUUUCUUGUCUUAAGUAUGUGUAGAAUUCUUCUUGGUAGAGGGUUCUAAUGUCUUUAAGGACCUUGCUAAAGAACCAAACUCUCCUUUUCUUAUUGACUUCAGAAUAGAAGUCUUUCCUUAAGAGGUCCUUGUUGAUUCAAAGUCUUCGUUAAUUAGGCUUACAGUGUUAAUCAACUGAGAAUAAGUAGGAGACAUAUCAGGAGAUUCGUCCUGAUGUGAUUCUUGAGUAAACUCAUUUUCCUCCAUGUAAAAGGGUUUGGCCACGUUGGUGUGACUUCUAACACCUGUUAGCUUAAUAUUCUUAGGAUUUGCUGAACUAGAUCCUUCCUCUAUCCUAGUGGUUCUUAUUGGGAUAGAUGAACUUGAAGCUCUAGAGGGCUCAUAAUAUGAAAUUCUAAGGCUGCUAGAAUGAUGAAAAGAGUUGGAGAAAAUUAGAUCUCGUUCUCCAUCAGGAUAUUGAACAAUCUGUUCAAUUCUUUCAGAUCUUUGCUCUAUGGCUGGGACAACAUUAGCAAAAUGCCAAUUUUCUGGAAACUCAACCUCAUUCCACUUGAUUUUCAUGGGGACUAUGAAAUUAGACUUGUUUAUCAUAUCUAAGUGGAAGAUAGUGGUUUCACCCUUGGGACUGGUGCACAAUGCUCCAAAUCCAACGCUUAUGGUCAUGCUCUUAUAGGCAAAUCUGGUGAUGAUGGAAACAUGAUUGUUUCCUUGCUUGAACUUAAAGUCAUGGGUCUUAACAUGAAGGACAACUGAAUCUAAGAUGUUGACAUCUCUUAGUCUAACUGUGAAGUUAGGGAAACACUGGAAAUAAACAGGACCAUCAUUUAAUCCUGCUUGGGUAGCUCCAAUAAUAGAAUCUCGGUAAUCAAGAUGUCUAUUAUCUCUUAAACACAUGACAAUAAAGGUGUUUAGACCUAGUCUUGUCAAGGGCUUAGCUGCAACUUGAAUCAUGCCAAAGUGUAUGAAGUUGUAGUCUCGCUUAUGCUUAUCAAUGGACUUACUAUCCAAGAGUCUUAUGACUUGAUCGUCGUGUUCUAAACUUACUGACAUUUCAGGGGUUUUAAUGGUGUAAUCUGUAAAGAACUUAAAGGUUCCUUUCUUAUAAAUUUCUUGAUUAGGUACCUUGGGUAACUUCCAAUCAUCUAAAUCAUCUUGGAUCUUAGGAUAAUUGAUCUCUUCAUUGUUUACUCUUGAGAAUUUGUGGAUUUCCUAGACAUGGUUCUGAAAAUCAAACUCAUUUUAAGGUUUUAAUCUAGAGCCUAAUAGCAGAUUAACAGACCUAGUGAGUAAUCACCCCAACCCUUUUCCAACCUUAACAAACGCCUAUCUCCAGCUAACAAUGGGCUCAACUCGGCAAGGAUCGCACUCAGGCACACUACUAUCUUUCCUAGGAUAGAUCAAAACACCCAAAACAAACCCGACUUCCUUUUCCUAGGAUAUAUAUAGUAUUUUGGGUUUGAGUAGGAGUUCAUGUUUUGUAUGUAAUUGUAGUCUACGUUGGACUAGGUUGUUUGCUCCUAAUUGAAAUAGGAAUGGUUGGUGUCACAUCUCAUUCAUUUUCUCAUCUAUUUCCAUGUUUAGAUAACUCAAGUAAUCAUAGGAAUGAAAUUAAGAAUGAUUUGAGGGAAAUGAAAUCUCACUUGUAAGUGGGAUCUCAAUUCAUCAUUAAUAGAAGGUAUUUUGAUUACAUAGUGCAAGUUAUUUUUAAAAACACUUUUCAAAAAUUGAAAAACCAAAAACUCUCUUGGAUAAGUUGUUUUUAAAAAGAAUUUUUGUAUUUUUAUUUUGUAAAAAAAAAAAAUAGUAAUUCAAUUUAUAUAAUAUAAAUAGACUUUAAUUUUAUUAAAAAUAAAAAUAAUUUUUUAAUUACAAAUAAAUUAAAAAAUAAAUAUUUGUAAUAAAAUAUGAAUAGUAAUAUUAUAAUAAAAUCAUAAAUAAAUUAAAAAUAUUUUUAAAAACAAAUAAGUUUAAUUUUUUUGAGGUACAAAUGAGCCAAAUUUUUCAUUAGGUACACAACCAACAAUUUUUAUUGGAAACAUUCCUCAAAAAAGAAUUCGUUUCCCAUAUAGCAAAGAUAUUUAUUAUUUAGUAUCUAACCAUCCGUAGUAAUCAUAUCAAUUCUACUAAGUUAUUUAAUAAUUCAUUUAUAUAUAGUACUCAAUUAUGAAUUUUUUUAUUUGAUGUAUAAUUAAUUAAUCAAUGUUUUGAAUUUUGAAUUAUUCUUAAAAUUUAAAACAUUAAUUAUGUCUAUUACUUUUUAUAGUCAUUAUAUAUAUAUAUAUAUAUAUAUAUAGAGAGAGAGAGAGAGAGAGAGAGAGAGAGCUUAAAUUUAUCUUUAAAAAUUAUUAAAUUUAUUAAUAAAUUCAAUACAAAGACUCAUUUGAUUUGAAAUUCAUUUCUUUAGUGAAAAUUUUGAAACUAAAUAGUACUUUGUUUUACUUUGUUUUUAAAUCAUACUCACAAAUAAGUUUUUAUCAUUUAGCCAAAAAAUCUCAAAGAUGUUUCUAAUUUUAUUUAUUUAUUUAUUUGUAAAUGAAAAUAAAAAAUUAGUUUAAACUAAAUAUGCGGAUAUUAUUGUUAAUUUAUUUCAUUUUUUAUUUCCAUUGUUAUUUAACAUUGAAACGGAAACAAAUAAUCAUUCCAAUCUUACAUUCUUAUAUGCAUCUAAACACAAGAAUUGAAAUCACCAAAUUCAUAUUCAAGGCAAAAUAGAAAUGGAAAAAAAAUAUUCAUUUUCAUUCCUCAUUCUCAUGUGCUAAACAUGACAUUAGUUCUACUACCUAUUUCACCAUUCUUCUUGAUAAAUUUGGUAUAUGCAAUAUUGAUCUAAGUGUGAGGUGAAUAAGAAUGAUGAUGGGAUGGGCUUGGAAAUAAGGGCAAAGUUUCUAGGUGCUAUCUAGAGGGGCAACGCGACUUUUUCAAAUUUCGAAUAUUUGUUCUCAACAUAAAGCAAAACUUUACUCACACAAUAGAUAAGACUCUGUUUGUUUUCUUCAUCCACGACUAUAUAAUGUAUAGCUCUUACUCAAGGGAUGAGCUACUUACUAUUAAGGAUUGGGUAAGAUAUUGCCUAAUGGCCAAGAAGGCAUGUCAAAAAAUAAAUCUAAUCACCAUAAAAAAUAAUAGGGGAAAAUUAAUAUAUUAUGAAUGAUGACUUUACUAUUUCUCUAUAUACAUAAUUAUAUAUUUUGAAUUUUCUCACUAGGUAAUGAGAUUCUAAAUCAACUGAAACAUAAUUAAUAAUUUAUAUUUUUAAUGAAUCUUUUAAUUUUUAAAAAUAAUUUAAAAUUUUAAAAAACAAUUCAAUUAAUUACAUAUUAAAUCAAAACAUUUCAAAAUAUUGUGUUUGUAGAUGAGUACUAAAUGCUUGCAUAUAAUAAUAAUAAUAAAAAAAUUGACUCAUUUAGAUGUUAAAAAAGUUAAAUGUUUUUCAUUAUUCAUUUUAAGUAAAAUAUUAUUGACAUUAUUAUUAUAAAAUUAUUAUUAUUCAUUUUUAACAAAAAACAAAAUAAGUUAUUCUUUUACCAAGAUGUCAAUAUCUAUAUUUUUCUAACAUAUAUUAAAAUAGUAUACUUUUCUUUUAUUAAAAAUAAUAAUUAUUAUUAUAUUAUUAUUCAAGUUUUAUUAAAAAAAUUUAUCUUUUAAUUCAUUUGUAAUUACAAAAUAAUUUUAUUUUAUUAAGAAUUUAAUUUAAUUACGCUUUUUUUUUUUAUAAAAAAAACAGUUAUGCUUUUACCAAGAUGUUAAUAUUCAUAUUUUUCUAGCUAACAUAAAUAGAAUAGUACACUUUUUCAUAUAAAAAAAUAAUUUAUGAUUUUAUUAUAAUGUUACUAUUCACAUUUUACUAAAAAUAUUUAUUUAUUUUAUUUAUUUUUAAUUAUAAAAUAAUUUUAUUUUCAAGAAUUUAAUUUUAAAAAAAUAGAAAUCAUUUAUUCUUUUACCAAGAUGUUAAUAAACAUAUUUUUCUAACAUAUACUAAAAUAAAAAAGUUUACUUGUUCAUUAAAAAAUAUAAUUUAUGUUUUUAUUAUAAUACUACUAUCUAUGUUCUACUAAAAAUAUUUAUUUAUAAUUAAAAAAUAAUUUCAUUUUUAAUAAGACUUGAACUAAAUUAAAUUUAUAAUUUUUUUUUAAAAUAAAAUAGAAAAUUAUUUUUUAAAAACAACUUAUUGAAAGAAAUUUUUUAUUCUUUACUUUUAAGAACUGUUUUUAAAAGCAACCUAUAAACCCCUUUGGGUCUGUUUGGCUAUGUUUCAUGCAACUUGUUUUUAAAAAUUGUUUUUUAUUCUUUAAUUUAAUUUUUUUUAAGUUAAAGAAUAAAAAACAACUUUCUAGUGUUUUAUAAAAAUGAGAGCUUUUGACAAGUUGUUUUUAAAAACCAUUUUUAAAAAUAAAAAAUAAAAAACUUAUUUAGAUAAAUUGUUAUAUAUAUAUAUAUAUAUAUAUUUGUAAAAACAUUUUAAAUUCAAUUUAUAUAAUAUAAAUUUAAUUUAAUUUAAGUCUUAUUAAAAAAAAAUUGUUUGGAUAAGUUUUUUUUUUUAAAUAGUUUAUUAUUUUUGUUUUGUAAAAACAUUGCAAAUUCAAUUUAUAUAAUAUAAAUUAAUUUAAUUCAAGUCUUAUUAAAACCAAAAUAAUUUUAUAAUUACAAAUAAAUUUAAAAAUAAUUUUUUUAGUAAAACAUGAAUAAUAAAAUUAUAAAUUAUAUUAUUGUGGACCCUGCAUUUAUGCUCAUGCGCUUCCACUUGUUGGCGAACUCAUUUUUUAUUUGAAAAUGAUUUAUUUUUUUAGAAAAUGACUUAGAGUCGCCACUUAUUUUUGUUUUAUUUUUAAAGGGCAAGCAAAAUAAGAAAGAAAACCCUAAGUGUGACUCCUUAUUCGAAAAAGGUAGUCUGUGUAAAACCGGAUCAGGGUUCAGGGAUCAGGUUACUUAUUGGGAAGGUAUGACAAUGACCGUAGCACUCCUCUAAGUCCUUAAAAACGGGCCUCUACUAAAAAAAAUAAAGUAAUCAUGGCAAUCAGUAAGGAAAUCACUGGAUACCCAGAACAAUUAUGCACAUGUGAGAAUUAAAACAUGCAUAAGAAUGGACAAAGUGAGAGUGGGUGCGUACCUUGACAACGAACCACAAUGCGUUAUCAAGAAAUGGGGUUAGUGCACGAUCAAUGAACAUAAAACACGUCACACAUGUCACUAAGCAGAGUGAGAAAUCAUCAGAUAUUACAAUUCAAUCAAAUUUAUUUUUAGAAGAAACAUCUGUUGAUGUAGAGCCCCUACCAAAGCCUAAUUUAUUUUUGCAUGAAUCAAUUUCAUAAAUUCAAUCGCUUGGAAUUACAGAAUUAAAUUCAUGCUUAUUUUAAAACAUCUUUUUAAAAUCAUGGAAGAUGUGAAAAUGGUUUUCCAAAGAGAAAAUGACAACUGAUUUUAUUGAAAAUGGGAUUUUGGGGACCUAAACGUUAAAGAGGGAUUAGGAAUUGAAAAUUAAAUCAUUUGAAAAUUGAAUUUUUCAAAAAUCAGUUUUGAAAGCAUGCAUGCAAGUAUGGACUGUGAAAGUGGGCCUAGGGAGGGUGGCCAUGCAAAAUGAGGUCAUACACGUGGGCCUUGGGUACAAUUGGGACUACUUUGCUGGUGCCAGUGGUGCUUGCAGCUGUCAUCCAUGAUUUCUUCAUUGGGAUCAAUUUCCAUUCUUACUGCCAAACAUUCCAUAACAAUUGACCAAACUAGUAACCCUGACCUUGCAUGAAAAUGAACGUUACCUAGAAACUCACUGCCAGUGAGAUUCAUUGCUCUUUCAAAAGGUCUCAUUUUCUUUCUCAUCCAAUUGCUUUAAGGAGCAUUCUAGCGUCACGAUUGGUGACUGCGCAUCAUCUAGAGCCUUCUUUCUUCUCAGAAUCAGGUUUGCGUGCAGAGGCCUGUGCUUGUUCAAGGUUGACCUAAAUUCAUCUAGGUUUAGAACCGACCAGUUGAGCUUGGGGAGCAACGACAAGAAUAUCAGUCACUUGCGAAGAGAAAACUCGAGAUCUUUCAAGUAAUGCCUGACAUAGAUUCCUCCAACCUGUGGCCAAUAUCUCAUUCCUUGUUGGCCAGACGCCUAUUAGGGCGUAUCUCAAUCAAUAAUAUGAUUUUUCGUUUGUUCACAAUAAAGACCGGAAGCCAUGGUUGUGAUUUAUGCAGUACAGAAGAAGUUGCCAUGGCUGGUAUCCUUACAAAUUCUGGUGUUUCUGCUAUCUGUUCAAGUGCAAAACACAACAGCUUUAUCAAGUUUGUCCCUAACAACUGAUAUUGAGCCCUCUGGAGGAAACCUUGAUAAAUUCAUAAUCACUUUUGACUCAUGCAUGGGCUGCCCAUCAAAUUUUCCUAGCAACGAGACGACUGCUGUCAUCUACUGCAAAGAGAAUUUCUUCUCGCAAAGACAAGAGGAGUUUAAGAAUACACACUAUUCUGCCAUUUCAUUUCCUCUUUCUCCACAACCAACAUAAACCAUAGUGUCUACAUUAGAGUACUUAGAAAGAGCUUAACUGAUGACCGUUUUUCCACAACCAAAUGCCCCAGGUAUGGCACAAAUUUCACCGAAAACAGAAGGGAAAAGGGCAUCAAGAACACGCUGUCCUGUAAGUAGUGGGGUAUCAGGACUACUCUAGGGAAGUUAUUUCUGUCAUUUUGAAAAAGAAAAAUUAAAGAAUGUACACAUGCUUUCAAGUGGACUGGAGCAUUCUACAUAUCAGGUGGUCUGUAGCCACAUGUGCCACUUUGUGGAAGUUGGAACAGUCGAUCACUAGGCUAUUUAGUGUGGCCAAGCCACGUUAAUCAAGGACAAGUCUUCAUACUUAAAAGUCAAAUGGUGCCUUUAGUCUCAUUACACAUGGCUAUUUAAAGAUGAACUAAUCUUUAGUGUAAUGUGAUUAAGACAGUACUAACUGAUCAAUAUUUUUUCUAAUUUUGGAUGCAAAUGCUUGCUGGCUUCAUCAUUGGAUGGGAUAAAGGUGCAUUCAUGACUCUGAAUACUUGCAGUAAUACUUGCAGUAAUACUUCAUUCUCUUUUUUCUCGAUGAGACUUCUUGGCACAAUUUUGCUUCUCAGCAACCUACCUCUCCAUGGAAAAUGAGUUGCGAUUGAUGGUACUGGAUAUUUUCUAGGAAGCUAAAUAUAGAUAUAUAGCACUCAAUGUCAACGAUAUAUAUAGCAUUAACAGUAUAUGUCUCAAUGCUCAUCAGCUACAAGCAAGGGACAAACACUUACAAUGAAUAACUCACGUCAACAUUCCUAAACAGGACAUAGAAGUGACAGAUCUAUAUAUAGAACACUGCAUAUGAGUCACAAGAAAAGAUAAUACGGGUGCAUAGCAGCUCUUAUAUUACAUAUUACUCAUACCGUUCAAAUUCACUCAGUUGGGAUGGGUGGGAGAAGGAGGCCUCUGGGGUGGCUUGUGCGUGUGAGAAGUGGAAGAAAGUUGAAUGGAAUGAAACUGAAAAACAGGGUAGAAUAGAGGUUUCUUGAAUCUUCUGAAAUCUUUAUUUUUCUGAGAUUUAUUCUCUGUUUUUGUGAGUCGUGACUCUACAUAUAUACAUGUAUUUAAAGUUAGUUAUGCCUUAUAACUAAUUAUCUAACAGUACCAAAACUAAUCAUCUAGUUGCAUGUUUCUAAUUAAUGCUAUUUAGUUACAACUAUAUAUGGCUUAACAUCCUCUCUCAAACUCAAAAGUCUAGCUAGAACAGUGAGUUUGCUUCAUAGAUUGAGAAAUUGUUGAAUAGGUAAGGCUUUGGUAAGAGCAUUAGCAAUCUGGUCAUAAGAAGGAAUGUGUUGAACCACCAAAGUCUUAUUGAGCACCUUUUCCUGAACAAAAUGGCAAUCUAGUUCCACAUGCUUAACUCGAGAAUGAAAAUAGGAUUGGCAGCAAGAAAGGUGGCUGAAAGAUUGUCAUAGAACAAAACAAAAUAGGAGAAUAAGAAGAUGAGAUAGAAAACUCCUGAAGAAGAUGUUGAAUCCAUUGAAGUUCAAAAGCAACAUUUGCUAAGGCCCUAUACUCAGCUUCAUUGCUGGAACGAGACACAACUUUCUGCUUACUGGAGUUCCAGGAGACUAGAUUAGAGCUAAAAAAGAUGCAAUGACCACUUGUACUUCGACGAUCAUCAGGGCAACCAACCCAAUCAACAUCAGCAUAAGCAGUAAGUUGAAAAUCAGGAGAAGAAUAAAAGGAAAGACCAAAGGAAGUAGUGCCCUUAAGAUAAUGCAACAAUCGUUUAACAACUUGCCAAUGAAGAUCAGUUGGUUAUUGCAUGAAUUGGCAAAGUUUAUUGAUAGAGAAAGAGAUGUCAGGCCUUGUAAUGGUACAAUAUUGCAGGGCUUCAACAAUGUUGCGAUAUUGAGAAGGGUCAGCCAAGAGGGAACCUUUAGAGGCAGAUAAAGUGUGAGAGGUAGUCAUUGGUGUAUCAAUAGGUUUAAAAUAUGGAAGACCAGCACGAGUUAACAAGUCCUGAAUAUAUUUGGUUUGGGAAAGAUGAAGAGAAGAUCCUUGCCAACAUACUUCUACACCCAAGAAGUAAUUCAGAAUACCAAGGUCCUUGAGAGCAAACUGAAAGUGUAAAGACGAAACCAUUUGGUGGACUAGCACGGUAUUAAGACCACUAACAAUAAUGUCAUCAACAUAGAUGAGAAUAAUGAUCAUGUCAGUCCCUUUCCGAAGAGGAGCUUGCUUCAGACCCUACAAGGCUUUGCGAAGUUUACAGAAAAAACCGGGUUUAGAAUGAUCAACAAAGCCUGGAGGUUGAACCAUGUAAACCUCUUCUUCUAACUCACCAUUGAGAAAGGCAUUAUUAACAUCUAAUUGUUCCACUAACCAACCAUGAGAAAUAGCAAGAGAAAGAACAAUUCAUAUAGUAGUUGGUUUAACAACAAGGCAAAAGGUUUCAAAAUAAUCAAUACCAUAUGUUUGAUUAAAACCCUUUGCAACUAAGUAGGCUUUAAAACGAUCAAUUGAGCCAUUAGCUUUGAGUUUCAGCUUGUAUAUCCAUUUACAACUAAUAAUGCGUGUAUUAACAGGUUUAGGAACCAAUGUCCAUGUGGAAUUGGUGAGAAGAGCAUCAUACUCAGUCUUCAUAGCAGCUUGCCAAUUAGGAUGCAAUAUUGCUUCUUUGAAAGAGGAGGGUUCGACAACAGUAGUUUGGAUAGCAAGGCUAAAUAUUUUUUUGGGUUUAAAAAUACCAUUUUGGCUACGAGUAACAAUAGUUCGGUUUGGAAGUGAAAGAGGAUCAGUGGAGGAGGCUGGAACAAGGGAUUGUGGUAAAGUAGGAAAGGAAGGUGGAUGAGAUGGAACAAAAUCAGUAGGGACAAUAAUGGGAGAAGAAAAAUUAGGUGGAGAAUGAUGAGGAUUCCUUGAAGAUGGUGUAGGAAUAGAGAGAAUACCAGAAUCAAGAAGUGUUAAAGAAGAGUUGGAUGAUGAUACUGGUUGACAGGAUAAAGACUUUGUUAAAAAUGGAAAUCGAGUUUCAUCAAAUACAACAUGACGAGAAGCAUAUAUCCGAGAGGAAGCCAUAUCCAAACAGAGGAAUCCCUUGUGUUUAGCACUAUAACCCAAAAAACAGCAAACAACAAAUAUAUUUGCUAGCUUGUGAGAAGCAUAAGGGCGAAGAUAAGGAAAACACAAGCAUCCAAAACUUCAAAGAGAUGUAUAAUAAGGUAAACGAUUAUAAAGAACUCCAUAAGGAGAAUUUUGUGAAAGAACAGCAGAGGGAAGGCAAUUUAUGAGAAAAAUGGCAGUUUGAAAUGCAAAUGACCAAUAUUUGAGAGGGUAUACCAGCUUGUAUUAACAAAGAAAGACCAACUUCCACAACAUGACGAUUCUUUCUUUCAACUCUUCAAUUUUGCUAAGGAGUAUAAUGACAAGAGACUUGAUGAAGAAGACCAUUUGUAGCCAAAUAAUUCUGAAAAGCUGAAACUGAAACUCAUCAAAUUGAUUUUUAGUAUCAAAUUUUCUUCAGACUGAACACAUUGAUUUUUAGUAUCAAAUUUUCUUUCAACCAUGGCUUGAAAAUGUUGGAACAUAAGUAAAGCUUCAUCUUUAGUUUCCAAAAGGUACAACCAUGAGAAUAUGCUAAAAUCAUCAAUUAGCAAGAGGAAAUAUUGAGCAUUACCAUUGACAGAAACUAUAGGAGUUGCACCCCAAAGAUCAACAUGGAUGAGACCGAAUGGUUUUAUUGCUCUAGAAGUGGAUAUUUCAAAUGGAAAACGAUGGCUUUUAGCCAACUGACAAGACUCACAUACAGAGUUAUUAUUGUCAUGUUUCAAAGGUAUUUUAUAAAGAGAUAAGAUUUUGGAAACUACAUUAAUAGAGGGAUGACCAAGUCUAUUAUGCCAAAGCCUCAAAGAACCAACGGCUAAAGUACUACUAGUAGAGUAAAAUACUAGUGGAUGACCAACAACUCUUGGUGUAGCAAGAAGUUUAUAGAGACCCUUCUCAAUUUUUCCUUGAAGAAGAGCAAGUCUCGUUUCCUGAUCCUUUACCACAAAAUGAGAAGAACGAAAUUCAAUAAAGGUGCCAUUGUUUGAGUAAAAUCGUUGCACGCUAACUAAGUUGGUGGUAAUAGAAGGAACAUGUAAGACAUCAUUGAAAAACAAAGAACCACUUGAAGAGGCAAGAGAAAAUUUACCAAUAUUUGCAAUGGAUAAACCCUUACCAUCUCCAACAAUUACUUUGUCACCACUGGUAAAUGGAUUAUGGAUUGUUAAAUUGUUAAGAUCAGAUGUGAGAUGAUGGGUAGCCUUUGUAUCAAGAAACCAAUAAGUGUCUCCCAUUGUUGCAGAAGUUGUAGUCAUAGCCUCAGGAUUGUUAGAGGUGGAAUGUUUAGAAUCUUUUGGCUGAUAAUCAGAGUUAAACCGAUACCAGCAUUGUAAAGCGGUGUGUCCGAACUUACAACCGAGAGAAAUAAUCUUUACUUAUUCUCUAAAAACUGUUCUUUAUUCCACACAUUAUUUCUAAAAACUGUUUCUAGAUAACAAUGACAAAAUAGUAUUAGGAAUUUUUAAAAAUAAAAAUUGUUUUUAAAUUACAUGAUCUAUAUCAUUCACAUUUGACCAUUAUAGCUUUGUUCAGGAAAACACUUGAAAGUAACCUUAUCGUGAUAAGAGAUAUAAGUUGGCUGUAGUUUCAAACUGAAAACAGAGGAUGGCAAUAGAAAGCAAAGCAUUAGUUAUCUGCAAUCAGUGGUGAUCAUGCCCCAUGUCAAUUUCGGACCCAUAUCUUAAAACCGUAUAAUUUGCAUUUCAACAUUUCUGAUUUCUCAGAUGUUUCAUACUCCACAGAAGAACAUUGUUUGUGAAAGCAUGCAUUUAUGCUGGAUUUUGGAUGAUGUGGGAACUGGGGCAAGGAUCAUAUGGAAGAGUGGUCGAUUUUUUCUGUACUUUAACAUUUGAAAUAGGAGCAGCACGGGCAUUUGUGGGGCUUAAUUGAUUUUGAAGCCUGAAAUUGCGUUUCUGUCAUUUUGUAAAAAAUAUGGCAGAUUCCAUGCUCUCAUAUGUUUGGUCUGUGGCCAUGUAUAGAUGCCACUUAGUGACCAGUUUGUAACUGUCAAUCAUAGUGUUUUGACUCUGGCUCAACAACAUCAGCCAUUGACGGAUUUUCAUACAUGCAAAUCAAAUAGUCUUCUUCCUCCCUUAGGAAUUUCGGUUUAAAUGUUAUUAAGCAUACAUUUGGCUGACAAUUAUUAACCACUUCAUGAUAUGGUUUCUUACCCUUAAUCAAUGGUUUCUAAGUGAAUAUAUGCAGAAGGAAAUCUGAACUGUAGACAGCAGUAUUGAUAAUUAUCAAUAUUCUUUAUAUAAGAGAAUAAACAACGUCAUAGUGAUCGUCGCCUACAAGAAAGGUACAUUUCCCAACAAGAUGUAGUUGUGACUGGUACAUGGACGUAAUUAACUCGUAGAAAAGGAUAAGACCAGUGCACGGCAGCUCUUAUUUUACAUGCUAAUUAUGCUAACCAAAGUCACUCAGUUGGGAUGGGAGGGAGAUGGAGGUUUGUGCGGUGGCUUGUGGGGCGGAGUUGGUGGCUUCUUUUCAGGAGCUUGUGGCUUUUUCGGAGCUGAAGGAGGCUCAAUCUUAUGAGGCGGCUUGUACGAGUCUUCUUUACUCUCGACAGGAGGGUGGCCAGGGUUGUGACCAUAAUGUGGUGGCUUCUCUCCCUUAGGUGGCUUGCCAACUGGGGUUGGUGGCUUGUGUUCAGGAAGUGGUUUCUCUCCCUUGGGAGGUUUACCAAUUGGGGUUGGUGGCUUGUGUUCUGGGAGUGGUUUCUCUCCCUUGGGAGGUUUAGUGGGUGACUUGUGUUCUGGAGGUGGCUUCUCCACCGGAGGCUUGUGCUCCGGUGGUGGCUUCUUGGUUGGAGGGGGCUUGGGGUAAUCAGCAAGAGAUGGGGGGGUGAGAACCACCACUCCAAGGAACAACACUAGCAAGUAUGUGGGAGACAUUUCUGAGUUUGAGCUGAUCAGAUGAUGCAAAACUAGAAGAAUUACGUGACCUUUUAUAGCAAGUAGCUCCCAAUACCCACAUGACACGUGUUACUGUGACCAUAAAUAUUAUAGGGUCCAUUUGUGCCCUACCGGGUUGAAAACUUGGACGCUUGGCCGAGGACACACCGAACUAUGGAGGACUAUUGACGUGUGAUCACAGCUUUUGGAUUUUUCUUCCUGUGCAGCUGUCUAGCGGUUGGCAUUAUUUUUUUAAUCUUAAAUAAAGGCAUAGUUAUAGAGUACAUUUAUAUAUCUUCAGAUAGCCAUUAAUAUAUUUGAUGAAGAAAGACAAGUGCAUACAACAUGUAUACGGCUUGCUUCAAUCGAGUACAUUUAUGAUCAGUUUUCCAGUGCAAGUAAACCAGUUUUUUGUUCCACAACUAUUUUGGAAUCUUGUUUAUCAGUUUCUAUCAUUAUAAUGUCACAUAGGCUGCAAACUUGGGCACCCAAAGAUCUAGUUGGGCAAAUUUGUUUCAGAAUUUCAAUGGUGGAUUCAGUAAUUGUUAAAAGGUGUUUCUUCAUUAAGGAAAGAGUCCUGUAAAAAUAUUGUUAAAAGGUGUCAUAGAAACUAUAAUAAUUAAAUAACUUCUUUUCCCCGUGGGUGGUGUUUCUUCUGGGGAUACCCAAAAUGAGUUCAGAUUAAAAUUGGUUCGAGUCAAAGCUGUCUCUUUUGUCCAGAAAUCAACUAUUUUGCGCAUUGCAUGAAUCGAUAAAGAAAAAAUGAAAGCCAAAUCACACCUCCCCUGCAAAACCUAAACCCCGGUUGCUAACUUUCUAUGUUUCAGUCCUAUUCAUACAGGAAUAUUGGUUCAAGUUUGAGAAAAAUGGCAACUUACCUAGGGAUUACUUGGUUGUGGUUUGCGACGACUAUUUACGCAACCAACCAUGAGUUUGACUUUAACGUCAUGGGUUGAAGCCUCCUACAAUCGUGUAUGAUAGUUCAAAGCUCGUAGUAGAAAUUAUACAGGAAGGAAGAAACCUCCAAAGCUAGCUCCAAAAGAGAAUUAUCACAUCGAUAGCUCCAGAGAUUCCCAAGGGGACUGAAUCAAAGACAAGUUCCUCACUUUUUCUUCUUUUGAGGCCAAAUAUGAACCAAGGAUCACACGACCUCAUUCAACUUCAUAAGUUUGAUUUCAUGCAGUUGAACACUGGGUGAAGGCCAUGACAAGAAUUGAUUAAAAAAUUCUACCACUGUUUUAAGUAAUGGAAGAUUAUUAUCUCUGAUUGGCACCACAACAGCACAUGCUGCUAGAUCUUUCUAGACACUCCAUGCAAUGAAAGUACAAUGGAUCUUGUAACGAUAGAAACUAAGCCAUGCUACAGUACUAGAUGACGAGGUAAAACUAUUAGACAUGGGUGGCAGCCUAUAUGGGAGGGACACAAGUCUAAUUGAUUUGCAUUUCAGCGUUCUAGAUGGGUAUGUUUUGGAAGAUUUGUUCUGGAAAUACCGCACCAAGUAGGAUUCUUUUUUCUCUUGAGUGGGUCCACUUGCAUGCCAAUUAUCGAGUUGAAAAGUAGAGCACCUACCUCGUGCUCGUGGAACCGAAGGUCAGUGAAGUGGGGCUCCUUUUGGCCUCUUGUGUUUCUGUUCCAACCAAGGCGGCGGAGGGAAAAACAGCAAUAUGUCUCCGCUAAAUAUCAACGCAUGAUAGCGAAUGAGGGAGAAAAAAAGUAAUUGGCAUCUCAAUCUCACAAACUUGGUACAGUAGUGACAUUAAUAGUCUUCCACAUGGUUUUUAUUUUAUUUUAUUUUAUAUUUUAUAUUUUCCAUUUUUUUAUUUUUUUGUAUGUCAAGGCUAAUGAAUAAAAUGCGUUAGCUUGUUUUGUGAUUGGAACUGCAAAUGUCCAAAUUGGAGUUUCUCCAUUUCUCAGUUCGGAUGGUUAACUUUAUAAACAAGAUAUAGGAAACAUGUGAACGUCUUGAGGAACAAUUCGAAUUAUUGAUUAGAACUCCUAGGUUGAGUUCCAAGAUUUAAAUCAGACCCCUCUAGCAGCUUCAGGGGUACCUAGCAAUUAGAACAUAUUAAUGAAGAUUUAGGAUUUAGACUCCGGAAUACAAAUUAAUAUGUAUCUUAUGCUCUGACUAGCUUCCCUGCAUAUGCACAAAAUGGAGAUGACCCAAAAAAUAGCAGAAUCGCCUUAGUUUAUGUGGUUAAGGUGAUUCUCCGGUUAAUAUCCACAUUGGCUCAUUAUGCAAAUCAACUGAGCUAUUUUUUUUUUAAUGUCAAAUAGGAACUCCUAAUUAACCUAACCAUUGGCCUGUGUAAAUUGAUUUCACAUGCACAAUGUUGUAGUAGAAGUCCACAUUUUGAAUUUUAUUUUUGGAAAGGUAAGGAAAAUGAAGCAUUGUGUAAUUAUAAAAAUAACUUCAUUGGAAUUCACAAGGUUCACCCAAAAUGGAGCUACAUCCGUAUUCUAUCUUACAGUAGACUAUAUAGAUUGUACAAUAGUAAAUUGCAAAUACAAUUAAUAAGUCUUGUGUUUCCUUACUAAUAAUCCUUUGACAUAAACAUUGCAGCACUAAGGUCCUCUUGGGCAGACACCUUGCACCCAUGAGAGCACUAAGAGGAAGCAAGGCGGAGUCAUGGGUGCAAUGUCAUGACUUGUUGCACUAAGAGAGGCUUGGUGAUGGCAUAGUGCUGCAGUAGCAAGAAUGUUGCCUUGGCAGGGACACGAUCUAGGGACAGAUGCCAAGAAAGGCUUAGCACUCACAUGAGUUGCACAAAGAUGAAUGAAAUAGAACAUCAAAGAGACAUCUUGGCAAGCUCAAGAAAGACAUGUGGGUUGGUAAAUGAAUGGAUGCAAGAGGCAACAACAUGAGGAGUUUCAAAUGGAUAGGGAAUGAGUCAAAGACAUUUGAAAGCUACAAGUUGGAUUCUAAUUACGAUUGCAAUUUGAGUUUGAGUAGGAGUUUAUAUUAUGAUUGUAAUUGUAGUAUGAGUUGGACUAGGAUUGCUUAUCCCUAGUCAAAAUAGGAGUUGUUCAUGCCACACCCUAUGAAAAGAGUUUGAGUAGGGACUAGGAUUGCUUGCUCCUAGUCAAAUAUGGAGUAGGUGGUGCCACACCUAUAAAAAAAAAAGGGACAACAUGAGAGAGAGAGAGAAUGAAUUCACCAAAGAUAUUGUGGGAGUUUUGCUUUGUUACAUCUUGUAUUAUUAUUUAGAAUAGUAAUAAAAUACAAGUUGGGGCUAGAGCCCCAUAAUCUCGUGUGCCUUUGUGGGUUAUUCUUUAUUUGCCAUCUCGUGUGGAUUGGAUUAGAUUGAUGAGGCGAAAUAUUAUGUGGGAAAUUUAUGUUGGGACACUUACCAUAACCAGGUAAAAUCUACCAAGUCUUUUGUAAUAUCUUCUACAAAUAUUUUAGACCAGUUCUUCACAAAACAUCAUAAUAUGUUUUGUGUUUCUCUUGGAUUUUGAGUUGAAUUGUCUUAGAUCAAUUGAAUGCAUCUCAAUAUUAUUAUCUUGUUUGAAGGCUUGAUGAUUUUCCAUUUAACUUUACUUUCUUUAGGUUAUGCUUGAUUCCUUAAAAGUACUAAGGAAAACAAAAAAUAAAAAAAAAUAAAAAAUGCAGAGGGUUAGGACAUGUGUUAUCUAAUUGUCCUAUCCAAAGAUAUUAAGAAAGUCAUGUAGGAAAGUAAUUGAAAACUAGGUCAAGAAAGGAGCAAAAGGGAAUUGUUUUGGUAUUUUCUUUUUUAUUCUUGAAGGUGGCAGAGCUAAAAUUUGAGAAAUCAAGCAAAACAUACUGAAAUUACAUUGAAAGAAAGAAAAUGGUAGUUAAUGUCUUGCAGUACAUGAUAAGGACUUCAUGCAUGUAGUGUGACGACCCAUGUCUUGGACUGAUGCCACACUCACGGUUACACUUAUACCCUUGGUUCUCUCUUUACUACCUUGGCUAACCUAGAUCAGGCUAUGAGAUAGGCUCCUCACCACACCAUCACUUGCCCAGUAAUUAGUGACAUUUUCAAGCAAUGAGGUAACAUGGUGACACCAAGAGGGUUUAUCCCUCGCCCCAACAAGUCUAGACUCGGUCUCAAAAAAAUGGAGAAAAAUGAGGUGUCGUUAUGCAGAAAUACAACAACCAUGCCUUCCUUAUUACUUAGAUUCAGAAUGUGAAGGUGAAAUUGAGAAACAGAAACUCUUGAAACCAGAAUGAAAAUUGAUACUUUUACGAAGAAUUACAACAUUAGAGGAAGACUACAUUCUUCCUCUAUAUUCCUACGUUUCUACACUACUUCUACUCCACUCCAUAUUUCUACAUACAUCUUUAAUCAGUUUUCCCUCCUUUAUAUAGAGCCAUCUUCACACAAAUUCCGCAAGGUAGAAAAGAGGAAUGAAACUUGGAGCAAGGUUCGACUACUGGUUGUCGCUUGUCAAGGCUGGAAUUGAACUUUUUUUCUUGGCUUUUCUGGGCAUAGGUAGUAACUUGUGGUUCCUUUUUGGAAUGAAAAUGGUACAGCUAGAACAUGUGGCACUCUCUUGUUGGAUUAUGUGUCAAACAUGUGGCAGCCAUCUAGUGGAGAUUAUUUCAAUUUUGGGAUGGAGAGUUGGCAUCCAAUUGCAAAGAAAUAUGACAUCUACCAACAUGCAAUGUAAACCUAUAUAGAUCAUAUGGAGAUAGAGAGGAAACAUAUAGAAAUGGAUAUAUACCUAGAACUAGCUUUUUAUUAAAUGAGACGGAGAGCCAACAAUGAAGGAAAAUCAAAAUUUUUGGCUCAUAUCAAAGAAUUCACAUUGUGUUACCCUAGGUUUUCUUAAAGCUUGCACAAAGCCAAAAAGCACACAAAAAAUUAUAUUUUCUAGCUCUCUACCUUGGAUGGUCUCUUGAUCCUACUUGGAGAUGUGCAUAAAUAAAAGGAUUUGAAAAUGACAAUUGACUAAGUAUGUAGUCAAUCAAUUACUCAUUAAUUGACUAGUUGAUCAAUUAACUUUGCAACAUCAUAUGCAAUCCUAAUAGCUAGUCAUCUAAUCAACUAGGUAGUAAAUCAAUAGGCCAAAAAUAUGUUUAUAAUGACUAUUUUGUACAAAAACCACCUAUAUGGUUAAAUAUAAUGCAUUUCAUUUAUAAAUCUUCUAAUUCUUGAAUAACGAUCCUAUCAUCCUUUGAAAGUUUUUAUUACACCUUUUAUACUUUUGUUCUAAAACUUACACAUGUACAUCACCCUUAAUUGUACCAUGAGAACCUAGCUUUUUUUUUUUUUUUUUUUGUAAUUCAUCAAAGUUAGCUUUUGUAUUCAUUACUGUACUAUUUUUAUUGUAACUUAGAAAGCGAGUGUUUUCAAGUGAGUGAAAUUGACUUAUAAAUAUUGUAAAGAUUCAUUGAUGUGUAUCUUAAACUAAGUGUACAAGUUGAAACAUUUGCUAGUAGAUUUUCUCAAGAUUUAGAAUAGAGCUUGAGGCUAUUGAAAUAGGUGGGGUUGCACCAAACCACAUCACAUUGUUGUUUGCACCUUUUUUUCACUCUCUUUUACUUAGUUGCUCUAUAUUUGUUGUCUAGUAAUAUCCUAUAGGCUUGAUGGGUUAGGGAGCAUCCCUUUGUGAAAAAUUUUCAUUCAAUCCUUAGUUGUAUCACGCAUAUAUAAAAUGCCUCAUUGUUUUAAUGGUAUUCAGUCGUGGCAUCACAGAUAUGGGCAUCUAAAUUUUAAAAGUUUGAAACUUUUAUCUAAAGAAAAUAUGGUGCUUUGCCUUUUUGUAAAGCAUGUUGAUGAAAUCCAUGAGAAUUGUGUACUUGGGAAGCAACAUCGAGAUGACUUUUUUUUUUUUCAUUUUUUAUAAUGCGACACCUAAGUCCGGUUUCUAAAUGCUGAAGUGAAAGGGUAGGUAUGGACCAUUGAAAUCUGAUCACAACUUUUGGCCUUUUCCUUUCUCUGCAGCCAUGUUGUCUCUUUUUUCUUUUGCAUGAUUUUCUUACCUAAACAGAAUCAUAGACUUGUUUAAUCUCUAAAUGGUAUUUCAUCCAGCUUUAAGCUACUGUAUUAUAUCUUGGUGGAGGACUUUUAAGAGUGAAACCGACAUAGAGCACAUGCAAGUGGGUAUAUGGGACAUGAAAUUUCUUCUUAUAAAGACUGCAUGGUUUUUAUAUUAGAGUUGUUGAGGCGCAAUGUAUUUAGCUUGUUUUGCAGUUAAAUUAAUUGGAUAAGUAGACAUUGUCGUUUCUAAAUUUCCCACCUAAGAUAGUGACCUUAUCCUUGACUGCUUGAUGAGAUACACAAACAAUUAUACCUUCAAAAUCUACUGUGAAGUGCUUCAUGUAUGUGUGAAGUAUUAGAAAUUUCUUUCUUGGCAACUUGUUUUUUCUUUGCCCUCUACUGAUAGGUUUGACUCAAAUUAAAUUCCCUGUCAUGCUAAUUAAUUUUCACGUGCAUGCUCAAAAGGAUCACGUCAACUCUGGUUUCUACUAUUCAGGUCCAUUCCCAGAUAAACUGGUUCAAAUUUGAGAAAAUGGCAACAGCCCUUUAGUGAUGUUGGUUUGGAGCCAGUAGCCAAACCCGCCCUGAGCUUUACCACUAAUGUCAAGGGACAAAGCCAUUUGAACAAAAACAAUAGCUUCAAGAGACUGAAUCGUGGAUGAAAUCUGAUCCACAUUUCUUCUCAUUUUGGGAACAAAUGAGAACUUAACUACAAAGAUUCUACUGCCUCAUAGUGCUUUUCCUGAUCUAAGGUUGGUUCGUUUCCCAAAUUGUGAGGUACGUGCCAUUCUCACGCUCAGGAGUGUAUCCACGUGGUGGACAUAAGAUGGUGGCUUAAUAUCUGGUGUCGGUGGCUUUACUUUACUAGGAGAGUAGUGUGUCUUCAUCUCAUUCACUGCCGGAGGGUGGCGUAAGCAGUGACGCUAAGGUGGGGCACAGUCAAUAUCAUUUGCAUUUGACCAUUAUAGUUUUCUCCCGGCUUGAAAGUAACCUUAUCGUGAUAAAGGAUUACUAGCACUAGUUCAGAUGACAGUCAUGUUAAAUUCGGACCAUGUUUGUGUCACAUUAUCAGCAACCAUGUGUUUAUGGUUCAUGCUAUCUGCAACUAAACUUGAUAUAUAACCACGUGAACUUCAAUCUAAAUUCUGGAAGUACUCUUGUGAUAGAUGGUGCCUGUCUGCAGAGUCCAUCAAUUGAAAAAUGGAGUGAGUGUAUCUAUAAGAGGGAAGGCUUGGCAAAUGUUCAGUUUUCUGGGAACUCAACAAGGAUCUAAAAUAGAUUGUUUUCUUUGCUGAUUUCAAUGGUUGAAAUUUGAGAAGAUUGUGUCCACAUAACACAACUAUUACUGGUCCUUCUGUUGCAAUUUAUCCUCUAAGGCUCUAACAUGUCUUCCAAUUCCCACUUCCCUGUUACUCCAGGAAAGCUAUUUCUGUCAUUGUGAAGAAGAAAAGAGAAUGUACAUAUCGAUGGUUUUAAGUGACUGGGGCAUUCAUAUCAGGUGGUCUGCAGCCAUAUAUGCCACUUUGUGAAGGUUGGAACAGUCAAUCACCAGGCUAUAUUAGUGUGGCCCAGCCACUUCAAUCAAGGACAAGUCUUCAUACUUAAAGUCAAAUUCUGCCUUUAGUCUCAUUAUAAAUUGCUGUUUAAAUAUUAAGCAAACAUUUGUUUAAUGCGAUUAAGACAGUACUAACUCAAUACUUGUUCUAUUUUUGGAUGCAAAUGCUUGAUGGUUUCAUCAUUGGAUGGGAUAAAGGUGCAUUCAUGAUUAUGAAUACUUGUAGUUAUAUUUUCAUUCUCUUUUUUCUCAAUGAGACUUGUUGGCACAAUUUUGCUGUUCAGAAACCUACCUCUCCAUCGAAAAUCAGUUGUGAUUGAUAGUACUGGAUAUAUUCAAGAAAGCUAAAUAUAGAUAGCACCAAAUAUUAUCGAUAUAAAUAGCAUUAACAGCGUACGUAUGUCUCAAUGCUCAUCAGCUAUAAGCAACGGGCAAACACUUACUAUGAGCAACUUGCGUCAAAAUUCCAGAAUAGGACAUAGAAGUGACAGAUCUAUAUAUAUAUAGAACACUGCAUAUGAGUCACAAGAAAGGAAAUUACGGGUGCAUAGCAGCUCUUAUUUUACAUCCUACUCAUACUGAUCAAAGUCACUCAGUUGGGAUGGGUGGGAGUAGGAGGUUUGUGGGGUGGCUUGUGCGGAGGAGUUGGCAGCUUCUUUCCAGGACCUGGUUGCUUCUCUGCUGGAGUUGAAGGAGGCUUAAUCUUCCGAGGUGGCUUGUAUGAGUCUUCAGCAUUCUCAGCAGGAGGGUGACCAGGGUUGUGACCAUAAUGUGGUGGCUUCUCUCCCUUAGGUGGUUUGCCAACUGGGGUUGGUGGCUUGUAUGAGUCUUCAGCAUUCUCAGCAGGAGGGUGACCAGGGUUGCGACCAUAAUGUGGUGGCUUCUCUCCCUUAGGUGGUUUGCCAACUGGGGUUGGUGGCUUGUGUUCUGGGAGUGGCUUCUCCCCCUUGGGAGGUUUUUCCAAUGGGGUUGGUUUGUGUUCAGGAGGUGGCUUCUCCACUGGAGGCUUGUGUUCAGGAGGUGGCUUCUCCACCGGAGGCUUGUGUUCAGGAGGUGGCUUCUCCACCGGAGGCUUGUGUUCAGGAGGUGGCUUCUCGAAUGGGGGAUGCUCAGGGUAAUCAGCAAGUGAGGGGUUGGUGAGAACCACCAUGCCAAGCAACAGGACUAGCAAGUAUGUAGGAGACAUCUUUGGGUUUGGACUUAAGACAGUGGAAAACUGCGAGAAUUCUCUAGCCUUUUAUAGCGGGUCGACCCAGUACUCACAUGACACGUGUCAUUAUGACACAUGUGCCAUGGGGUCGAUUUGGGUCCUACAGUGUUGAAAAGUUGGGCAUUUGAGGUGUGAGCACAACUUUUGGCCUUUGCUUUC